CUUAUUUCUUGGACGGACAAGUGAGUGCUGUCCUUGAACUUGCCUGUGUCUUCAGCGCCUUGCAGCCUUGAGCUCGAACAUUACAUAGCACUGGGAGCUCUGGCAAAGAUUGAAGCUGCUUGCAGCCGACUAAGUUGAGUUCAGACAACCGAGAAGCUCGUUUGAUGCUUGCAGGUAUGCUCCUAAUCUUGGUUCCGGACAGAUAUAUGCGUUUCAAUGAGGUUGAGCAAACGAGACCAUUAGGGAUUACCAAUAUACCGCUGUCGCUGAGAUUUAGUUCUUCUAAAGAGAGAAAACCGGUGUAGGUGAAAGGCAAUUUUUCAAGUUCCGGACAGUCAUACAAGUAGAGACGUUUAAGUUGGUUAAACGGUAGAUGCUUGUUGGGAUAACCUUAAGGUGCUCGCAGCCACGAAGGUCUAAAGUUUGAAGCCCAAUUAGAUUUCCAAAUGACGAAGGAAGCUUUUGUACAGCUGUCCAUCGCAAACUAAGAGACACCAAAUGUUCCAUUGGCUCCAAGAUCUCUGGGAAAUGUUCAAGUACAGAGCACCCAUCGAGAUUGAGUUCCUUGAGAUAUUUCAACUUCCAAAUGUGGAUUGGUAAACUCACAAGACUGCCGCAACGAACCAAUGAUAAUUUAGUUAUAUUCAAGAAAACUCGCACGAGUUAUGCAGCCAUCUUGAUCAAAACUACCAGAGAAUUUCAGCUUACAACAGUUAUUUGGAAGUUUCUCAAGGUCUUUGCAAAGAGUUAUAUUCAAGUAAGAAAUGUUUUCGUUAGACCACACUGAUUCAGGCAACACCUUUAUACCACUUUCUUGUAAACCCAAGUAUUGAAUCUUUCCUGGCAUCUUUGGAAGAUACUUGAGGCUGGUGCAGCCUCCAAGAUUAAGAUGAGUAAGCUUGUCAAGAUGUUGAAAACACCCAGGAAUUUCAACCAAACUAAAACAGCCGCUGACAUUUACGUUCACAAUUUUUCACUUUAAAAGGCUUUCAACAACAGCAACCGAUGCCUGGUCCUGGUUCUCGGCACAUGGCGCCCCCAGCUGGAGGAAGGCCACCGAAGCCAGUUGCUCCUUCUCUAUGCUGUGGAAAGGCAGCAGGCCAAUCAGCAGAAACCCAGUGUACCAGAAUGGGAGAAACAUCUUGUAAAUCAACUGAGUACAGAGGAGGUUAACUCGCUGAAUUCAAAGUUCAAAGAAGCAACCGAAGCGGAUAAAAAGGUAUUUAAAACUUUAAUGUUUCCCCAAUUGUUCAGCUUCAGCAGCAAAGUGAUGUGUGCAUGUUACAUUCUGAUAAAUGUCAAAUCAUAACAAAUAUCCCAAAGACUUGGUAUUCUUUUGAUCGUGGGUUUUACUUUGCUCUUAAUAUCGCUCAUUUCCAUGGAAAAGAUUUUGAUCAAGUUUAAGCAGGGAGGCUGUUAGGGUUUUGAAGUUCAUAAUCAGUUCUUUGAUAUUAAUAAUUUUAAUGAUUACAUUCCUCAUGUUUUUAGUGGAUGGCAUUCAUUAUACUUUCUUUUUGAUACAGCAUGUAUUAUACUUUAUUGCAGUUUUGUUCCAUUUUCAGCUUGUUUUCCUCAACCUUUUGAUGUGAUUCCGUUUGUUAUUCGCGGGUAGAAGAACUGGAGAAAGAAAUUUUGGAUGCUAGAGAGAAAAUUGAAUAUUUCCGGGUCAAAAUGCAGGAACUUGUGAGCACCUCGUGUUUAUUUCUGCCCUUUCUUUCUUGUAAGUCAUUGCUUGUGCAUAUUGAACAUUCUACAGUAGUUUUAAUUUUUGUGUUUGAAUAUAAUUGUUCUACGAGUGAUAGAUUUUUGGACGUCCUAAUCAUUUGUUGCUUUUAAAAAAUCUGCAGACUUCUUACUAUUUGAUUUUUUUCAGUGGUGAAAGAUGUUUUUAUAUUUUAACAAUUGGAUGUUUGUGGUCUGAUCUGAAUUAGUGUUGAUUCUUGAAUUGACAAGUACACUUGGGAGGAAGUGCAGAUCAUGUGUUUUAUCAUUGUCCUAUAGCUUUAUAUGUGUGGCUGAGGUUGUGUAGGGAAGGAAAUGUAAGUUGGGUAAUUCCUGCAGGGUCAAUAAGUAGUUUGGUGGUGAUAUGAAGGCUUUUGUGAGGGUGCAGUAUGCCAGCAAUUUGUUGGGGUUUCUAGGUUUGAGAGAAACAUGAGGAUUUUUUAAAACAAUAUUUGGGUAGGGACUAGUUAUGGAAUAAAGUUAGAUUUUGUUCACCACGUUGGCCGAGUAUUUUCUCAAUUUCAUGAUCCAUAUUCUUUGAUUGGAAAGAUACUGUUUUUGGAUAUUCUGGUUUUUAUUGAAGGUCCUGUAUGUGGGAAGAAACUGUAUUGUUCAUGUAGUCUAGUUUUCAUUGUUGUCCGUUUUAAGGUGGGGGACAACUUAACCAAAGAGAUUGCAUUUUGUUGAGGAGAUUGGGUAGGCAUUAAAGCAUUCCUUCUUUUGCACCAUAAUGGUGAGGAAAUAAAGAUCCAAAUUUGGUUGAACAGGGAACUGAGGCAUGGGAAGAAUUUAUCACGUGUAAAUUUAGACCACACUUUUAGAAGAUAAUUUUAUAUUACAGUAGGCUCAGAAUUUUUUACAAGGCAUUUGACUAAAAAAUGUAGGACUUAUAUCUAGCUACUAGCAUAAGAAAAUGAUGUUUUAAACUUUCAGUUUUUGAAUGCUGAUUCAUAUUUGCUUUAAUCUGUUUUCCAUUUGGUAUAAGGUUUUUUGUACAAGAGCAGAUGUGACAAUCGCCUUAAUGAGAUCACAGAAAGGGCAUAUGCUGAUAAACGUGAGGUAUGCUGUAGGAUACUUGAGCCUAAGCACAUAUUUGUAUUAAUCUUAAGUUACUGUCUUGGCUUGAUGAAUACUACAUGAAUCUAGGCUGAGUCCCAGGCUAAGAAAUAUGAAGAGAAUUACAAACAAGCUGGAGAUGUAGCUUCCAAGUUAACUAUUGAAGAAGCCACGUUUUUUGAUUUAUAGGUACCUUUCACCACAUAUAAAUUUGUGGACAAUUAAUACAACAACAACAACAACAAAGCCUUUUCCCACUAAGUGGGGUCGGCUAUAUGAAUCCUAGAACGCCAUUGCGCUCGGUUUUGUGUCAUGUCCUCCGUUAGAUCCAAGUACUCUAAGUCUUUUCUUAGAGUCUCUUCCAAAGUUUUCCUAGGUCUUCCUCUACCACUUCGGCCCUCAACCUCUGUCCCGUAGUCACAUCUUCGAACCAGAGCGUCAGUAGGCCUUCUUUGCACAUGUCCAAAUCACCGGAACCGAUUUUCUCUCAUCUUUCCUUCAAUUUUGGCUACUCCUACUUUACCUCGGAUAUCCUCAUUCCCAAUCUUAUCCUUUCUCGUGUGCCCACACAUCCAACGAAGCAUCCUCAUCUCCGCCACAUCCAUUUUGUGUACGUGUUGAUGCUUCACCGCCCAACAUUCUGUGCCAUACAAACAUCGCUGGCCUUAUUGCCGUCCUAUAAAUUUUUCCCUUGAGCUUCAGUGGCCUACGACGGUCACACAACACGCCGGAUGCACUCUUACACUUCAUCCAUCCAGCUUGUAUUCUAUGGUUGAGAUAUCCAUCUAAUUCUCCGUUCUCUUGCACGAUAGAUCCUAGGUAGCGAAAACGGUCGCUUUUUGUGAUCUUCGCUAGAUUGCUCCGGUCAUUAGUGUGGAUAAGUAUAUAAAUGGAUAGAGACAGGAAAGCAAACACAAGAUGUACGUGGUUCACCCAGAUUGGCUACAUCUACGGAAUAGAGGAGUUCUCAUUAAUUGUGAAGGGUUUACACAAGUACAUAGGUUCAAGCUCUCCUUUAGUAAGUACAAGUGAAUGAUUUAGUACAAAUGACAUUAGGAAAUAUUGUGGGAGAAUGAUCUCGUAAUCACGAAACUUCUAAGUAUCGGAGUGCGGUAUCGUCUUAACUUGCCUUAUCUGUCUCAUAGGUAGAUGUGGCAUCUUCUUUGGAAGUACUCUUCCUCCAUCCAGGGGUGGUAUCUUUAACUGGUGGAGAUGCACAAGGUAAUGUAUCAAUUUCACUUGAAGCUUACUUGUAGUUUCAGGCUUGGUCAAGCGCGAUACAAACCAUGUAGUAGGAGUCCCCCAAGUCGCCGAGCUAGGGAUCUGCUGAAAGGGUGACAGACAAGGUAAGCAAUCAGAGCUCCGGCUGAUUGUUCACAUUCUCCCUAUCUUGCAGGCAGCAUGAAGGAUAAAGAGAAGAAAAUGAGAAGAGAUGAUAUGGGAUACUUUUGCUUUUGAAGAAGUAACUUUCCACAGGCUUAUUCUUGAACUGAGCUGGAGGGUUUUCUGGUUUCCUCCAGAGUAUAAGGCCGACUGAAGAAUUUGAGGGUCAAAACAAGUCCAUCAAAUCUAGAGUACGUUCGACCCUGCUGAUAUGGGAUACUUUUGCUUUUGACAGAGUAAUGGAUGUAUCGGCACGUGUGCUGUUACGCUUGUCUCCACAUGCUUCCUUGUAUCCUUCUCACUUGCCCUAUCUGUUCCUCAGGCAGAUGCGGUAUCUUCUCCUGGAAGCAUAAGAUGUUGAAGAUGAGUACUCGAGAGCAAUGGCAGGUAAGUAAUCAGGUAAGGGGUUCCAGGCAGUCAGUUCCUGGGUGGAAGCUUGAUUCCAAGUGCUGACUGAUUGCUCUCUUUCUCCUUGUCUUGCAGAUAAGAACAAGGCCAAAGGAAAAGACAGGGAAAAAGCAUGAUAUGGGAUACUCUUGCUUUUAACCCUGAUGAUAUGAGAUAUUCUUGCUCUAGUAUAGCUUGUUUGCAGAGAUAUUAUCGGGGGGAAAAAAAGCUGAAUAUUUCGAAAGGCUUCGUUGGGAGUGCCCUCUCAGAUAUGACGAAAGGUUGAGCAUUUUUGCAGGUCUGCCUGUGCGUUGGGGAUGGAGGUCGACAUAUAUAGGAGUCUCCUUAACAACAAGUAGUAAUGCUAUUCCUUUACCCUACUUGGUCAUAGCACGGUGGUGGGAGCUGCCAGCUUCAUAUGUUUUAACUCUGUCAGAGCACUUUGAAAAAGUGGUCUGUGGUAUCUGGAAAGGUGAUGUUGCGUGUGAAGAUUACAGACAGCUUUAUCCAAGGAGAUCCGGCUCUUGAAGUUGGGAAAGUGUUGCCUCUUCGGUUUUCGAACAAGCAAUCCUAUCGGGGAUCUGGCUCUCGAGAUUUGGAGAAAGAUGCCUCUUCGAUUUUUGAGAAAGCAAUCAUGCUGGGGGUCUGGCUCUCGAGAUUCGGAGAGCGGUGUCUCUUCGAUUUUUGAGAAAGUAAUCAUGUUGGGAGUCUGGCUCUCGAGAUUCGGAGGGCGGUGCCUCUUCGAUUUUGGAGCAAGCAACUUGUUGGGAGUGUUUUCUCGAAUGUGAGUAAAGGUUGGGCAUGUUUGCUAGUCUACCUUGCCACGAAGCACAGAGGUUGACAUAUAGGGACUUUCCAAUUAUCCAGCAAUGGUACUGUUCCUUUACCCUCUCUUCGAUUUUUGAGAAAGUAGUCAUGUUGGGAGUCUGGCUCUCGAGAUUCGGAGGACGGUGCCUCUUCAAUUUUGGAGCAAGCAAUCUUGUUGGGAGUGUUUUCUCGAAUGUGAGUAAAGGUUGAGCAUGUUUGCUAGUCUACCUUGCCACGAAGCACAGAGGUUGACACACAGGGACUUUCCAAUUAUCCAGCAGUGGUACUGUUCCUUUACCCUUGUGGGUAAUAAUAUGGUAGCUAGACCUUCAAAAUUUAUGUGUCUAAACUUUGUUAGUGCUGUUUCUUUGCUAUUCUUUUACCCUUCUUGGUCAGAGCGAUGUAGUGGGAGCUGCAAGCUUCACGUGCUCAACUUUGGCAGAGAACUUUGGCAAAGUUAUCUGUGGUACCCAUGAGCUACUGUUGCGUGUGGGAAGCGGGUGAUUGAACAGUAAGACUCAUGUGCAUUCUACUUCACCAGAAGUCUUCGACAGAAUGCCCAUAAUUUCCGCAAAGCUGAGUGUGCGUGUGACAGGUGCUGACAAGGCUGGAAAAGUAGGUGCCUCUUCGAUUUCUGAGAUCGGCCCUCGUGGUCUCUAAGCAGCCCAGCUUUUGAGAAAGCAAGCGCCUUUUCGAUUUCUGAGAUUGACCUUCGUGGUCUUUGAGCAACCUAGCUUUUGAGAAAGCAAACGCCUCUUCGAUUUCUGAGAUCGACCUUCGUGGUCUCUGAGCAGCCCAACUUUUGAGAAAGCAAACGCCUCUUCGAUUUCUGAGCAGGCGCCUCUUCGAUUUCUGAAGCUCUGUCGAGUGCAGAUUUUUAUAGGGGCUGGCAUUAAGUUCCAAAGCACACUUGAAUCUCCACCAGUAGAAGCUCCAUUCUUGCACUUCUAAGAUCUUGAUUUGUCCGACCUCUUCUCUCUUCAACACCUUUGAAAAUGUCUGGCCCCUCCGACCGUCGUUUUGACUUGAACAUUGUUGAAGAGGCAGCUCCGCCUUCUCCAGACAACAUAUGGCGCCCAUCCUUCGUCUCCCCUACUGGUCUCUUACCGUUGGGGAUUCCGUGAUGAAGAAUGAUAUGACCGCUGCGGUGGUGGCCAGGAACCUUCUCACUCCCAAAGAUAACAGACUACUUUCCAAACGGUCUGAUGAGUUAGCUGUUAAGGAUUCUCUGGCUCUCAGUGUUCAGUGUGCAGGUUCUGUGUCUAAUAUGGCCCAACGCCUAUUUGCUCGAACCCGCCAAGUUGAAUCAUUGGCGACUGAAGUGAUGAAUCUCAAACAGGAGAUUAGAGGGCUCAAGCAUGAGAAUAAACAGUUGCACCGGCUCGCACAUGACUAUGCUACAAACAUGAAGAGGAAGCUUGACCAGAUGAAGGAAUCUGAUGGUCAGGUUUUACUUGAUCAUCAGAGAUUUGUGGGUUUAUUCCAAAGGCAUUUAUUGCCUUCGUCUUCUGGGGCUGUACCGCGUAAUGAAGCUCCAAAUGAUCAACCUCUGAUGCCUCCUCCUUCUAGGGUUCUGUCCAGUACUGAGGCUCCGAAUGAUCCCCAUCCGGUGCCUUCUCUUUCUGGGGCUCUACCGACUGCUGAGACUUCUCCUAAGCAACCUUUGUGAAGGCUCCCUCUUGUUUGUUUAUUUUGACUUAUGUAUAUGUACAUAUUUGUAGCUUAUCAGGGAUAUCAAUAAAUAAGCUUUCCUUCUUUUGUUGAAGCUUUGUGAGUAGAGCAUGUAGGUUGAGGUAGUGUUCCCUUAAUUUCCUGAGUGAGGAAAACUUCUCGGUUGGAGACUUGGAAAAUCCAAGUCACUGAGUGGGAUCGGCUAUAUGAAUCUUAGAGCGCCAUUGUGCUUGGUCCUGUGUUAUGUCCUUAUUUAGAUCCAAGUACUCUAAGUCUUUUCUUAGAGUCUCUUCCAAAGUUUUCCUAAGUCUUCCUCUACCCCUUCGACCCUGAACCUCUGUCCCAUAGUCGCAUCUUCUAAUCGGAGCGUCAGUAGGCCUUCUUUGCACAUGUCCAAACCAUCGUAACCGAUUUUCUCUCAUCUUUCCUUCAAUUUCGGCUACUCCUACUUUACCCCGGAUAUCCUCAUUCCUAAUCUUAUUUCUCGUGUGCCCACACAUCCAACGAAGCAUCCUCAUCUCCGCUACACCCAUUUUGUGUACGUGUUGAUGCUUCACCGCCCAACAUUCUGUGCCAUACAGCAUUGCCGGCCUUAUUGCCGUCCUAUAAAAUUUUCCCUUGAGCUUCAGUGGCAUACGGCGAUCACACAACACGCCGGAUGCACUCUUUCACUUCAUCCAUCCAGCUUGUAUUCUAUGGUUGAGAUCUCCAUCUAAUUCUCCGUUCUUUUGCAAGAUAGAUCCUAGGUAACGAAAACGGUCGCUCUUUGGUAUUUCUUGAUCUCCGAUCCUCACCCCUAACUCGUUUUGGCCUCCAUUUGCACUGAACUUGCACUCCAUAUAUUCUGUCUUUGAUCGGCUUAGGCGAAGACCUUUAGAUUCCAACACUUCUCUCCAAAGGUUAAGCUUUGCAUUUACCCCUUCUUGAGUUUCAUCUAUCAACACUAUAUCGUCUGCGAAAAGCAUACACCAAGGAAUAUCAUCUUGAAUAUGUCCUGUUAACUCAUCCAUUACCAACGCAAAAAGGUAAGGACUUAAGGAUGAGCCUUGAUGUAAUCCUACAGUUAUGGGAAAGCUUUCAGUUUGUCCUUCAUGAGAAAGCUUUCAGUUUGUCCUUCAUGGAGUGCCGGCUGUCGACUACCUGACGCCCUCCCCCUCCUCCUUUAUCCGGGCUUGGGACCGGCAAUGUAAGAUAAACUUACACGGCGGAGUUUUGUGGACAAUUAAUAACAAGGACAAAAUUAUUUUAUAGUUUUUAGGCCUAGUGGGAUAGAUAGUUGAUGAAAGAGAGAAAGUAGUGUGGGAAAAUAGAAUCAGUUGAAUGUCGUACCCCUAGUGGUAUAUUCUUUUUAUUAUCACGGACGGGUUAUCUUACAUGAUUUAUUUGCAGGAGAAAAAAAUGGAGCUAUACAGGGCAGUUGUCAAGAUGGAGCAAGACGGUGAUGCUGAUGAUAAGAGUACUUACAUUAGCUUAUUCUUUAUCAAACUAUCUGAUGGAUUGUACAUAUGAGCGGUAGGUCUCGGGUUCGAGACUUGGGAGUAGCCUCUCCAUAAAUGGGGGUAAGGCUAGCCGACAUUCACCUCUCCCAGACCCUGCGUAAAGCGGGAGCCUUGUGCACUGGGUACGAUCUUUUUUUUUCUUUUUUAUUAAUAGCAUUGCCUUUCUAGAAGCCGAAAGUCAUGCUGUUGUUAAAUUAUCAAACUCCUACACAAAAACCCUUAUUUUCACUAUUAUAAUAUUUUCCUAAUCACUCUGGUUUGUCUGAUUAUCAUAAUUCGAAUUCUAUGUAGCGUUCAUGAGUGUGUCAUUUUCUUUUUCGUUAUUGUUCACUGCUGCAGUAUUUGUACUACAUUGCAUUUUGCAAUCUGAAAUUUUAUUCUGUUUUCAUAUAGGCUGGCAUCCAAGUAGGAGCUGGUUACUAGCAUGAGGAUCAGGAUAUGUUUGAAGACGAAGGUAUGGCAAAAAUGAAUUAUUAUAGGUCCAUUAUUGUCUCUGAGAUAAUAAAUUUCUGGUAGCACUUGGAUUCCUUUUACCUUUUCACCUUGUGGUAAAUGGAUCAUAUUGCCUGCUGUUGUAGGUUCUUUGUCAUCUGGCUGUGGUUUGCCAACCUGUUCAAGAGUUUCAAUGCAGUUAGUACCACCAAGGUAAGCUGAUAUUGUACUACAUUCAGUUUUCUUUUUUAAUUUUAGAGUGCAUUCAGUGUUUAUUUAAUAGAAAUCAAUUCUUUGACCUUGUAUUUAUGCGACAGUGUCUUGCUCCAUGAUUGCUGUUAAUACCACCUAGUUGUUUGUGGCGGUGAUCAUUUAUCUUUUGUUUCAAGAGUUGCCUCAAGUGUCGUUAUGCUUGCUGAGUUGUUUAGUUAUUAAAGGAGGUUCUGGGAAUUUUACCAAUGCUUGAACAGUUUCUAUCUUCACCAUGUUUCCAGUUCUGAUGGUUUAUCAUGUAAAUCUGUUAGUAGUACGGGUAUUUCAACCAAAUAUGGCGAAGAAUCGGUUGCAGGAUUGUUCUUGGUGCAAUUAAUUGCACAUUGGAGGGGACUCUGAUUUAAGCAUUGGGUCUUGGUUAACCAAGAUUAUUUUUGUGUUAACGUUGACAAGAGAUGGUGUCAUAUUGCGCACAUUUUUGGAAUAUUGACGGAUUCCAGGUUAAUCAAUAUAUUUAUCAUUGUUAAAAAUAGUGAAGGGGAAGAUCAAUCGGCCAAAAUAACCAUGAGCGGCUACGAUAUUGUAGGUUUCUUCCUCUGGGAAAAAAAAAAUUUUAAUUCUAGUUCCAGUGAAUCCACCUUCUUUUCUAAUAGCACGCCGGUUACGUAGCACUAUCAAGCUUUUUGUUUUUGCAGUUUUAUUUUUGUUAUUGCUGGCAUGCUGGAUUGUGCUGUAAAUGCUCUAAUCAUGUGUGAUGUAGGAUAUGGAUCAGGAGAGUAAGGAUUACUACUUUUCUGGCCCUGGGGAGUUCGGCCUCAACCCUAUCAGGACUGGGUCAUCACAAGGAGGUGGCUUUUCCCAGAAGAGCCGCCCUUUUUACUUUCGACGAUUCUGUUCCUAAACACCACUCCCAGCCUUCAAUUCAGGAUACUCACCGCAAAGGUACAAGGAUAGCUCAGAACCUUCAUUUGACACCUUCUCUAGGUUUGAUUCGUUCAGAAGCAUACAAGAUACUGGAUUUUUUCGUCAACCAGAAACACUCGGAAGAUUUGAUUCUAUGCGCGGCAGUAGAGAUUUUGAUCAGGGUCAUGGUUUUCCAACAUGAUCCGGACCUUUAAAAUUUUAAAGACCCGAAUCAUUUGAUCCUUGGAUUCUGAAUGUUUAGGUCCGGAGAGGAUCUCUUCCCCUUAUUUGUUAGUCCAAGCCUUGCCUAUUUGUCAGUCUUUUCUCUUGGACAGACAAGUGAGCUAUCAAAGUACAAAUUCGGCAUUCAUUAUACUUUCUUUUUAAUACAGCAUUCAUUACUUGUAUCCCCGGGAAGCUCAGAAAACUCACAAAGAGAUGUGCAUUCAUCCAGACUUUCAGCUUACACAUGUAAACCACUGUAUUGUAAAUUUAAGUAUUUAAUAUUUCUUGCCAUCUCUGGAAGAUACUUGAGACUGGUGCAGCCUCCAAGAUCAAGAAGAGUGAGCUUGUCAAGAUGUUGAAAAUACCCAGGAAUUUCAACCAAACUUACACAGCCACGGAGAUUUAUGUUCACAAUUUUUAGACUCCCAGAGAGAUUUGGAACUUCAGUUAGAUAUCUAGAGUCAUGCAUAUCGAUCACUUGUAAGUUGACAAGUCUCUGUAUCAAUAGUAAAUAUAAAUAUAAAGAAUUAAUAUAAUUUCAACACUUGAUUUGAUACAAGAAUUAAAAUAGGCAUAGAAUAUAAUAUACCUGCUCUUCUUUCCAAAGCUUCUUAACUUGGCUACCUGGCAUAUGAAGCUCAACUAGAUUGUCCGGAGAAAAAUUUGACGGCAAAGAUUCCAGUGGAUAUUGAAACCAAUCAAGAUAACGAAGAGAAUCGGGAAGGUCUAGAGAAGCGUUGAAUUUGUAGCCACCAUCCACAAUUAGCAUUAUUAGGUUAGACAUCUUUUUGAAGUCUGCAUGUUUCAAUGCUUGCUCUUCAAUGUAAGGCCAAUAAACCCGUAUGGCUUCAACAUUUGGAGUUUCCUGAGAAUAAGAAAAAAGUUUAAAUGUGAAUAUAAACAUAUUAAAAUGUAACGCAGAUUUGGAACAAAGAGUAUUUGUGAUGGUAAUCAUGUACAAGGUGUCUUAGUCUAGUCAAAUAUCCAACAUAAUUGUAUCCUCCUCUACUUGUCUAAAUAAACAAACAUUUGUUCAUAUUCCAAACACUUCCUAACACAAUAAAUAUUCAAUCAAAUUCAUCUUUUAACAAUCUCACUUCUUUAUUAUAAAUUAGUUUUACUUUGUUGUGUUAUCAUCUCAAGUUUGUAAAUUUUAUUUUCUAAAAAAAAGAAAAGAAAAAAAUUGAAUGCAUUUGGCUCUUACCGUGUUACUCCUCAAUACACGACAGACAUCCUCAUCAUUGAACAACCUACUCCGUUUACCGGGAUCUUUCAUACCUUGUUUUUGAACAAUUUUCCUUCCCAUUUCUUGUAGCAAAUCGUGCAUCUCUAUGGUUUCCCUUCCCCCUUUUGAAUCAAUUGAUAUGAGAGACAUCUCAAUGAGAAUUCUAAUUCCAGAUGUCGCAAACAAUCCACGAACAACUAACAUUCGUUUUACCUCAACCAGAGACUUCCCUUUAUGAAAACAUGCUAUAUCCAGAAAUAUCUCCUUCUCAUUUUCUCUCAAUCUAUCAAAACUUAUUCUCAACACUUUCUGAAUAUCUUCACUGGGAUAUCGUUUCAAUUUGUUAAAUUCAUCUUCCCAUUCUUCUUUGCUCUUGCAAUUGAAGAACAAGGACCCCAGAACUGUAAGAGCUAAAGGAAUGCCUUUGGCAUAAGCCACCGCCUUUUCUGCCAAGUCUUUAUAAUCUGUUCUACGAGUACUAUUAUCCUUGAAAGCACGCAAAUAGAAGAGCUGAAGAGCGUCAUCCGAUUUUAAUCCCUCAACAUAGUAGAUCUUAGCCUCGUCAACAAUUUUCCCAAGUGUGCCCCUAUCUCUACUUGUGAUAAUGAUUCUACUUCCACUGCCAUACCGGAGAUGAUCGCCAACUAAACGUUCCAUUUGCCAUGAAUCACCCACGUCAUCUAGAACAAUGAGGACCUUUGUACGACUGAGCCUUUCUUGAAAAGUUGAUCCUACGGGCAAAAAAACUUCUUCCUUUAAUAUCUCCUUAAAAAGUGUUUUUUCCAAGUGAUCUAGUCCACCUGCUUGUUCUGAGUUCUCCCUAACAUUCUUAAGAAAACAACAGGCUUCAAAUUUAGAAGAGAGUCUGUGAAAUACGGCUUCAGCAAGGGUGGUCUUGCCAAUACGGCCCAUGCCCCAAAUACCUACAGAUAAGCAAGUGUCCUGUGAAUGAAUGUAUAAUAGUGAUUCGAUCUGCUCGAUGCAGCUUUCAAUUCCAACAAAGCCCUUUAAAGAGAAAGAACCGAGAGAGCUGGAAGGCAAUUUUUUAAAUUCCGGACAGGCAUACAAGUCGAGACUUGUUAGGACAUCCUUAAGGUGCUUGCAGCCACUAAGGUAUAAAGUUUGAAGCCUAAUUAGAUUUCCAAUAGACAAAGGGAGCCUUUCGACAGCUGUCCCUUGCAAACUAAGAGACACCAAAUGUUCCAUUGGCUCCAAGAUCUCUGGGAAGUUUUCAAGUUCAGAGCAGCCAGAGAGAUUGAGUUCCUCCAGAUAUUUCAACUUACAAAUGUUGGUUGGUAGACUCACAAGUCUCUUGCAAUCAACCAAUGAUAAUUUACUUAUAUCCCUGGGAAGCUCAGAAAACUCGCCAAGAGAAGUGCAGCCAUCUAGAUUAAAACAACCAGAGACUUUCAGCUUACACUUGUUGCUUGGAAGUUUCUCAAGGUCUUUGCAAUGCCAUAUUCUCAACUGAGAAAUAUUUUCGUGAGACCAAACUGAUUCAGGCAACUCCUUUAUACCACUUUCAGGUAAAAAUAAGAAUUCAAUAUUUUUUGGCAUCUCUGGAAGAUACUUGAGACUGGUGCAAAGUCCAACAUCAAGAUGAGUAAGCUUGUCAAGAUGUUGAAAAUAUAAAGGAAUUUCAACCAAACUUCUACAGUUAGAAAGAUUUAUGUGCCUAAUUUUUGGACUCCCAAAGAGAUUUGGGACCUCCAUUAGAUAUAUACAGUCAUGCAGAUCUAUCACUUCUAAGUUCAUAAGUCUCUGUAACAAGAGUAAAGAGAAAUAUCAAGAAUUAAUAAACGUGACUUAAUUUCAUAAAAGAAUUAAAAUAGGCAUAUAAUAUACCUGGUCUUUUUUCCAAAGCUUUUUAACUUGGCUAUAUGGCAUAUGAAGCUCAACUAGAUUUUCCGGAGAAAAAUUGACGGCAAAGAUUCCAGUAGAUAUCCCCACCAGUAAAGAUAACGAAGAGAAUUGGGAAGGUUUAGAGAAGUUGUGAUUUUGCGGGGAUGGCCAGGAUAGUAAUCAACAAUUAGCAAUUUUAGGUUAGACAUCACUUUGAAGUCUGCACAUUCAAAUGGUUGCUCUGUACACCGAGACCAAUUAAACUUUAUGGCUCGAACAUUUGGAGUCUCCUGACAAUGAGAGCAAAGUUUAAAUGUGAAUAUAUAUAAAUAUAUAUAUAUAUAUGUAUUUAUAUUGAACAUGUUAAAAUGUAAUGCACAUUUGGAAAAAGAAUUCUAAAAAGUUAUAGAAUAAUCUAAAAGUGUUUGAAAAAGAGCAGUGUGUAUAUAUCGAUUUACAUAGCUUUACAUGAGAGAGUUGUACAAGUAAUGAACUCUUACAAAAUAAUUAAGAAUAUCUGAAAGAUUAUUAUCCUAACGAGUUUCAGAUUUCAAAUUCCAAUGGGCAUCAAGAUUAGAUGCUGCAGUAGAUGCUUUAUCAUAAUCUUAAGAGUAUUUGCGAUGGUAAUGAUGUAAAAGUGUCUAGUUAAAUAUCCAAGAUAAUUGUAACAAAAUAAUAUAAAUGAGUUUUACUUUGGUGUGUUAUAAUCUAAAGUUUGCUAUUUGUUUUUUUCUUAAAAAUAGAAAAGAAAAAAAAUUCAAUGCAUUUGGCUCUUACCGUGUUACUUUUCAAUACAUGACAAACAUCCUCAUCGUUGAACAACCUACUACGUUUACCGGGAUCUUCAAUACCUUGUCCCAGAACAAUUGUCCUUCCCAUUUCUUCAAGCAGAUCAUGCAUCUCUAUAGUUUCUCGUCCCCAUUUUGAAUGAACUGAUAUGAGAGACAUAUCAAUGAGAACUUUAAUUCUGGCUGCCACAGAGCGUGAACGGAUAGCUAAUCUUUUUUUUACCUCAUUCACAUUCAUCCCUUUAUGAAAACAUGCUAUAUCCAAAAAUAUCUCCUUCUCAAUACUUCCCAAUCGAUCAUAACUUAGUUUCAACACUCUUUGAACACCUUCAUUGGGACCUUCUUCCAAUUUGUCCAAUUCAUCUUUCCAGUCUUCCAUGCUCUUGCAACAUAGGAAUGAGGACUCCAGAAGCUUAAGAGCUAAAGGAACGCCUCUGGCGUAAUAAACCGCCUUUUCUGCCAACUCCUUAAAAUCUGUUCCGGGAGUACUGUUAUUUUUGAAAGCACGCAAAUAGAAGAACUGAAGAGCGUCAUCUGGUUUUAAUCCCUCAACCUCGUAGAUCUUACCUUCUUCAACAGUAAGUGUUCUCCUAUCUCUACUUGUGAUAAUGAUUCUACUUCCAGUGCCAAACCGAAGACUAUUCCCAGCUAAACGUUCUAUUUGCUUUGAAUCACUCACAUCAUCUAGAACAAUGAGGACCUUUGUACGACCGAGCCAUCUACGAACAACUUUUGAUUCUGUGGGCAGAACUUCUUCCUUUAAUAUCUCCUUAAGAAGUGUUUUUUCCAAGUGAUCUAGCCCUUCGUUUUGUUCUCUCUCCGUCACAUUUCUAAGAAAACAAGAACCUUCGAAUUCAGAAGAGAGUCUGUGAAAUACAGUUUCAGCAAGGGUGGUCUUGCCAAUACCGCCCAUGCCCCAUAUACCUACAGUGAUGCAAUCGUCUGGUGAAUCAAUGCCUAAUAGCAAUUCGAUCUGCUCGAUGCGGCUUUUAAUUCCAACAAGGCCCUUUAAAUCGCAGGAUGAUUGGCAACACAAUUUAGUCCAAAUAUCCUUCACAACAUUCUUUACUAAUUUGGCAUCCGUCCUGGCAUAUAUAUGUACAUAUGAUUAUGAAGGAAAGCAAUAGUUAAUCUUAGAUAUACCUUACAAAAUCUUAGCAGAAAUCAAAUCGUCAUAAGUUUAAAGAAAAUUUAAAAUUUUGUACGCGUUAAUUAAAGAGUUAGUUUGUUACCCAGCAUUUUUUGGAUGAGGAAACCCAGAUCUUUUGGCUGCCUUCGUCAAAGCCUCUUUCCACUCUUUCACCUUGUCGAUACUUUGGUGUUGAGCCAAUGCAGCCGCAUAACUCCCCUGUUGUUCUCGUACAUCCGAUGCAUUGGUGUGGUAAAAAAUGGGUAUCACGAAAUCGCCUCGUCUUUUUUCGUUGCAUUCGAUUAUACGCACAAGCUCAUCCAAACACCAUGCGGAAGUAGCAUAGUUUUGUGAGAAAAUGAUCACCCAAAACUUGGAUUUCUCGAUUGCCUUCAGAAGAGCAGGUCCGAUUUCUUCUCCUCUCUGAAGUCUGUUAUCUAUGUACGUAUCAAUUUUCCUCCGAACUAAGGCUUCAUGAAGAUGGCAGGUAAAAGUAUUACGGGUAUCCUUUCCUCUGAAGCUGAUAAACACAUCAUAUUUUUCUAGACUUGGGGGGAUAUCAGCAUCAUCAUCAUCAUCAGCUACAGCAGAAUCAGCUCCAACAGAAUCAGCCGCAGAAGACGAGGAAGAAAAUGUUAAUGAUCUGCAGCACAUGUAAAACAGAGUCCCGAUGGCGAUGACGAUGAUGUUGAAAACUAGAACAAACCCAAUCAACUCCAUCCCUCUUAUCUCUAUCAACCGAGCCGCCAGGUUUGAGAAUAAGGUGGGAUCCCUGAAUGUAGUGGCCGGUGAAUCACUGAUCAAAGAACGAGCAGCCGCCAGGUUUAAUGAUUUGGUGGGAUCCACAGAUGUAGUGGCUGGUGAACCGCUUCUUCUUCUUCCGCGAAGAUUCAGACAACCGAGCUUGGAUGGAACUGAACAAGAUUUGGCGAACGAAUACAAAGGACCGAGUGGUAAAGCCAUGAUCCGCAGGGGAACGGAUCACUCAUUCUUCCAUUGGGGACAGGUGCACGAACGACAACUAGAUCUGUUAUACAGGCGAUUUAGCUACUUUCUUUCAACCCUGGUAUUAGGUGAGGGGAUACACGCAGAACCGUCAGAGAGAUCAGAGUUUACCAAAGAAAAAUGGGAAAAAUGUAUGAAAACUUUAGUUUUAACAGUAAAGAAAAAAUAAAGGAUAAAAUGAAUAGUAUUAGGAUUGAUUUUUUAAGGUAAAAAUAUAAUUUUUCGUUAAAAUAAAUAAUACCGAAAAUUUUUCGUUAAAGUUUUUUAUAAAAUUUGAAAUUGUAGUUCUUAUUAGGUAUGUGCACAAAAUUACAAAGGCACUGGGGAGGACAAAAAUUGAAAAAUUGGAGAGAAGGAUUAGUCACUUUUACAUACUUAAAAAAUAUUUGAUAAUCGAUACUGCUACUACUUUAAAAUUUUCUUUUAAAUACAAUUAAUCAAAAGAAAAGUUUGCCCACAAGCAUAUUUGUAAGGAACUGAAUCCUCUCGUGCGCUUAGGAUGGGAAUCCUUCUGAGUAGUUCAUCAGAGCCGUUCAAACUUGAUCCAAUGACUUUAAAUAUAGAACUUCUCUAAAAGUUAUAAUAAUUGAAGCUGUUGGAUCAAAUUUAAACUGUCUUGAUGGGCUGCUUAAGAAGAUCUCCAUCAUGAGCUUAGGAGAGGAUCCGGUUUCUUUUUUUUGUAAAACAUCUUUCGGUAAAAUAUACGCACUUUCCAAGAAAAUCAUCAAAGAGUAAACAAGAAAAAAAACAUGAAAGAUAUAAAGACGAAAUUGCACAUAAACUAUGUGCAUUCAAACAGAAGAAAAGGUUAUAAUAUAAUCCCUAGUGAAGGACUUAGGUACCGUUUGGUACGUGAGACGGGACGGAAUAGAGUGGGACGAGGCGUUCCGUUUCACGUUUGGUGCACCUAAAACGGGUGGAACGCGCUGUUCCACGGGACGAAUUUUGGGUGAAUUUUCAUUCCGCCUCACCCCCUAAAACGACUCGUUCCACAUCCGUGGAACGCAAAAUUAUAACCUCUCCGUCUCCUUCUUCUUCCUCCUUGUUUCUAUCCGAGGACAUCUUUACUCCUUCUCCGUUCCGUCCUGUACCGUCCCGUCUGCAUACCAAAGGAAGGUGGAAUUGAAUCCAGCUCCUCCUGAUGGAGGAAGUUUCCUAGUGCUAGUGGAGGACACAUGGGAUGGGGCCUUAAUGAAUGUGCAAUAUUCAAAAUCAAUGUUAAAUGGUCAUUAAAGGGCACAUGGGAUGGGGCCUUGCUUUACGCACUUAUUCUUCUUUGACAUGACCAAAUAAGAGAAAAAGCAUUUAUACACAACCGAAAAGUCACUACGAUAGUUAUGAUAAUUCAAUCAUGCACUAUUAAUUAUGUCAUAAAUCCUCAUAGUAAUUAUGCAUAGACUUUUGCACAACUAACAGCUUCAUAGGCCUUUGACUAGAAUUAGAGCCCCUUUUUUUCUUUUCUUUUUUCUUCAAAAACAAAGGUUUAUAUUUUGGAGAGGUUUUUUUCUGUUAAAAGCUGGGAGGGAUUCAGAUAUUGGGGUGCAAUGAGAGUGGGGUGGGGAGGGAUGGGAAAUAGAUUCUCUCUUGAGCAUCUGCUUAGGAUCUUACUAACCCAUACACAAGGGCCGUUAGAUGAAUCCAACGGCUACAAUUAUUUAUAACUUUAAAAAGAUUCUUUAUUUAUAGCUGUUGAAUUUUCAUCUAACGACCCUUGUGUGUGGAUCAGUAGAAUACUCCAUUUCCGGUGGGAUGGGGAAGAGGUUCAAAUUUUUGGAUUAAAAUUUGAAAAAGUGGGCGAUGGUGGGGUGGGGUUCAUUGAUUGCGAGAAGGUGUCAGUUGGGGUAAUAAUAUCAAAUUAUAAAUAAAAUUUUACAAAAUAAAUGAGAUAAAAAUUAAUGAUUAGAUUAUUAUUUAAGAGUUGAUAAACGUAUUUUUAUUAGUAACACAUUAUUUAAUUUACCCAUUUUUUUUACAAAUUUAGCCAUAGGUUUGAGAGAAAGAAGAGACGAAACACUACUCCCAAGCGCGUUUCUUUAUUAUCUUAUACUUGCUCAGCUCACACAUUCACCAUGCAUUUGUUUCCCCACUCCAAGCCUCCCACAACAAAUCAAACCAUUUAUUUGGGAAAAUUUUUAAUAUUUUGUUAUCUCAUCUUUUCUUUAAUUUUAGUAUCUUUGUCCGUACAGUUUGAUACCAAUUUGGCUCGCUUAUAUUUUCAUGAAUAUAGUCAGGACUAGCCCAUGCAUAGUGCGGGUUGGACGACCGUCCGGUGUCCAUAAGAAGUGGGGGCACCAAAAUUAUUAUGAUGGUAUAUUCAUAUAUUUUUUCAUAAGAAUAUACAUAUUUAAAAUUUAUUUAAAUGGUAAAGAAAUUUAACUAGAACUAGUGGAUUUUGUGGUUUGAAAUCUAUGUGCAUGCUUAUUCUUUCAAUUUUUACGAAUUUCUAUUUGGUUGUUAAUUUCUUUUUAAUUACUAGCUAGUAGCUAUAUGGGUUGCAAUUUCUAAACAUUUGUUCAAAUUCAAGUCUAACCUUUCACAAAGAGUAAUGCGUAGACCAAAUUUGCAAAUCAUAUGACGUGUCACCAAUAGUUUUAAAGGAAAACUAAUGAAAAUGGCUAAAAAACUUUGAGUUUUAACGAUAAGGACAAAAUAGAGAUUAAAGUGAAUAGUACCAAAAUUGACUUUUUAGUGUAAAAAUGUGGUUUUUCGUUAAAGUGAACAGUACUGGGAGCUUUUCGUUAAAGUUCCCUAGUUUUAAUUUAAUGCUCAUUCAUUACUUAUACAUAUCAAUAAAGACUACUAAGCCCGCCAAUUUUGACCUUCAGAAGGGAUGGUCGAGGAAGACAACGACGAGGACGAUGACGUGCUUCCUAAAACCUUUUUUCGAUGUAAGCUCAUUGAACCACUACAAGACAAAUUGUCAUUAGCAAUGGUCAAAUGUCAUCGGAAACGAUAUUUUACCAUCGCAAAUACUUAUUUCCAACGGGAAAAAGCUCUCGUUGGGUGUCGAAAGUUGUCUUGUUGGAAAUAAUUUUUUUCAUGCCAGCUAUCGAAAAUACUUUAUUAUCGACGCACAAGACCUGUCGUUAGUGGUUAGUUUUUCGUCAAAAAUGAAUUUUCGAAAUGACAAACUUAUUUUAUGUUUGUCAUGGAAAUAUGGUCGCAAAUACUUAUAUAGUUAUUGAAAUUACUUUCCAAAAGACGACAUAUUUUUUGUGAUGAUGUUGUUCCGACCAAACAAUUGUGUCGGAAAAUCUUUUUCGAACAAAAUAAUCAAUAUUUGUGAGAGUGCACAAUAGUCACAAUUAUAAUCUUUGACCCUUAAAUACUGCUCUAGGCUGUCACAAAUCUUAUUUUAUAUACAAUAGGGUUAUCUUAAAACACCUCAUUGGAAAAAAUAAAAUGAAAGACAUUUCCAAUGGGAAUUGAGGUAAGAAAUAUAUGCUUUCUGGUAAAAAUUCCACUGAGCAUUGUUCAAAAAAUAUUUUGUAUUAUCAUUAAUAAAACAAAUUGUAUAAGAUCAAUGUGGUAAAACCAAUACAUUCAUUACAAACCUAAGAUAUGUGUUUGAACAUAUCUUUAUAUACUAAAACCCAAUCAAGGUGGUACUGUGGAUAAUCAGUGGGCGGACGAUUUUGCCCCUCGAUUUUUCUUCUGUUGACGCAAAUGCCCCUGCUUUUCUCUUUUCUUACCGUUUGUCUCACCCGUUGGCCAUUUUUCUGGUUGACGGAUUUGCCCCAUGGCUUUUUUUAUGGUUUAUGAUUGGUUUUGGUGGUUCUGCAGGGAGAAGGUGGGAAUUGACUGUGCCACGUGUUGGUCAUCGUGUUGCGUUCUUUUAGGGGUUUAUUUUGCUUCGUUUCCGUUUUCUUUCCUUUGUUAUUCCAGUUCCCUCUUCUCUGUCGCUCUCGAUUUAUUUUUCCUUUUGUUCUCCACUAUCUGCUUCCCUUUCGCGCGCUUUGUGUUUUGGUUUUCUCAGCCCUGCUUUUCUCACUUCACAGCUGCUUCCUUCUCUGGACAACUCUGUGGUACGUGAUUUUCUUUCCAUUUUUAUCUUUCUUUAUAGAUUUUUGUGUUAGUUUGUGAAAUGGGUUUUCUUCUGUUGUGUAUUGAGAGAUUGGGUGAUGGGCUCUUAUGGAUUUUAGUGUUUCAAACUCUGAGAGGAGUUACUGCUUGUGGGGAGAGAAGUCUGGGUUUGAGUGAGUUUUCUUCUGUUGUGUACGUUUAGAGAAUUAUUGUUGCCUAAAACUCUAUGAAGGGUUUGCUUUUUUUAUUGUGAACUUAAACAGUCGAAGAAGGUUUAUUUAAUGGUUGAAGAAAUUGACGAUUGUUUGGUCGUCAAAUAUUUCUCCUCUUUUGUUUGUUGAUUUCUUUCUAAUAUUCAAAUAAUUAUUAUUAUGUAAUCCUGAUAGCAUUGUUGCUACAACUCGAAUAGAUAUGUACCAGAGCAUGGGAGAUGCUCUUGCACAGCAGUAUGGUGGCUCUGCAGCUCACAACACUGUAUGUUCUUAUUUUAUUCUUGGGUUAAAGCAUGCAUACAUUAUCAGUUGGUAGAUGUCAUAGAUCAACCCCUAUAUUCUAACGUGAAGUAAAAAAAAAAAAAAACUCUUAACUCUAAUCAGAUGUCCAUUGAAAAGAAAACAAAUCACAUUACAGACCAAUACCUUUUUGCAGUCUUCUUGACAACGACAGCUUAUCUGGGUAUCUUCUGCCAGAGUUCUCGGAGUUGCCAAGCUUAUUAAUGUUGUAUGUUUUCUUACUCGGGAGCAUAAAUUUGUGCCUUAAUUAUGUUUUCAUCCUUUCCUUUCUUGAAUUUUCGUACUGUUGGGAACAAUUUUGUAGACUUUCCUUUUUCUACAACAUAAUUUGAGGGAUGCAAUCUCAUAUCAAGUUUCUUAGCCCUAUAAUCUUAUUUGUUUUGCAGUUAAGUUGACAACAACUUUGGUGGGACUACAAUUCCAGAUUCGUAUAGCAACAUGUCUAAACUGUUCAAGUUGUAAGUGCUGCUUCUGAUUCUAUGUCUUUUAGUAAGUUUAAAGGUAAAAUUGUGUUUUCUAAGGACUACAAUCUCUAUUUAUUCAUACAUCAUAUUUAAAGCUCCAACUGCGGAGGUGUAAAUCCAAUUGAUUUGGGAUUAAUCAUAGCAACAAUAGAGGGAAUCGUAGUUUUUGUUGGGAAACACAUUUCCAACCACUGUGUAGGGAACAUCUUAUGUUUCUAUCUGAUGAUAUAUCACAUUAGGUGAUGGUGCUGGUUGAUUGGAAUGACAAUCGAGAAGUAGCUCUUAAUAUUUAACACGACAAAUCAUGUCAAGAUUGAAUAUCUUUGUGUUUUUGUUGUUUCUUUCAGGAGUUUGAGGAAAUGCAACUUACAAGGGCCUCUUCCUGAUUUCAGUAGGUUUCCAAACCUUGGUUUUGCCAGGUUCAAGUUUAAUUGUGUAAUAAAUGGAGAGAUUGAUCGCCGUCACUCAUAGUUGCGUUUCAGGAAACAAGUUUAUCUCUUGCCAAUUUUGUGUACCCACUUUUUAUUCAUGAUGGUUAGUGUUGAUGCACAAAAUCAGCGAGGACUUUGGUACAACAUAAAGUGUUAAGUUUGAGACCUUCGCUAGAUUGCUCCGGUCACUAGUGUGGAUAAGUAUGUAAAUGGAUAGGGACAGGGUAGCAAACACCAGAUGUACGUGGUUCACCCAGAUUGGCUACGUCCACGGAGUAGAGGAGUUCUCAUUAAUUGUGAAGGGUUUACACAAGUACAUAGGUUCAAGCUCUCCUUUAGUGAGUACUAGUGAAUGAUUUAGUACAAAUGACAUUAGGAAAUAUUGUGGGAGAAUGAUCUCCUUUUAUAGAAGAGAGUUUCUUUCUUUGUUCUGACAUUGACAUGUGUCGUGUUGUGAUUGGCUUCCGAUGUUGACACGUGUCGCGCUAUGAUUGGCUUCUGAUGUCGACACGUGUCGCGCUAUGAUUGGCUUCCUAGUUGGAGGGAAACUCUUAUGGGUCCUUGAUGGUAUAACGUUAACCGGUGCUCGGUAAUUUCAGGAUUGGUCAAGUAUGGUACAAACAGUGUUCCCUUAAGUUCCCGAGUGAGGGAAGCUCCUCGGUUGGGGACUUGCAAGAUCCAAGCCGCUGAGUAAUCACAAAACUUCUAAGUACCAAAGUGUGGUAUCGUCUUCACUUGCCUUAUCUGUCUCAUAAGUAGAUGUGGCAUCUUCUUUGGAAGUACUCUUCCUCCAUCCAGGGGUGGUAUCUUUAACCGGUGGAGAUGCACAAGGUAAUGUAUCAAUUUCACUUGAAGCUUACUUGAAGUUUCAGGCUUGGUCAAGCGCGAUACAAACCAUGUAGUAGGAGUCCCCCAAAUCGCCGAGCUAGGAGAUCUGCCGAAAGAGGUGACAGACAAGGUAAGCAAUCAGAGCUCCAAGCAAUUAGUCCCAGAUCAAAAGUUUGAUUUCGAGUUCCGGCUGAUUGUUCUCAUUCUCCCUAUCUUGCAGGCAGCAUGAAGGAUAAAGAGAAGAAAAAGGAUAAGAGAUGAUAUGAGAUAUUUUUGCUUUCGAAGAAGUAACUUUCCACAGGCUUAUUCUUGAACUAGGCUGAAGGGUUUUCUAGUUUCUUCCAGAGUAUAAGGCCAACUCAAGAAUUUGAGGGUCAAAACAAGUCCAUCAAAUCAAGAGUUCGUUCGACCUUGAUGAUAUGGGAUACUUUUGUUGUUGACAAAGUAGUGAAUGUGGUAUGGCGAUGCUUUGCUCUUUAGCAACGUUGCUAGCGAAAGGCUGUUGAAGUUUCUUGAGCUCUUCGGAUAGGGCAGUGAUGCCGAGCUUAGAUUUGACUUAGACUGCACCGUCUGGAUUAUGCGGUUCUGCAGGGAAGGCGUCGUGCUAUAGUGAUCUGUUUUAGCUCAUCCUUGAACCUUCUGCUUCAAUCUUUUACAACGCAGAAGUGGUGCACAACCUUUGCAUUUGAAUGGUCCUUCAGAGCACUACUUCUUAGCGACUCAUCCAUGCUUGGCAGCUUCAGUGUAAAGAGCUAAUAUCGUAUCAACUGUUCUGAAGUAUUUGCCAAAAGGAUUCGUGACCUUGACAACAGUUGAGGAUGAGUACUCGAGAGCAAUGCUAGGUGAGCAACCAAGCAAAGGUUUCGGGGAAUCAGUUCCAAAUCGGAAGUUUGAUUUCAGGUUCCGACUGAUUGCUUUCUUUCUCCUUGUCUUGCAGGUAAGAGCAAGGGUAAAGGAAAAGACAAGGAAAAAGCAUGAUAUGGGAUACUUUUGCUUUUAACCUUGAUGAUAUGAGAUACUUUUGCUUUGGUAUGGCUUGUUUGCAGAGGUAUUAUCGGGGGAAAGGAAGCUGAGUAUUUCGAGAGGCUUCGUUGGGAGUGCCCUCUCAAGUAUGAGGAAUGGUUGAGCAUUUUUGCAGGUCUGCCUGUCCAUAGAGGGUAGAGGUAGACAUAUAUAGGAGUUUCCUCAACAAUAAGUAGUAAUGUUAUUCCUUUACCCUUCUUUGUCAUAGCAAUGUAGUGGGAGCUGCAAGCUUCACGUGUUUUAACUUUGUCAGAGCAUUUUGAAAAAGUGGUCUGUGGUAUCUGGAAAGCUGAUGUUGCGUGUGAAGAUUGCAGACAAAUUUUAUCCAAGGAAAUCUGGCUCUCGAAGUUCGGAGAGCGGCGCAUUUUCGGUUUUCAAACAAGCAAUCAUGUUGGGGAUCUGGCUCUCAAGAUUCAAAGAGCGUUGCCUCUUCGAUUUUUGAACAAACAAUCCUAUUGGGGAUCUGGCUCUCGAUAUUUAGAGAGCGGUGCCUCUUCGAUUUUUGAGAAAGUGAUCCUGGUAAGAGUUUGGCUCUCGAGAUUCGGAUAGCGGUGCCUUUUCGAUUUUUGAGAAAGUAAUCUUGGUGGGAGUCUGGCUCUUGAGAUUCGGGGAGCGGUGCCUCUUCGAUUUUUUAGAAAGUAAUCCUGUUGGGAGUGUUUUCUCGAUGUGAGUAAAGGUUGGGCAUUUUUGCCAGUCUGCUUUGCCACGGAGCACAGAGGUUGACACACAUAGGGACUUUCCAGUUAUCAAGCAGUGGUGCUAUUCCUUUACCCUUAUGGGUAAUGGUAAGGUAGCUGGACCUUCAAAAUUUAUGUGUCUAAACUUUGUCAGAGAUCUUUGGCAAAGUUAUCUGUGGUACCUGAGGAGCUGAUGUUGCGUGUGGGGAUUGUCGACAUAUUUUAUCAGGAAAAUCUGCUUCUUGAAAUCCGGAGAGUGGUGCUUCUUCGAUUUUUGAACAAACGGCCCUGCUGCCCUUUCUUUUAUAGGGGCACCAAUUGUGUGCAAGAAGUACGUUCAGAAAGUUAUUGCUUGUAGGAAUUUCCCUUUAUUUUCGUACUUCAGAAAUUUAUUGGACCUCAUUUCUCCUUCAUCAUUUCUGAAAAUGCCUGGCCCAUCCGACCGUCGUUUUGACUUGAACUUUGGUAAAGAGGUAGCCAUGCCUCCUCAAGACAAUAUAUGACGCCCAUCCUUCUUAUCCCCUAUUGGUCAUCUUACCGUUGGGGACUCUAUGAUGAAGAAUGAUAUGACCGCUGCGGUGGUGGCCAAAAACCUUCUCACUCCCAAAGAUAACAGACUACUUUCCAAACGGUUUGAUGAGUUGGCUGUUAAGGAUUCUCUGGCUCUCAGUGUUCAGUGUGCAGGUUAUGUGUCUAAUAUGGCCCAACGCCUAUUUGCUCGAACCCGCCAAGUUGAAUCAUUGGCGGCUGAAGGGAUAAGUCUCAAACAGGAUAUUAGAGGGCUCAAGCAUGAGAAUAAACAGUUGCACAUGCUCGCACAUGACUAUGCUACAAACAUGAAGAGGAAGCUUGACCAAAUGCAAGAAUCUGAUGGUCAGAUUUUACUUGAUCAUCAGAGGUUUGUGGGUUUGUUCCAAAGACAUUUAUUACCUUCGUCUUCUGGGGCUGUACCGCGUAAUGAAGCUCCAAAUGAUCAACCUCUGAUGCCUCAUUCUUCUGGGGUUCUGUCCAGUACUGAGGCUCUGAAUGAUCACCCUCCGGUGCCUUUUCUUUCUGGGGCUCUGCCGACUGCUGAGACUCAUCCUGAGCAACCUUUGUGAAGGCUCUAUCUUGUUUGUUUAUUUUGAUUCAUGUAUAAUUACAUAUUUGUAACUUAUCGGAGAUAUCAAUAAAUAAGCUUUGCUUCAUUUCAACGUAUUGUGUUAAAUAUACCAAAGUCUUCUUCACUAAGUUCUUUGAAUUUUUUCUUUUGUUGAAGCUUGUAUGCUGAAGCUUUGUGAGUGAAGCAUGUAGGUUAAGGUAGUGUUCCCUUCAUUUCCCGAGUGAGGAAAACUUCUCAGUUUGAGACUUGAAAAAUCCAAGUCACUGAGUGGUCGUGAGACUUCCGAGUAUCAUGGUGCAGUAGCAUAUGGUAGGAGUCCCCCAAGUCUCUGGUCGAAGGAGUUGACGAACCCGCCAAGUUGAAUCAUUGGCGGCUGAAGUGAUAAGUCUCAAACAGGAGAUUAGAGGGCUCAAGCAUGAGAAUAAACAGUUACACAGGCUCGCACAUGACUAUGCUACAAACAUGAAGAGGAAGCUUGACCAGAUGCAAGAAUCUGAUGGUCAGAUUUUACUUGAUCAUCAGAGGUUUGUGGGUUUGUUCCAAAGGAAUUUAUUGCCUUCGUAUUCUGGGGCUAUACUGCGUAAUGAAGCUCCAAAUGAUCAACCUCCGAUGCCUCAUCCUUCUGGGGUUCUGUCCAGUACUAAGGCUCCGAAUGAUUACCCUCCGGUGCCUUCUCUUUCUAGGGCUCUGCCGACUGCUGAGACUUCUCCUUAGCAACCUUUGUGAAGGCUCCCUCUUGUUUGUUUAUUUUGACUCAUGUAUAUGUACAUAUUUGUAACUUAUCGGAGAUAUCAAUAAAUAAGCUUUGCUUCAUUUCAACGUAUUGUGUUAAAUACACCAAAGCCUUCUUCACUAAGUUCUUUGAAUUUUUUCUUUUGUUGAAGCUUGUAUGUUGAAGCUUUGUGAGUGAAGCAUGUAUGUUGAGGUAGUGCUCCCUUAAUUUCGCAAGUGAGGAAAACUUCUCGGUUGGAGACUUGAAAAAUCCAAGUCACUGAGUGGUCGUGAGACUUCCGAGUAUCAAGGUGCAGUAGCAUAUGGUAGGAGUCCCCCAAGCCUCCGGUCAAGGGAGUUGACGAAUGAGGCAUUUCCUUUCUAAGUGGUAGCCCAAAACUCAUCCUUCAUAUAUAUUUGUUAUGAAAGUUGUUAGGCCCAAAGAAGAGGAGGCCUACACAAGGGUUUCCGAAUAUAUAUAUAUAUAUAUAUAUAUAUUAAGCUUUGUAGGUGAAGCUUUGUUGGGUACCAUGAAUUGAUUUUGCUUCACACUAUCUUGAUCAAGAGUGUGUGAAACUUUUGUAGGUGAAGCUUUUGUGGGUGAAGCUUUUGUGGGUGAAGCUUUUGUAUGUGAAGUUUUUAUGGGUGAAGCUUUUGUAGGUGAAGCUUUUGUUGGUGAAGUUUUUGUGGGUGAAGCUUUUGUGUUGAAGCUUUGUAGGUGAAGCUUUGUAGGUGAAGCUAUUGUGUUGAAGCUGUGUAGGUGAAGCUUUGGAGUUGAAGCUUUGUAGGUGAAGCUUUUGAGUUGAAGCUUUGUAGGUGAAGUUUUGGAGUUGAAGCUUUUGUUGGGUACCAUGAAUUGAUUUUGCUUCACACUAUCUUGAUCAAGAUAGUGUGAAGCUUUUGAGAAUUUGUAGUUGCCCUCCAUUUGUUAAAGCUUUCGUUGGUGAAGCUUUUGUGGUGAAGCUUUGUAGGUGAAGCUUUGUUGGGUACAAUGAAUUGAUUUUGCUUCACACUAUCUUGAUCAAGAUAGUGUGAAGCUUUUGAGAAUUUGUAGUUGCCCUCCAUUUGUUGAAGCUUUUGUUGAAUUUCCCAAUUUCCUUUUUUUUUUGUUUAGAAACUAGAAAUUUGAAAAUGUGGGAGAGACAACAUAUACAAAUUUUGCUUCCACAUUGUUGAGCAAGAGAUUGUGAUGCAAACCACACCUUGUAGUAGUCGAAGGUUUGGAUGAACCAUAUAAAUUGAAUUUGCUUCGAACAGUCUUGAUCAAGAGUGUGUGAAGCUUUCUACGAGUUGUAGUUGCCCUUCAUUGAUGAAACUUUUGUUGGCACCAUAAAUUGGUUUUGCUUCACACUGUCUUGAUCAAGAGUGUGUGAAGCUUUUGAGAAUUGUGGUUGCCCUCCAUUGAUGAAGCUCUUGUUGGCACCAUAAAUUGGUUUUGCUUCACACUGUCUUGAUCAAGAGUGUGUGAAGCUUUUGAGAAUUGUAGUUGCCCUCCAUUGAUGAAGCUCUUGUUGGCACCAUAAAUUGGUUUUGCUUCACACUGUCUUGAUUAAGAGUGUGUGAAGCUUUUGAGAAUUGUGGUUGCCCUCCAUUGAUGAAGCUCUUGUUGGCACCAUAAAUUGGUUUUGCUUCACACUGUCUUGAUCAAGAGUGUGAAGCUUUUGAGAAUUGUGGUUGAACUUCUUUGAUGAAGCUCUUGUUGGCACCAUAAAUUGGUUUUGCUUCACACUGUCUUGAUCAAGAAUGUGUGAAGCUUUUGAGAAUUGUGGUAAUCUCUUGCUGGCACCAUAAAUUGGUUUUGCUUCACACUGUCUUGAUCAAGAAUGUGUGAAGCUUUUGAGAAUUGUCGUUGAACUCCUUUGAUGAAACUCUUGUUGGCACCAUAAAUUGGUUUUGCUUCACACUGUCUUGAUCAAAAGCGUGUGAAGCUUUCUACGAGUUGUAGUGUUUGCAUUGUUACAGAGGAGAAAUGUCUGUAGCAGAUGCAAUAAGGCUGAAUAGCUUAAUCUUCGUAUACCAUGCACUAAAGUUGUUGUUGGCUUGCAAUAAGACUUUGUUGGUGACUAUAACUCUUGUUGGGCAUAAGUGCUCCCCUAGUUGAGUUGUUAAGCUUGAGGGUUUUUGAUUAUUUGUGAAUGCUAGGAGUUCACAUGUACAAGUUGUACCACUCGUCUUCUGGUAGGUGGAAUGAAUGGUGAGUUGUUUUCAUCAUUUGGUUGGUGUGAGUUCCUUCAUCACCUUUCAUCACAUUUCAUCACCUGGUAGGUGGCACGAAUAUGAGUUCCUUCUUCACCUGGUUGGUGGCAUGAAUGGCAAGUUGCCAAAUGAUAUUAGAAUACAGGUUGUACAUUUCAUACCUGGUUGGUGGCAUGAAGGAGAGUACGGGUUGUACAUUUCAUCACCUGGUUGGUAGCAUGAAGAUGAGUUCAUUCUUCACCUGGUUGGUGGCAUGAAUGGCAAGUUGCCAAAUGAUAUUAGAGUACGGGUUGUACAUUUCAUCACCUGGUUGGUGGCAUGAAGGAGAGUACGGGUUGUACAUUUCAUCACCUGUUUGGUGGCAUAAAGAUGAGUUCCUUCUUCACAUUUCAUCACUUGGUUGGUGAGAAUAAGGGCAAGGUGUCGAGGCAUAUUGUAGCAAGUGUCGAAUGACACAAAGUAUGUUGAACACUUUCGAAACACAGUUGGCUUAUGUAUGAAUGUGUUGGAAUGUAUGAUUGAACGAAUAUACUGUGAAGCUGUUUGUUUAUUUGUAUAGUCUUGUUGACAUAUACUUAGACUUUGUUUCAUGUUGGAAGCAUUCAUGUUGAAGCUUUGAACCCGAGUGUUUCAUUGCUAGGAAAGUAAGAGGAUUAUGACCGAGUUGUGUAAAUCACCUCUUUAUUGAAUUCAUGCCAAAUAGUCUUCGUUACAUAGGAUGCCGAACGGCUGAAGCUUAACACUUGUACAAUGUGAUUUUACUUGUAAUAGUACUUCAAGUGAUCAGCGUUCCAUGGAUGGCCAAGGGUCUUGCCAUUGGAGCUUUUAAGCUUGUAGGAGCCAGGGCGACUGAUGCCAACAACUUCAAACGGUCCAUCCCAGUUUGAACUAAGUGUUCAUUCACUCGGGACUCUGUCGCAGAGUAAUCUUUUCUUCAAUACCCAGUCCCCCACUUUGAAAGAACGAGGUUUGACCCUUGAGUCAUAGUAGUUGGCGAUGCGCUGCUUGUAGGCAACAUUCCUCAAGUGAGCUUGGUUUCUGUGUUCCUCGACUAGAUCUAAGUUGAGGGUAAGUUGUUUGUCAUUUUCGCUUUGCACGUAGUUCUGGACUCGGAAUGUUGCUUGCUCAAGCUCAACUGGGACAACUGCCUAUGUACCAAAGGCAAGCGAGAAUGAGGUUUCUCCUGUUGAUGUCCGAUACGAAAUGCGGUAUGACAAAAAAACUUUGGGUACAAAUUCUGGCCAACAACCUUUAGCCUUGUCCAAGCUGGUUUUCAAAGUUUGCUUGAUUAUUUUGUUGAUGGCUUCGACUUGUCCAUUAGACUGGGGAUGAGCUGGGGAGGCAAAACAUAAGUUGAUGUUGAACUUAGAGCAGAACAUCCUGAACUUAUUGUUGUCGAACUGUCGCCCGUUGUCAGUGACUAUCGCAUUGGGAAUGCCGAAUCUGCAAAUGAUGUUCUUCCAUACGAAGUCUUCUAUUUUUGCCUCAGUAAUUGUUGCCAAGGGUUCUACUUCAGCCCACUUUGUGAAGUAGUUAACUGCAACGAUUGCAUAGCGAACCUUGCCCUUCCCUGCAGGCAUUGGGCCGAUCAAAUCAAGUCCCCAUUGGGCGAAGAGCCAAGGGCUGAUCAUAGGAGUGAGCGGCUCGGGAGGGGAGUGAGGAAUAGUUGCGUAGCGUUGACACUUAUCACAUGAGCGAGAUAUUCUGAUGGCAUCUUGGUGGAGUGUUGGCCAGUAAUAUCCUUGGCGAAAAGCUUUGUGUGCUAGGGAUCGAGAUUCAGCAUGAUCUCCGCAGACUCAUUCAUGUAUUUCCCGAAGGACAAUUUUCGCCUCCGCGGGGGUAAGGCAUCUUAGAUAUGGUAGGUUAAACCCCGUUUGUAGAGUUUGUCAUUAAUGAUCAAGUAACGGGUAGCCUUGUAUCGAAUCUGCUUAGCUUGGACUUUAUCGUUUCGGAGGGUACCAUACGCAAGGAAUUUAUAAAUCGGGGUAAUCCAACUAUCCCCCUAUUGUAAGUUGCACACUUCUGUGGCCAUGAUGCUUGGUGCUGCCAACAAUUCGACCUAAAUUUUUCUCCCAAUUUUGUCUUCCACUGCUGAGGCGAGGCGAGCCAAAGCGUCUGCAUGACUGUUUGCCGCUCGAGGAAUUUGGGUGAUCUGGUAGUGGAAGUGCUUGAGCAACAAUUGUGUUUGUGCCAUAUAUGCUGCCAUGGAGCUAUCCUUAGCGUCAAAGUUGUUGGUGACCUGGUUAACCACCAAUUGUGAGUCACUGAAGAUAUCAAUUCGUUUAACCCCAAGGUGUUUGGCCAAACGUAAGCCUGCUAGAAGGGCUUCAUAUUCAUCAUCAUUAUUCGAUGCCUUGAAUUUGAAACGAAGAGCAUACUUCAUUGCCACUUUGUCAGGGGUCAUAAGGACUAGUCCUGCUCCACAACCCUGUUGGUUGGACUAGCCAUCAACAUAUAUACUCCAUGCUGGGGUUGUUGGUUCUAUUUUCUGAACUUCCGAGGGUAAUGAAACCACUUCUUUAGGCGUAGAAACAAUGUCAACAGGAUAUGUGAAGUCGCCGAUGAAGUCUGCCACUGCUUGGCCCUUCUCAGCUGGCUUUGGUUGGUAGGAGAUGUCAAACUCACCCAAUGCUAUCGUCCAUUUGAUUAUUCUCCCCGAAGUGUAUGGACUUUAGAGUAUCUGUCGGUGAGGAUGAUUGGUAAGCACGAUGAUGGAGUGUGCUUGGAAGUAAGGGCGAAGUUUUCGAGCAGACAUGACCAAUGCUACAGCCAAUUUCUCAAUGUUGGAGUAUCGUGUCUCCACAUCUUAUAAGGCCUUGCUAGCGUAGUAGACAGGCCGUUCGACAUUACCAUCCUUUCGAAUAAGAACGAAACUUAUUGCUGAAGCCGAUACCGAUAGAUAGAUAAUGAGAGUGUCACCAACCUCAGGUUUGGCAAGCAAAUGGGCUUUACUCAUGUAGUCCUUGAGGUUCUUGAAUGCCUCGGCACAUUCAUCAGUCCAUGUAAUGUACUUCUUACUUCCUUUAAGUGCUUUGAAGAAAGGAGCAUAUCUGUCUGUGGCCUUAGAGAUGAACCUAGUUAAGGCUGCCACCUUGCCAGUAAGGCUCUAGAUGUCUUUUGAAGCCUAAGCCGAAGGCAUGCCGAAAGCACAUUUGUUGGGGUUCAACCUCAUUCGAUACCUCUUCAGAAUGGUGAAAGUUUCAGAUAGGUUAGUGAUGUGUUGGUCAGCAUGUUUGCUCUUGACUAGCAUAUCAUCAACGUAAAUUCCAUGCUCUUCCCAAUCUGUUCGGCGAACAUUGAAUUGACUAGUCUCUGAUAAGUCGCUCCUGCAUUCUUUAGGCCGAAGGGCAUGACUUUAUAGCAAUAUAGUCCCCUGUCAGUAGUGAAGGUUGUGUGUUCUUGGUCUGGAAGGUUCAUGAGGAUUUGGUUAUAUCCUGAGUAAGCAUCCAUGAAGCUCAGGAGUUCACACCCUGCCGUAGAGUCUAUAAGUUUGUCAAUGAGAUGAAGAGGAAAGAUAUCCUUCGGGCAUCCUUUUGUUUAGGUCGGUGUAGUCGACACACAUUCUCCACAAGACCUUUUGGAGCAGGAGACUUUCUUUGGUCAGAUUUUUCUUAACAAGGACCACAUUUGCUACCCAUGUUGGAUAAUUGACUUCGCGGACGAAGCCUAUGCCUUUGAGUUUUUCAACUUCUGCCUUCAUUGCUUCGUAUCGUUCAUCGUCAUAAAAUCUUCGCUUCUGUCUCACCGGCUUGGUCUUGGGGUUAAUACUCAAGCGAUGACAUAUGAUAUCGGGAGAGAUGCCUGGCAUGUCCUCAUAUGACCAGGCGAAGACCUCAGUGUUCUCUUGCAAAAAAGAGAUCAAUGCCAACUGAAUGGGUGGUGACAAGGUGGUGCCAAUCUUCACUAUACGAUCUGGAUAAUCUUUUGAGAUAGAAACCUUCUCCAACUCUUUAGCGGGUUGUGUUUGUUGGGUGAAAGAGUCAUCUCGAGGAUCGUCGGGUUAACUGUUGCCACCGUGAAGAUCCAAGUUGGCUUCGUCUGAGCUGGUCUUUAUGACUUGGUCAUGUAUAGAAAGGGUUUCCUUGGGCACAGACAUGUGAUGUUGCUUGACCGAGGUGUUGUAACAUGAUCGUGCACUAAGUUGAUCUCCUCUGAUGUAACCAUUGCCAUAAGGGGUUGGAAAUUUCAUCAACAACAUAUGUGUGGAUACCAUGGCCUUGAGGUCAUUGAUGCAUGUGCGUGCAAAGAUGACAUUGUAUGUCGUUAGACAAUCAACCACCAGGAAGUUAGUGGUAAUGGUAGUUGUGUAAGGGCCUGUACCAAUGGUGAAAGGUAAGUGUAUACUCCCUAAAGGUUGCAUGAUAUCAAUGGAGAAGCUUAUCAGAGGAGAAAUCGAGUGAUCGAGCAAGUGUUCAGCUACAUUAAGUGCCCUGACAGUUUCAGCAAACAUGAUAUUGACCGAAGCCCCCAUGUCUACCAGGAUUCGUCGUACUUCAAAGUUGGCUAUGUGAGCUUCCACGAUCAGUGGGUCGUUGUGAGGGUAGAUGAUACCUCUUUCUUCCUCAGGGUAGAAACAUAUUGGAUCCUAGUUAUGCUUUUGAUACUUGCCUCCUCUGAUGUCUUCCACAUGAAACACUUGGUGGCUAGGCCUUAAAGCUCGUUCGCUGUUUUUCAUGGCCUAUUGGAAGAUUCAGAUAUGGGUGUGCCACCGCUUAUGGAAUAUAUCACAUUCACUUGGCGUUGGUUACGGUUAUCCCUUGAAGGGUGAAUGAGGAAUCGAUCAAUUUUUCCUUCACGCGCCAAAGCUUCAAUAUGAUUACGAAGAGUGAUACACUUCUCGCCGUCAUGGUCGUUAUGCUCAUGGUAGCAGCAAAACAUGCCCGUGUUCUUCGUGGGCAUGUAACUCGACUGCCUCGGUAUUGGCUUCGGUAUCAAGUGUGCUAUACUGGGGUAAAUGGCCACGCAUGUGGCUUUCAAAAGUGUGUAUGUCUCAUACCUCGGGGUAGGGCCUGUCCUGACACGUGCUUGGCCCACUGUGUUGACUGCCUGGGGGCGGGCAUUAUCGUGGCGAUACCCUUGGUUAUCGCGAUAGUGUCUCUUACUCCUUUUACUAAAAUGAGACUGGUGAAGAUGGAAAUCUUUCCUUUUGCCCUGAGAUUGAUAUGUCUGUUGACUUGGCGAAGUAUUAAGUAAGGCAGGGGGAGGCACUGCUGCCGUUUGGAAGGUCGAGGUCUUCUCAUUUGGUUGGAUCUGGCUUCCACUCCCUACUUGCUGAUAAGGGGUGGCUGUGGGGGGUUUUCCUUGAUAUGCCAUUGCCUCGACGGAGGCAUGGUUAUAAGCCUGCGCCAUCACCUCAGAGUAAGUCUUCCAAGUGUUGGCAUUGAUCAUGUAUUUAAAGAAUCAGUCAUGUAGGCCUACCGUGAAGGCUUUGAGGGCAGUCUUGUCGUCUGCCCUGGCACAACGGGAAUACUCAUGGCUGAAACGGCCAGCAUACAUAUGUAAUGACUCGUCUGGCUUCUGGCGAAUAGUGUACAAGUCAUCCGCAGAGUGCAAGCGAUCAGUCUGGAAAAUGUGUUGAGAAACAAACAAUUUCCUCAAUUCCUUAAAUGAGUCUACUGUCUCAGGUGGAAGAUGGUUAGAGCUCCGCCAGAGAGGGUGGAGGGGAAGAGAAGACAUCGCUCUUCGUCGGUGUCACGCCCCGUCCCAAAAACAAUAUAUUUCGAGAAUUAAUUAUGAUAGGCCCAACUUAAAAAUGUAGAUAAUUUUAUUUCUUUUAAUCACAUCCCUCUAAGUCAAUAUUACUCUCUGUUACCAGCUAUCCAUAUUUUCUUAAAUGUCAAACAUCUCUUUAAGUAAACACUAAUUCUCGAUUGUUUAGUCUCACUUAUUUUAUGGCUGCGUCUAACGUCUCGUUAGACUGCCUACGUACCCUAAACAGGGAUCAAGCCAUUCGUAGUUCACAAAUUCAAAUUCAAUUGAAUUAUGAUAUUCUUACACAUAAUUAACAAUCACCAACUAGCUUCAUACAAGUGUAUCACAUUGAAUGCUUAUUUAACUUGAAUCUAGAACAUCAAAAUUAGCGUAAGAAUACGGCGUUGACUCCCUGGCCACGCGCCGCCGCCGGUGGCGGUCGGCCGUCCCUACUUGCCGCAAAUUUCAACUAUUUUUAAAAAUUCUCAAAAAUUACAGAAAUGAAGAUCUCAAAGAGUAGAGCAAACUUUAUACCUGUGGCCAAGCCCAAUUUGGCCUGGAAAGGCUCCAAUUUGCCUCAAACACGCCGGUACCCUAGAAUUUGGGUGUCCUCGACUCGACUCCAUAGCAGCUCCGACGCCCCAAACCUUGUUUGGGCUUUGUUCCUAGGUUCUCAAGGAACAUGUUGGUGGUGGUAAUUGAAAGAGUUUGUUUCAGAUUUGGUGGAUCGCCACCUAUGAACUCACGCACCCACCGGUGUGGUUUUGCACAGUUUCAAGGCCAAUAACUAUCUAAUUUAUGAUAGAAUCAGUCAAGGGGAGGUCAUGGAACAUUUUUAAGGUGGUUUGGUAACAUAAUUCGUCAAAAAACCCGACGAAAAGCCACCGGAGGAGGUGGAGAAAAUCGGGUCGGGUCGAUAGCAUAGAACCGGCUCUAAGGAUCCGGUGCACUUCCUUCCUCUCCUUUCCCCUCCUUUCUCUCUUCUCUCAUUGGUCACUCUCACAUCCCCCCUUUCCUGAUUGGCCCUUCUCUCCCUCAUUUCUCUCCUUUAUCGUCCAUCUCCACCGCCUAACUUUUCUUACUUUUAAUCUGGGCCACACACGUGGCCUUCCGGAUUUGGCUCCAAAAAUCUGGAGCAUUCUAGAAAUGAUAAAUUUACAAUUUUACCCUCGACUUUAAACGUUAAUAACUUCCUCGUUAUAACUCCAUUUCACGAACGGUUUACGCCCACGCGUUCGUGAGGUCAAGCUCUAUUCAAAAAUAUAAAUUGUGACCUCAAAAGGUUCUAUGAAUUUUAAAUAGUUAAUUUCCAAAUUGUAAACCUCGUAACUAGUUUAAUUUAAAACUAAACUUACACAAAUUAUUAUAAAUUCUUGAAAAAUCAUAUAAAAGCUCAAUAAUACAAAUAUGUAGAUUAUUAUAAUUUUUGGAAACAAAACUUUAAAAGUUCUCAAUUUUAAAAGUUCUCGAUUAAAUUCUUCAUAAUCAUAAAUCGAUUUAUUUUCGAUUUUCUCCACAUACUCAUAUAUUUAAAUUUUUCAGGGUAUUACAGUCGGUGUGCAUCCGGUAUGCCAUGGUGGACUCAAAGAGGUUAAGGUGUUCAAUCGGGUCCUCUUUUACAGUAUAGAGUUGCAAGCCAAGCUUCUGCUUUGUCUUUGCCUGGAGGGGGUGUCGAGGAUCCUCCUUAUAAGAGGGCCAGGUCUAGGUUGGUUCUAAUCAGGUAUCUCAGCUUGUCGUUCGGCCCUCAACUUGUUUACUUCCUUAAGGAGUUGUAGGACAAGAAGGUCCUGAGUGGAGUCAUGUACCACUGGAGCUUUCUUUCGUAAAUCUCCAUCUCCUCUUGAGAGUAGGAAGGUUUGAUCAAGAGCAUGUGAUUUUUCCCUGGACUCGCCGUACUAACUUCCAAGGUAUGUCUGUCGGAACAUCUCUGAGUCCCCUCUACCUUCGUGUUUCUCUAGGACUUGUUGCCCCUUCCCCAAAUUGGUAGCCGGCCUGGGACAUGGAAGGGGAUCGAGUCUUUCAGAGACCCUUGGGUCAUUGAUCUUCGAGCUUACAUGGAUGGGAUUGUCUCGACGUUGCUUUAGGAAGUCUCGACAGUCGCGAAAGACGACUUUCGAUCUUUCCACUCCUUCUGUAAGGAUGUGCCUUCCUCCACUCCUCCUGCUUCGGGUCGAAGCAGCUGGGUUGAGAGAAGUCUCAUGUUGGUCGCCAUUUUGAUGAGUAGCUCGCUCCUCAACAAGAAUACCCAUGUCGAAGGCAAAUAACCCUCCAUGUUGAGGGGCACCCAGUUGAUGGUUGACUUCCACAUGGGUGAUGAGCUCGUGUGUUUUAGUAUAUCUAGCCUCGUGGAGCAUCUUAAAGACCUUCUCAUACUGCUCUUAGAGGAUCUCAUUCUUCAUCGCUUCUUUCGUUGCUUCGCACCAGGUGCAAGAGAGGUGUCAUUCUGUGUGUUGUGGCUUCCUUCACUCCCCAUGUUGGAAAGGGAUGCCUGGUCAAAAAAUAGUGUACGAAUGGUGGAAACCAGCUUAAAAAAGCUGAAGAGAGUGGGAAUAAGUGUCGUUCCCACAGACGGCGCCAAAUGUUGAUGCACAAAAUCAGCGAGGACUUUGGUACAACAGAAAGUGUUAAGUUUGUGACCUUCGCUAGAUUGCUCUGGUCACUAGUGUGGAUAAGUAUGUAAAUGGAUAGGGAAAGGAAAGCAAACACCAGAUGUACGUGGUUCAACCAGAUUGGCUACGUCCACGGAGUAGAAGAGUUCUCAUUAAUUGUGAGGGUUUACAUAAGUACAUAGGUUCAAGCUCUCCUUUAGUGAGUACUAGUGAAUGAUUUAGUACAAAUGACAUUAGGAAAUAUUGUGGGAGAAUGAUCUCCUUUUAUAGAAGAGAGUUUCUAGCUUUUUCUGACAUUGACACGUGUCGUGUUGUGAUUGGCUUUCGAUGUUGACACAUGUCGCGCUAUGAUUGGCUUCUGAUGUCGACACGUGUCGCGCUGUGGUUGGCCUUCUGGUUGGAGGGAAACUCUUCUAGGUCCUUGAUGGUAUAACGUUGACCGGUGCUCGGUAGUUUCGGGAUUGGUCAAGUAUGGUACAAACAGUUAGUGCUCGCUUGCAACCCAAUUUGCUGCUAUAAAGUUUUGUGUUUUACAAUAUGUUCAUGCUUAAACCUGUUCCAAUUUUGAAGGUCAAGAUGGGACACCUAUCUGGGCAAUGUUGGGAUGUCUAGGCUUGGGUAGAGAUGUGGACUUAUGGAAGUGGUGAAGUAGCUUAGCUCUAUCUCAUUAGCUCUCAUAUGUUCUGUUUAAGCUCAUUGGUGCUGGCUCUGAGGUUUUUCGAAGCUCUCCGUUUUCGAAAUCUGAAGCUUAGAAUCCCAUUCAACCACAAGGAACUAGAAUAAUUGAAAAAAAAAUGUUUUGACGUCCAAAAAGAAGCAUGUGCAAUCCUCUAAUUUUAUUAAUAUAAAAGAAGUGAUGCAAAUCCAGUAAAGAUGUAAAUAAGAGCUAUUAGUGGGAAAAAAUAGUUGUAUAAUUCCGGGCCUUGAAGAAGGCUACAAAGUAUAUGAGAAUAACGUAUCUAUAUAGUGUUUAUGUUUGUUCAUUUCUCCCUUACGGUUUUUUAUGCCUGUUAACACUUGAAUAAUGAUGCAGGUCAAUCAAGCAAAUAAGAUUCAUAAAGAAAACUCCACAUCUGUUGCCAGUAAUGCUCAUGGGCAGAAGUAUAGGAAACCAAAGCCUACAAAUAUGAAGCCUUUUAGGUUUAGAACUGAUGUAUGUGAAACUUGUUGUGACCAAUUUCUUUAAUAAGUAUUAGUAGCGUUGAUGCUUAAUAUGAUACGUUUUGGGCUUUUUUUUAGGAAAGAGGGAUGUUUAAGGAAGCAACUUUGGAGAAAAAAGCUCAUACACCACUGAAGGAGAUCACAUUAGUCAGGACUCCAGGGGCAAAGUCAACAAGCAAACAUCAGAAUGUGAUACAGGUAUACUUGGGAGCUACAAGUGCUUUGUAUGUGGUUUGAAUAUGAACAAUUACAUUGUGUAUCACCGUCAUAUAGGCAAAUUUGUUAUGUGUGAUGGUGUAUUGACACAUGACUAAAAUGGAUUAUCUAAUUUUAUGCAAUUUAUAAUUUUGGGUUUCUCUAAUUUUCUGCUUUUUUGUGAUUUAUUUGAUGAAAGUUUCAAUCUUCAGGUACAUUUUUCAUAUAUGUACUCAUCAAAUGUCACGAUUACUGUUCCUCUGGUUUUUUGGGCUACAAAUUAAAUUUUGGGGUUGUUUAAAUUUGUUUAAUUUGGUCCAAAAUUAAUUGAUUUGAUGUUCUAGGUUCUUUGUAGGCAAAACAUUGGACCAGUUGGUCAUAUUUGGAAGAGAAAACGAAGAUGGAGUUCUUGGUGUUGCAUGAAGUUGAUGUGUCCUGUCUCCAAUGGAAUAAAUUUGAUGUCACCAUCUUCAGCAUUCCUCAUGCAGACCAUUACUCUUGACUAAGUGAAAAGUACUCGGACCUUAUUGAGUAAGUCACUAAUUAUUCAUUUCAAUUAAAUGCUGAUUAUGAUAUUAUGUGUAAAUAGGAUUGUAAAUAUAUUGUACAUAAAAUUUUCAAUCUCGCAGCAACGCGCGGGCACCAUUGCUAGUUAACACUAGUCCUCAAACUCCGAAAUGCAAACUUGAAUUGUUUCGAAGAUGUGCUGAUAAAAGCAUCUUCCCCUUUGUACAUACAGUGUAUGUAGCUCCUUCGUAACUCCUCAUAUAUCUCACUGUGCCAAAACCACACAACCAAAAUUUAAUUAAAAGCAUACAUACGUGUGUGGGUGAAAACAAAUGUGAAAUUAAAGAUGAUAGGGUGCAUACCAGGCCUGUUCUUUUCUAUGGAAUGCAUCAAUUGUAGGUCACAAUUCUAUCACAACGAGAUACCCUUGUAAUAAACAAAUGCAAAGACAUGUUAAUAAAUUUGAAAACCAGCGAAGAGAAGGAGCACCAUCCGAGAGCUGGCUUAUAUGCCUCCCACUUCCUAUACACUCUCAUCCCUUUUAUUUUGGGUGGUCACGGUUAAGUCAUGUCAAUAUUUUGUAUUGAUUUUUUUAUAGAAAUAAUAAGACAAAAAGUAAUAGUAAUAUAAAAUGUUGACGUGAUUUAACCGUGACCGUACAAAUAAGAAGGGAUAAGAGUGUAUGGGAAGUGGGAGGGCAGAGAAGCUAGCUCCCACCAAUUGACGUGAGGGCUCCCCUCACGCUAUUACCGCGCUAAGCCUCCCACAAUGAAUCAAACCAUUUACUUAGGACAAUUUUUUAAAACUUUUUGUUUUCUCAUCUUUUUCUUCAUCUCAGCAAAAAUACAAGUAUACGAAAAUAACAAGGGAACUUAAACGAAAAGCUUCCGGUAAUGUUCAUUUUAACGAAAAACCACAUUUUUACACUAAAAAGUCAAUCCUGGUACUAUUCAUUUUACUCUUUAUUUUGUCCUUAUCAUUAAAACUCAAAGUUUUCAAGCCCUUUUCAUUAGUUUUCCUAAAUCCUCCUUUUUCAGUAUAUACUAUAUUAGUACAUGUUAGCCCAUUUGAUAUUAUUGUCUUCAUUUUUUUUCAUUAUAUACUAUAUUAGUAGAUUGUUGAAUUAAAAGUCCAAGUCAUCUUCAGUAUAUGCUAUAUUAGUAGAUUGCUAGCGUCUAGACAGGACCUAAGCUUCCGCUUAGAUAAAUUAGACGGUUUUAAGAAAAUUUAUUAUAUAGCUUUAUUAUAUAAAUAAAUUAUACUAGAAAAAAAAAACAAUAAAGCGUUACUAAAAAAAUAGAAAAAUAUUAUUUGCUAAUUAAUCUUGGUUAAUCACUACAACAACAACAACAACAACAACAACAAAGCCUUUUCCCACUAAGUGGGGUCGGCUAUAUGAAUCCUAGAACGUCAUUGCGCUCGGUUUUGUGUCAUGUCCUCCGUUAGAUCCAAGUACUCUAAGCCUUUUCUUAGAGUCUCUUCCAAAGUUUUCCUAGGCCUUCCUCUACCCCUUCAGCCCUGAACCUCUGUCCCGUAGUCACAUCUUCGAACCGGAGCGUCAGUCGGCCUUCUUUGCACAUGUCCAAAUCACCGGAACCGAUUUUCUCUCAUCUUUCCUUCAAUUUCGGCUACUCCUACUUUACCUCGGAUAUCCUCAUUCUCAAUCUUAUCCUUUCUCGUGUGCCCACACAUCCCACGAAGCAUCCUCAUCUCCGCUACAUCCAUUUUGUGUACGUGUUGAUGUUUCACCGCCCAACAUUCUGUGUCAUACAACAUCGCUGGCCUUAUUGCCGUCUUAUAAAAUUUUCCCUUGAGCUUCAGUGGCCUACGACGGUCACACAACACGCCGGAUGCACUCUUACACUUCAUCCAUCCAGCUCGUAUUCUAUGGUUGAGAUCUCCAUCUAAUUCUCCGUUCUCUUGCAAGAUAGAUCCUAGGUAGCGAAAACGGUCACUUUUUGUGAUCUUCGCUAGAUUGCUCCGGUCAUUAGUGUGGAUAACUAUAUAAAUGGAUAGAGAUAGGAAAGCAAACACAAGAUGUACGUGGUUCACCCAGAUUGGCUACGUCCACGGAAUAGAAGAGUUCUCAUUAAUUGUGAAGGGUUUACACAAGUACAUAGGUUCAAGCUCUCCUUUAGUGAGUACAAGUGAAUGAUUUAGUACAAAUGACAUUAGAGUACAAGUGACAUUAGGAAAUAUUGUGGGAGAAUGAUCUCGUAAUCACGAAACUUCUAAGUAUCGGAGUGUGGUAUCAUCUUGACUUGCCUUAUCUGUCUCAUAGGUAGAUGUGGCAGCUUCUCUGGAAGUACUCUUCCUCCAUCCAGGGGUGGUAUCUUUAACUUUAACUGGUGAAGAUGCACAAGGUAAUGUAUCAAUUUCACUUGAAGCUUACUUGUAGUUUCAGGCUUGGUCAAGUGCGAUACAAACCAUGUAGUAGGGGUCCCCCAAGUCGCCGAGCUAGGGGAUCUGCUGAAAGAGGUGACAGACAAGGUAAGCAAUCAGAGCUCCGGCUGAUUGUUCACCUUCUCCCCAUCUUGCAGCAGCAUGAAGGAUAAAGAAGAUAAAGAGAAGAAAAAUGAGAAGAUAUGAUAUGGGAUACUUUUGCUUUUGAAGAAGUAACUUUCCACAGGCUUAUUCUUGAACUGAGCUGGAGGGUUUUCUGGUUUCCUCCAGAGUAUAAGGCCGACUGAAGAAUUUGAGGGUCAAAACAAGUCCAUCAAAUCUAGAGUACGUUCGACCUUGCUGAUAUGGGAUACUUUUGCUUUUGACAGAGUAAUGGAUGUAUCAGCACGUGUGCUGUUACGCUUGUCUCCACAUGCUUCCUUGUAUCCUUCGCACUUGCCCUAUCUGUUCCUCAAGUAGAUGCGGUAUCUUCCCUGGAAACAUAAGGUGUUGAAGAUGAGUACUCAAGAGCAAUGCCAGGUAAGUAAUCAGGUAAGGGGUUCCAGGCAGUCAGUUCCUGGCUGGGAGCUUGAUUUCAAGUGCUGACUGAUUGCUCUCUUUCUCCUUGUCUUGCAGGUAAAAACAAGGCCAAAGGAAAAGACAGGGAAAAAGCAUGAUAUGGGAUACUCUUGCUUUUAACCCUGAUGAUAUGAGAUAUUCUUGCUCUAGUAUAGCUUGUUUGCAAAGAUAUUAUCGGGGGGGGGGGGAAAGAAAGCUGAAUAUUUCGAAAGGUUUCGUUGGGAGUGCCCUCUCAGAUAUGAGGAAUGGUUGAGCAUUUUUGCAGGUCUGCCUGUCCGUUGGGGAUGGAGGUCGACAUAUAUAGAAGUCUCCCUAACAACAAGUAGUAAUGCUAUUCCUUUACCCUGCUUGGUCAUAGCACGGUAGUGGGAGCUGCCAGCUUCACAUGUUUUAACUCUGUCAGAGCACUUUGAAAAAGUGGUAUGUGGUAUCUGGCUCUCGAGAUUCGGAGAACGAUGCUUCUUUGAUUUUUGAGAAAGCAAUCAUGCUAGGGGUCUGGCUCUCGAGAUUCGGGGAGCAGUGUCUCUUCGAUUUUUGAGAAAGUAAUCAUGUUGGGAGUCUGGCUCUCGAGAUUCGAAGGGCGGUGCCUCUUCGAUUUUGGAGUAAGCAAUCUUGUUGGGAGUGUUUUCUCGGAUGUGAGUAAAGGUUGGGCAUGUUUGCUAGUCUACCUUGCCACGAAGCACGGAGGUUGACACACAGGGAUUUUCCAAUUAUCCAGCAGUGGUACUGUUCCUUUACCCUUGUGGGUAAUAAUAUGGUAGCUAGACCUUCAAAAUUUAUGUGUCUAAACUUUGUUAGUGCUGUUUCUUUGUUAUUCUUUUACCUUUCUUGGUCAGAGCGAUGUAGUGGGAGCUGCAAGCUUUACGUGCUCAACUUUGGCAGAGACUUUGACAAAGUUAUCUGUGGUACCCAUGAGCUAUUGUUGCGUGUGGGAAGUGGGUGAUUGAACAGUAAGAUUCAUGUGCUUUCUACUUCACCAGAAGUCUUCGACAGAAUGCCCAUAAUUUCCGCAAAGCUGAGUGUGCGUGUGACAGGUGCUGACAAGGCUAGAAAAGUAGGUGCCUCUUCGAUUUCUGAGAUCGGCCAUCGUGGUCUCUGAGCAGCCCAGCUUUUGAGAAAGCGAGCGCCUCUUUGAUUGAUUCGGAAAACGAUGCCUCUUCGAUUUUUGAGAAAGCAAUUAUGCUGAGGGUCUGGCUCUCGAGAUUCGGGGAGCAGUGUCUCUUCGAUUUUUGAGAAAGUAAUCAUGUUGGGAGUCUGGCUCUCGAGAUUCGGAGGGCGGUGCCUCUUCGAUUUUGGAGCAAGCAAUCUUGUUGGGAGUGUUUUCUCGAAUGUGAGUAAAGGUUGGGCAUGUUUGCUAGUCUACCUUGCCACGAAGCACAGAAGUUGACACACAGGGACUUUCCAAUUAUCCAGCAAUGGUACUGUUCCUUUACCCUCUCUUCGAUUUUUGAGAAAGUAGUCAUGUUGGGAGUCUGGCUCUCGAGAUUCGGAGGACGGUGCCUCUUCGAUUUUGGAGCAAGCAAUCUUAUUGGGAGUGUUUUCUCGAAUGUGAGUAAAGGUUGGGCAUGUUUGCUAGUCUACCUUGCCACGAGGCACAGAGGUUGACACACAGGGACUUUCCAAUUAUCCAGCAAUGGUACUGUUCCUUUACCCUUGUGGGUAAUAAUAUGGUAGUUAGACCUUCAAAAUUUAUGGGUCUAAACUUUGUUAGUGCUGUUUCUUUGCUAUUCUUUUACCCUUCUUGGUCAGAGCGAUGUAGUGGGAGCUGCAAGCUUCACGUGCUCAACUUUGGCAGAGAACUUUGGCAAAGUUAUCUGUGGUACCCAUGAGCUAUUGUUGCGUGUGGGAAGUGGGUGAUUGGACAGUAAGAUUCAUGUGUUUUCUACUUCCCCAGAAGUCUUCGACAGAAUACCCAUAAUUUCCGCAAAGCUGAGUGUGCGUGUGACAGAUGCUGACAAGGCUGGAAAAGUAGGUGCCUCUUCGAUUUCUGAGAUCGGCCCUCGUGGUCUCUGAGGAGCCCAGCUUUUGAGACAGCGAGCGCCUCUUCGAUUUCUGAGAUCGGCUUUCGUGGUCUUUGAGCAGCCCAACUUUUGAGAAAGCAAACACCUCUUCGAUUUAUGAGAUCAACCCUCGUGGUCUCUAAGCAGCCCAGCUUUUGAGAAAGCAAACGCCUCUUCGAUUUCUGAGCAGGCGCCUCUUCGAUGUCUGAAGCUCCGUCGAGUGCAGCUUUUUAUAGGGGCUGGCAUUAAGUUCCAAAGCACACUUGAAUCUCCACCAGUAGAAGCUCCAUUCUUGCACUUCUAAGAUCUUAAUUUGUUCGACCUCUUCUCUCUUCAACACCUUUGAAAAUGUCUGGCCCCUCCGACCGUCGUUUUGACUUGAACCUUGUUGAAGAGGCAGCCCCGCCUUCUCCAGACAACAUAUGGCGCCCAUCCUUCGUCUCCCCUACUGGUCCUCUUACCGUUGGGGAUUCCGUGAUGAAGAAUGAUAUGACCGCUGCGGUGGUGGCCAGGAACCUUCUCACUCCCAAAGAUAACAGACUACUUUCCAAACGGUCUGAUGAGUUAGCUGUUAAGGAUUCGCUGGCUCUCAGUGUUCAGUGUGCAGGUUCUGUGUCUAAUAUGGCCCAACGCCUAUUUGCUCGAACCCGCCAAGUUGAAUCAUUGGCGGCCGAAGUGAUGAGUCUCAAACAGGAGAUUAGAGGGCUCAAGCAUGAGAAUAAACAGUUGCACCGGCUCGCACAUGACUAUGCUACAAACAUGAAGAGGAAGCUUGACCAGAUGAAGGAAACUGAUGGUUAGGUUUUACUUGAUCAUCAGAGAUUUGUGGGUUUGUUCCAAAGGCAUUUAUUGCCUUCGUCUUCUGGGGCUGUACCGCGUAAUGAAGCUCCAAAUGAUCAACCUCUGAUGCCUCAUCCUUCUAGGGUUUUGUCCAGUACUGAGGCUCCGAAUGAUCCCCCUCCGAUGCCUUCUCUUUCUGGGGCUCUACCGAUUGCUGAGACUUCUCCUAAGCAACCUUUGUGAAGGCUCCAUCUUGUUUGUUUAUUUUGACUCAUGUAUAUGUACAUAUUUGUAGCUUAUCGGGGAUAUCAAUAAAUAAGCUUUCCUUCAUUUCCACGUAUUGUAUAAAUACACCAAAGCCUUCUUCGCUAAGUUCUUUGAAUUUUCUUUUGUUGAAGCUUGUAUGUUGAAGCUUUCUGAGUGGAGCAUGUAGGUUGGGGUAGUGUUCCCCUAAUUUUCCGAAUGAGGAAAACUUCUCGGUUGGAGACUUGGAAAAUCCAAGUCACUGAGUGGGAUCGGCUAUAUGAAUCUUAGAACGCCAUUGUGCUCGGUCAUGUGUCAUGUCCUUCGUUAGAUCUAAGUACUCUAAGUCUUUUCUUAGAGUCUCUUCCAAAGUUUUCCUAGGUCUUCCUCUACCCCUUCGGCCCUGAACCUCUGUCCCAUAGUCGCAUCUUCUAAUCGGAGCGUCAGUAGGCCUUCUUUGCACAUGUCCAAACCACCGUAACCGAUUUUCUCUCAUCUUUCCUUCAAUUUCGGCUACUCCUACUUUACCCCGGAUAUCCUCAUUCCUAAUCUUAUCCUUUCUCGUGUGCCCACACAUCCAACGAAGCAUCCUCAUCUCCGCUACACCCAUUUUGUGUACGUGUUGAUGCUUCACCGCCCAACAUUCUGUGCCAUACAGCAUCGCCGGCCUUAUUGCCGUCCUAUAAAAUUUUCCCUUGAGCUUCAGUGGCAUACGGCGGUCACACAACACGCCAGAUGCACUCUUCCACUUCAUCCAUCCAGCUUGUAUUCUAUGGUUGAGAUCUCCAUCUAAUUCUCCGUUCUUUUGCAAGAUAGAUCCUAGGUAACGAAAACGGUCGCUCUUUGGUAUUUCUUGAUCUCCGAUCCUCACCCCUAACUCGUUUUGGCCUCCAUUUGCACUGAACUUCCAUAUAUUCUGUCUUUGAUCGGCUUAGGCGAAGACCUUUAGAUUCCAACACUUCUCUCCAAAGGUUAAGCUUUGCAUUUACCCCUUCCUGAGUUUCAUCUAUCAACACUAUAUCGUCUGCGAAAAGCAUACACCAAGGAAUAUUAUCUUGAAUAUGUCCUGUUAACUCAUCCAUUACCAACGUAAAAAGGUAAGGACUUAACGAUGAGCCUUAAUGUAAUCCUACAGUUAUGGGAAAGCUUUCGGUUUGUCCUUCAUGAGUUCUUACGGUAGUCUUUGCUCCUUCAUACAUAUCCUUUAUAGCUUGGAUAUAUGCUACUCGUACUCCUUUCUUCUCUAAAAUCCUCCAAAGAAUGUCUCUUGGGACCCUAUCAUACGCUUUUUCCAAAUCUAUAAAGACCAUGUGUAAAUCCUUUUUCCCAUCUCUAUAUCUUUCCAUCAAUCUUCGUAAGAGAUAGAUUGUCUCCAUGGUUGAGCGCCCUGGCAUAAACCCGAAUUGGUUGUCCGAAACCCGUGUCUUUUGCCUCAAUCUAUGCUCAAUGACUCUCUCCCAGAGCUUCAUUGUAUGACUCAUUAACUUAAUACCCCUAUAGUUCAUGCAAUUUUGUAUGUCGCCCUUAUUCUUGUAGAUAGGCACCAAAGUGCUCGUUCGCCACUCAUUUGGCAUCUUCUUCGUUUUCAAAAUCCUAUUGAAAAGGUCAGUGAGCCAUGUUAUACCUGUCUCUCCCAAAACUUUCCACACUUCGAUUGGUAUAUCGUCUGGGCCUAUUGCUUUUCGAUGCUUCAUCUUCUUCAAAGCUACAACCACUUCUUCCUUCCGGAUUCGACGAUAAAAGGAGUAGUUUCUACACUCUUCUGAGUUACUCAACUCCCCUAAAGAAGCACUCCUUUCAUGUCCUUCAUUGAAAAGAUUAUGAAAAUAACCUCUCCAUCUGUCUUUAACCGCGUUCUCUGUAGCAAGAACAUUUCCAUCCUCAUCCUUGAUGCACCUCACUUGGUUUAGGUCCCUUGUCUUCUUUUCCCUUGCUCUAGCUAGUUUAUAGAUAUCCAACUCUCCUUCUUUGGUAUCUAGUCGUUUAUACAUAUCGUCGUAAGCCGCUAACUUAGCUUCUCUGACAGCUUUCUUCGCCUCUUGCUUCGCUUUUCUAUACCUUUCACCAUUUUCAUCGGUCCUCUCCUUGUAUAAGGCUUUACAACAUUCCUUCUUAGCCUUCACCUUUGUUUGUACCUCCUCAUUCCACCACCAAGAUUCCUUUUGGUGUGGGGCAAAGCCCUUGGACUCUCCUAAUACCUCUUUUGCUACUUUUCGGAUACAACUAGCCAUGGAAUCCCACAUUUGGCUAGCUUCCCCCUCUCUAUCCCACACACAUUGGGUGAUUACCUUCUCUUUGAAAAUGGCUUGUUUUUCUUCUUUUAGAUUCCACCAUCUAGUCCUUGGGCACUUUCAAGUCUUGUUCUUUUGUCUCACUCUUUUGAUAUGUACAUCCAUCAACAACAAGCAAUGUUGAUUAGCCACGCUCUCUCUUGGUAUAACUUUGCAAUCCUUACAAGUUAUACGAUCCUCUUUCCUCAUUAGAAGAAAAUCUAUUUGUGUUUUUGAUUUUAUCUAUCAUUUUAGUAUUUUAUUCAUUUUUAUGUUCAUUUUUUAGGAAAGGGAUCCUCUCCAGAUCCCUUCCACUAAGAUCACAAAUUUGGACUUUGAAAUUUGAUUCAACGGUUACAAAUAGGGGUCUAUUUUAAAAGUUAUAAUAACUUUGGUCAUUAGAUCACAAGUCCGAAUUUAAAGCCUUGGUGAACUUGGUGGACUUGGUUUUAUCACAUUUUUAUAUAUUUAUAUAUUUUAUUAUUAUUUUCUCUUUCUCUGUGCCACUCUUUCAUUUGAACUCCCACCUUGACUUAUCUUAUCUCUCUCUCUUUACCGUUUCAAUUUCUUUCUCAGAAAAACAAAUCGUGGUCUUCCUUGUUUUAAUUCCACACGAUCCGAAUCUUUGAGGGCUAAGAAUAUAGUAAUUCACUACAAGAAAUUUCAUAAGAUUUGGAAUCUAUCUUUCCAAGGUUAUCAAGAAAUUAAGUGUAGAACUUAGCCUGAAAGUAUGCAAGAAAAAUAUGGAUUGCCCUAAUGGAUGAUGGUUAGUGCAUUUCUAUUUUACUCACUGUGUUUUGAGUUAACACUUCCACUUGUCUUUAGUAUAGUGUAGAAUAUCACUUGUAACUAAUAAAAGAACAAGCUCGUUCUCAUUCAAUUGACGUAUUUACACGUUUGACGUUUAAAGUUUUGAACUUUCUCAAUUAUUGACCAAUUUCUUUUAAGAAAUUUCUAAGCACUUUCAAUUGAGUACAUUUUUAUAAUAUCCUUAAACAAAAAGAAGUGAAUUUUACACUACAAAAUCAUGGCUAAGAUUAUAGUCCUUCACUAUUGGAGAUUCCUAAUGAUUUAGAAUUGUCUUUUCGAGUACAGGUGGCUCAACUUAUUGGAUUAUUACUCGGUAACUAUUAAGAGUCUAAAACCUAUUUAGUUUGAGUUCAUAACAAUAAGGUAUACACAAUCAUCAACACUACCAAUCUCACCAUCAUAUUAUGCUGAAAUUAAACAUCAUACCAUAGUAAAAUCAAACUAAAUGGAUCUUAAUGAUAUGUGUUAUAGAAUAUGUUAAGCUGUUCAUAUAGUUAUAAUACACACACAAAAUCUUGUUUUCUAUGUCCUAACUUUUCACAUUGUUGGUCAGUAUUUCACUUUUAUUUCUUCUUUGUUGCAAAAAAGAUGAUUUUCUUGUACCAUGCAUAGGAUUUUUAGAAAUGAAUCAAAACUAACAUGCAAUAUUGAACUUCUGCUUUUCACUCGCUUAUUGAUUGGAUUACAAUCUUAGAUUGAGAAAAGCCUUCCACAAGCUGAAAAAACAUAGUUAAGAAAAGAAAUAAGCUGUUACUUUUCUUUCAUUACUAGUUGUGAAUUUACUCAGAAUAGCAAUUGAAUAUAAAGAUAUUAAAUUCAUGAAUUGUACGACAGAAAACAACAAAUGCAAAUGAUAUUUUCUUUAGAAAUAUAAUUUUAAAUUACAAUUUUCUUAAGCUAUAUUAACAGUGGGACCUAAAGAGCACUAACAAUUGGAGUUAGAUAUACGUGGUGGGCUAGUCUCACUGGACUCGCUUUUGGGACGAGUCCGGCUAGCAUUCUCCCUUAAAAAAUGGUCUUCCCAACAAGGCCAUCAUCACAUCGAAUUCACCUUCAUUUUUGGUUGAGGUCAAUUUUCAUCAUUGAGCGCUAGUUGAUUAUACCUAAUGGGCCGGGCUCAUUAGUCAGUGGCAGUUUUGAAAUAUCACAACAAUACAGUACCGUUUUUGUCACAAAAACAAGGAAAAAUCAAUUAACGACUUUUUGCAUCUGUCAGUGUCUCCGUCGUCUUCUGAUUAUCCUCCUAAUCGGAGAAGAAGGGCAACCAAAUCCCCGCUGUAAGUCGUCGUUUUCUAAGGCAUCGAAAUCUUCGUCCUCCGAAUUCGUGGUUUUCUGAUUCUCCUCGGCGCUCCUCACGGGCACGGUAGCCUGAGCGCGCGGCGCUCGAUUGAUUCCAUGGUCUGGUCUUCUGCGAUUCGUAAUCCGACGGUGGCGAUGGCGUCGGGGCAGAAACAAUCGGCGAAUGUGGAUCUCUUCGAUGCGUAUUUCCGACAAGCCGAUUUGGACCGCGAUGACCAGAUUAGUGGCAAUGAAGCCGUCGCUUUCUUCCAGGGCUCCGAUCUCCCCAAACAGGUCCUUGCGCAGGUACUCUCUAUAUAUGUAUAUUCUGGUGUACAUAUGUAUAAUUGGAUGUGUAUUGUGGUGCGUAUGAUUAUAUUUGUGUAAUAAUAUUGGUUGAUCGGGAUUUGAUGCUGGUGGAAAUGUGUUCCAAAUCAGAUUGAUUUUGAAUUUGUAGUCUAAUUGUAGUUGAAGUGGUUAAUGUGAGCUCGGGAUGUCGUAAUUUGCUGAUCUAAGCUGAGAUUUUUAUUUUGUGUUAGUAUAAUUAUAAAUGCAGAAUUGAUGUUCAAAUGGUAGAAAAUAAGUAGAUUAAGGAUUUAUACUACAGAUAGUAAGGUUGAGAGAGUUAUGUUAUCAGGUCAUUAAUUUACUUUCUGGUGUAUCCGUUCGACCUUAGGUGGUAAGUAGACUUUAGAAAUGUGUUAUAUGACCCAAGGACUGACCUAGGAUUGUUUAUUACAUUACAAUAAUGUAGUUGUAAUGUAACUGAACUGAUGCAUCUUUGCAAAACUUGUACCAUCCCUAUCCCGGAGUUGAAGUUGUUUAUUUUUCCUCUUUUGGGUGGUGGAUGAUUGACAAUGUUUAGUUGGUGGAUUGUCAUUCUUUGCAUGAUGUGUUUGUAUUUUGAUGUAAAAACUUACUUGAUGCCAAAAAUAGUUUGUAGAUAUAAAAGUUUAUUUGUAAUUGGGAGUAAUUUUUUGCUGCCCAAUUGACAUACAAUCAUCCAUGUGCUAUUAAAUUGAGUCACGUCUGAAUGUGCAGUCUAGAUUGAUAGUAUUACUACCCAUCAUGCUACAUGAUCUUUGAUGGAGCGGUUUAGGGAGGGACGCCUCUUCCAGCAGUGCUACCAAGCAUUAUUAUGUUUGAUUUAUCCAAUAAUUUUCAACCUGCAAAUAAUCACUCCAAGGAUGGCCAUGUGGCCUGCAAAUAAUCAAUAAAACAAAUCACUUUUAUUUGAUGGAGAAUAAUUUCUUAUUUUUCACUAUAAAAGGCUUUCAACAACAGCAACCCAUGCCUGGUCCUGGUGCUCGGCACAUGGCAACCCCAGCUGGAGGAAGGCCACCGAAGCCAGUUGCUCCUUCUCAUACUGAGGAAAAUCAGCAGGCCAAGCAGCAGAAACCUAGAGUACCAGAAUUGGAGAAACAUCUUGUAAAUCAAUUGAGUACAGAGGAGGUUAACUCACUGAACUCAAAGUUCAAAGAAGCAACCGAAGCUGAUAAAAGAGGUACUUAGAACUUUUAUGUUUCCCCAAUUUUUUCAGCUUGAGUAGAAUAGUUAUGUGUGCAUGUUACUUUCUGAUAAGUGUCAAAUCAUGACAAAUAUCCCAAAGACUUGGAAUUCUUGUGAUUGGGGGUUUUACUUUGUUCUUAAUAUCGCUCAUUUCCGUGGAGAAGAUUUUGAUCGUGUUUAAGUAGGGAGACUGUUCGGGUUUUGAAGCUCAUGAUCAGUUCUUUUAUAAUAGUAAUCUUAAUGAUUGGCACUUCAUUUGUAUUUAGUGCAUGGCAGUCAUUUUACUUUCUUUGCGAUUGUGGGGGACAACUUAACCGAAGAGAUUGCUUUUUGUUGAGGUGAUUGGGUAGGCAAUUAAAGCAUUCCUUUUUAUGCACCAUAAUGGUGAUGAAAUAAAGAUCCAAAUUUGGUUGAACGGGAACCGGGGCAUGGGAAGAAUUUAUCGUGUGUGAAUUUAGACCACCUUUUUAGAAGAUAACUAGAAAAUGAGCCAACGCAAUGCCGCGGGUCUUAAAAUGUCAAUCCACGUAAGAAGAGUUGAAGAACUAACAAUUGCAGCAACAUUGGGUUUUGCAGUGCCAAAUUCAAUUAAGUAAUACUCCUAAAAAUAUACAUGAUUGGCAUCUUACAUCAUAUAUACUAAUUCUAUUUACAUCCUUGGUUUCAUGAAAGGGAGUUGUUAGUGAUACUGUAAAAAAGUUAUUGCAUUGUCAGCUGAAUACGUAUUUAAAACAAAGCAAAGUGAAAAGACACGGUUUAAUAUUCCAAUGAAUUAAAAAAAAUCAGAAAUGUGAGUUCUAAUUGAAUUCAUUCACAAACAAUUACUAAAUUAAUUUGAAAAUUAAAAUGGGUGUAUCCACAAACCGACGAUCCUAAAUCACCUGCUUAAUUAUGUGAGCCACAUUGUUUGAUAUCUGUAUUGUUAUUCGGCUUGACACAUCUGAGCAGGGGACUCCAUGAAAGCUACAAUGUCCAUAAAAUGUAAUUAUUCCUAAUUAUAAGCAGUGAAUCAAACAUACAUAAAAUGGUACGAUCUAGUUUUAUUCCUUUCCACAAAGCUCUUAGGUUCGACUCUUAUGAAAUGCUGACUUCGAUACAAAUUAUUAAUGACAGAAAUACUCCAGCAUCUUUUGCGUUCAAGUACUACUACUUAAAGAUGUUAACACACCCAUAAGCUGACUAAUUCUAACGGUUGUGAUUUUCACACACCCUUAACUACUUUUCCCACACCCCUUCCUAUUUUUUAAUAGUUAAUUGAUAUCCUACUAUUUAAUCUUCCAUAUAUACCCUUCUUACUUUUUUAUGGUAAUUAAUGAAAGACUAAAUAGGAAGGGGUAUAUAUGGAAGAUUGAAUAGUAGGAUACUAAUUAAGUACUUAAAAAAUAGGGAGGGGUGUGGGAAAAGUAGUUAAGGAUGUGUGAAAAUCACAACUACUAUAUACUUAUAUGAAGAAGAACCAACAGAGUGAGUAAAAACAAAUUCUUAGCAAAAGAAUUAGCUAAUUCAAUUAACAACUACUAAUCAAACUGCAAAUGCAACAUAUGAGUUUUUCUGGCUUCGAAGUUCAAACAUAGAACCAACAGAGUCAAAGGUCUUCAUAUGCAUUAUGAGAAAAAACUCAUUACGGUAUCAGAAAUCAUAACUUAAAGCUAAACCAAAAAAAGUAAAGAGACACAAUUGAUGUCCUUUAUGUCCAUCUAAGAGAUGGGCAAGUAAAUUUUGUGAAGAAAGACCUGCUGGUUUGUCCAACCUGAGAAGAUAAUAAGUUCAUUGAAGAUUCAUUGCUGGAGUGGUUGAUUUAUUUAAGUGAUUUCUAUUUUGUUGAGAAAAUGAUACCGCCAUAAAAAGAAAAAAAAAAACAAGAAAUACAUAACAGUGCAAUCAAAUCAUUUUUUUAUGUCCUAUACAGUCGGGUAGAAGGUGCCCAAAUCAAAACAAAAUGGGUAUCUGCAGACUUGCUUGCUCUAAGGACACAACGAUUUCCUACUUUAGUAGAAUCACAUCCAACUCUAUCAAUCACUUCUGAAAUAGUAAAAGACCAUGAAAUUGUGCAGUCACUAAAGACCUAAAUACUGAAAUCACAAAAGAAAAACAACUCAAUUCAUAAAUUAAUGAAUGAAAGGAGUAUAAAGUUCAAUCAUAAACUAAGAAGAGUGAGAAAACAUUUAGAAAGUUUUCUCAUAAGAAAAUUUGUAUUAAUAGGAAAACUAAUUAAAAGGGCUUGAAAACUUUGAGUUUUAAUGAUAAGGACAAAAUAAAAGGUAAAGUGAAUAGUAUCAGGAUUGAUUUUUUAGUGUAAAAAUGUGGUUUUUCGUUAAAGUGAACAGUACCGAGUGCUUUUCGUUAAAGUUCCCAUAUAAUUUAGUCCUUCUCGGGCUUAAAAGUACCAUGUAUGACACACAUUAAUGUAAUCAACUGCUCAGAUAAUUUAGGAGGCGAAAACCAAAGCCAAAUUUUGUUCAUUUCAUGCCUUGAAAGCAGACUCUUCAGUCUAUACAGUCCAAAAGGAUAUAAUACUACCUGAGGACCAUCAGAUCACUUGAAAGUGUAUCCCAAGUGUGAAGGCUGUAAGCAAAAUUGAACUCCUAGGUUAAGAGGAGGGUGAUCCACUUAAAUGCAUAAAAUUGGGGAUUGACCUGUCAUUUAAAAUAGGAGCCCGGUCAGUCCUGUAUAAAGAAUUCUAGUGACCUAAAUAUGAUAUUCUCGAAUAACCAUGAAAACCUUAACGUGGUGAAUAUUUAAGCAGCAUUUUACUAUUUAUAAGGCUGUCAACAGGUGACACAUAAUAAUUCUAUCAGCCGUCUUGGAAAAAUUAUUAUUUUUUAUCAAAUCUCUAAGGAGAUUAGUAAUAAGAAAGUGAUAGGCAGUCACUGGAUAAGCUUGAACCUGGAACAACCUAGCUAAAUAGUAUCCGAGGCCAUUCCAUGCCAUACUAAUGGCAUACUAAUGCAUACAUUCCUCUUCAAUUACAUUUACAUAAAUGUGUUACUGCAUACCAUGUCAUGUUUUAUAUAAAUAUAAUCCUCCAAUUUGACACAGUUGGUCACCAAAAAAAUAUAUGGAGAAUCAAAUUGAAAAAUCCAACAUAACCCAAAUUUACAUUAACAGACAAACAGAUGCUAUAGUAAAGAAAAAGAGAGCCAAGAACAGAAUUUUACUUUAUCUAUGCCGAUGACUGUAUGAGAACGAAACAAAGACCAAUUGGAAUGCAAAAAAUAAUGAAGUGAAAUAAGCAUAUGGAAGUGUUAUUUAUGAUGAAGUGAAAUUAACCACUAUGGUUUAUUUGACAUAUGGAUAAUUUCGUCUAAGAAAGAGAAAUAAGUAUAUGGAAGCGUUAUAUAUAUAUAUAUAUAUAUAUAUAUAUAUAUAUAUAUAUAUUGUGUAUUGGGAUUUGAGAAAGACAAUAAUGUAAUUAUCAUUACCUAUUGGUUUUGAAUUUGGGUGUUCGGAAGACUUAAUAUUUGGUUUAGUUUGUGUAGCUUUUUUUUGGGUAUCUUUAUUUUCUUCUAAUCAUGCAAUUUCAUAUUGUAUGUUUGAAUGCUUUUGUUUCAGAAGACCUGACAAAAAUGAGAAAAGAGAAUGGAGACCUGAUGGCAUGUUGUUGGUUGAAAACUAUAUGAGAAUACAGAAAGGCCAAACCUUUGGGGUUAUUUUAAGUUAAAAAACUAUUGAUGCAACAAAUACACUUAAUGCACACUCCCAAAUGCAGUCUUCGUGUUCCCAUCGCAACACUAUGCAUCUAAAUCCUAUACUCACUUCAUAAAGGUUAUGAAAACCCCAUCAAUUUAGGGAAUAUAAUUGUAAUAUGUAGACCUGACAUUUUGAACCUGACCCGACCCGAUCCGUUAAUAUUAGUAUUUGGGUGGAUGCUUAACAGGUCAGGUCGCUAAUGGGUGAACCCGUUAACAACCCAUUAAAUAACGGGUCACUUUGGGUCAACCCGUUAGCACCCGAUAGUUGAGGAUGUUUUAGUAAUUUCAGUAAAGUCUUAACAACAAAAAAUAAACUCUAUGCAAAAAAUAAUAAUAAUAAUAAUAAUUGUUAAUGGGUGGAACGGGUGACCCGUUAACUUAACGGGUCGGGUUCAGGUGAUCCGUUAGCUUAACGGGUUGAGUUCGGAUGACCCGUUAGCUUAACGGGUCGGAUUCAACCCGACCCAAACCCAAUAAACCUGACCCGUUUACAGGUCUAGCAAUAUGCAUAAUUAGUUGAUAUCAACCACGCAUAUCUCACACAACUAAGAAUGCAGGGCCAAAAUAAAACACCCCAACCCUCUUUUAUAUUUUAAAAUUGUUUUAAAGCCUUAAUUGGUGAGCCCGUGGAGCCCACCUUGUUUAUUUUUUUUAUGUUUUCUGAUCUCUCUCUUCCUUCUUCUUCGUCUUUCUCCCCCGUAACUCUCCCUUAGCUCUCUCCUUGUCAGCUCUCCCGUCUCUCUCUCCCUCAACCUCUCGCAUCUCUCUCUUCCCCUGGACUCACUAGGACCGAGUCACCAUCGAAGAGAGGCUCGCAACGAACCCCGGACCCUGCCCUGCGAGUUCGACGGCACGGAGUAAGCUCCGGCGAGCACCGCCCCUUUCGAGGCCAUUUCCGGCCAAACCACGGCGAGUUGGCCGGCGUGUAAGGUAUCAAUCUCUUCGUCUCCUUGAGUACUACAACUUUCCUUUUUGUUUCACUCAAUUUCGUUGAAUAUUGAAGAAGUUAUACUCAUUUGAAUCUUACCCAGUUUCCGGCGAGUCCGACGGCUUUCGAGGCAUUUUCCGGCCAAACCACGGCGAGUUAGACGUCGUGUGAGGUACCAUUCUCUUCGUCUCUUCAAGGGCUACAACUUUCAUUGUUGUCUUGCUUGAUUUCGUUGAGUAUUGACAAAGUUAUGGCCAUUUAAAGUUGGGUGGUUUUCCGGCCGAAAUUCCGGCCUUCUCCUUCAACAAACCCAGGCCAUCCGGCCUUUCCCUCUCCCUCGGGCCUUAGGCCCGUGUUGCCUUAGCCCAGUACCCUAACCCAUUCAGUUUUUAUUUUUAGUUAUAUGUUUUUAAAACCCAAAGGGCUCGGGCCCUAGUUUUGGUUGGCCUUGGGCCGGUUUUCAACCAAGGGCUUAAAGCCCUGAUUUCUGUUAGGAGGCCUUAGGGCCUUGUGUAGUGUGUGUGUGUGUGUGUAUGUUUAUAGUAUAUGUAUGUGUUUGGGCUUAAACCCAAACCCCUUUCCUAACCCUAAACCAUUUUAACCCAAAACCUUAGAAAUCCAAACCACCCAUUUUCACCAUAAACCCUUUUAACCUUAGAACCCUAAAAUCAAAACCCAAUAAAUCCUAAUCCUAUUUAACCUAAACCCUAAUCCGGAUUUCAAGCCUAAAACCCGUUAGACCUAAUUUGACCGUUGACAUCCGGUCAACAUUGACUUUAGAGUUGACUUUUCGGGUUUUCGUCCGGGACCCUUCUUAGGGUAAUUCGACGUUCUGAAUCCGUUUCCAACGUCCGUUUUCCCAAAUUCAAUUUCUAUUAUAUAGUUUUAUUAAUUGGACCCUUUAUGUGCUUAGGGGCAAUUAUUGUGACGUUUUCGUCUUCGCUAGUGGCGCAGCUUUUGACAGCGAAGUACUGUGAGUGGACCCAGGGGCGGAUCCACAGUGGGGUCGUCGGGGUCGCACGACCCCUUGGAAACCAUGGAAACAACCUUGAAGCUCCCAUAUGCGACCUCUUGGAGCUGGGGUCGUCAGGGUCGUCGUCAGGAAGAGGAAGAAGAAGACUCGGCAGCGGCAGGAAGAGGAAGAAGAAGCAGCAAGAGCUUGUGACAAUAAACACAACUAGUUGAAGUUGAUGAGCAACAAGAGCUACUGCAACGGUUGUGUUUAUUGUCAUUUUCUUUUUUCUUUUUAUUCCAGGUUGUCAGCCUGCUCUUUGCAUGGUCUUGGCUCUUGGUAGGAGUUUUGAUCACAAAUCAAGAGAUGAGUCGGACAACAAAUGAGAGUGAAGAUGGAGUGCUGUCCAAGGAUCAGAUUGAUUCUCCGUUGAUGGAUGAGAGUAAUGGAGGAAGUGGAAAUGGUGGAAUGGUUCUAAAGAAAGGGACAUGGACCUCGGCUGAAGAUGCAAUUUUGGUGGAGUAUGUUAAGAAGCAUGGGGAGGGAAACUGGAAUGCCGUUCAGAAGCACUCAGGCCUGUUCCGUUGUGGCAAAAGCUGCCGGUUGCGAUGGGCAAAUCACCUAAGGCCGAACCUGAAGAAAGGGGCAUUGACUCUUGAAGAAGAACGUCUCAUUGUUGAACUCCAUGCCAAGAUGGGGAACAAAUGGGCACGCAUGGCUGCACACGUAGUGAUUUCUAUUCGUUAUGUGUGUUCCAGUAGUGAUUUCUCUCAAUUGGAAGGGAUUGAUGAUCUUGCAAAAAAAAUGGUGGAGACAAGGAUGCAUCAAGUAUUCAAUUAUGUAUAUUUGCUCAUUACAUUGUCUUUAGUUUUACCAGUUGCAACUGCUUCAGUGGAGAGAGCAUUUUCUGUCAUGAAUAUUGUUAAGGGUCCACUUAGGAACAAAAUGGGAGAUCAAUGGUUGAGUGAUAGCUUGCUUGUUUAUAUUGAGAGAGAUAUUUUUGCUUGUAUUGAAAAUGAAGCUAUAAUACUUCGUUUUCAAAAUAUGAAAUCUCGUCGUGGACAAUUAUAGUUUGUAAUAUUGUUUCCGUUAUGAAUUAUGAAUGAAAGUACUAUGAUUUCAUUGCCAAUAUGUUUUUCCAUCCUAAAUUUUUAUUUGAACUUUUACACUGCGACCCCUUGGGGUAAGAUUCCUGGAUCCGCCACUGAGUGGACCCCUUCUAAAAUUACAUGAUUUGAUAAUUUAAUUGCAUAAAUGAUUAGCAUGCCUACGGAUUUAUGAUUUGAUUUAUGUGAAGCCUGAUGAUUUAAUAUAUUGAUUAUCGUCUCGUGUUUUUGGUGAGGAAUUAAUUGUUGGCCUAUAUUGAGCUAUAUUUUAAUAUAUCGUAUUUUCUAUAAAAAUCAUGAACUGGUAGACUAUCUGAUUGAUGAUGAUAGGAUGCUAGAACAUGAUUUUGAACCCUCUUUAUAGCGUAGACGAUAAUCGGUAACCUAUGCUACGAAGUGGUAUUUAUGAGAGGCGUAAAUAUUUGUGCGUACCUAGUAGACACUAUGCAUGCCGCCUGGGGCGAGGAUCUGGUGUUGGCAUGUAGGCCGGGAGAAAUAAUCCCUAGCGAAAGGCUGAGGGACACGGAGACUGGCAUUGGGCCCGGGAGGGAGUUAUCUCUGGCUACGGGCACAGAGACUGAGGUGCGGGCAUUGGGCCGGGAGUUAUAUUUAUUCGGUGAUCUUACUAGCAGCACACCGCGUUUACGAGACGAUUUUACGAGAUGUUUUACGCGAUGAUUUAUAUGAUGUUUUCCGCGUUAUGGCUUUUGAGAUAUUUUUUGGCAUGCUAGGAUUUUUAUUAAAUCCAUCACUUAUUAUGCUAGUAGUUUUCAUUUAUAUAAACUUUGGGGGUUAGUAUCUUGAUAACUGUUUUAUUAUUAUUGUAUAUAAACUUGGUCCACUCACCUUUGUUUUGCGCCCCCAUUCAGGACUUAGAAUCAAGGCACCUAAUCCCGACGUGAAGACACUUCCGCAGCAGCAUCUUCGGAUCCUCUCGAUGUAGGACCCACUUCUUUAUUCAUUCAAUUUUAUCUCAAUUCUUUUUAGUGAUUAGGUUUAGUUGUAUGUUCUGAACACGUUCUUAAAAUUAUUAACUCUUAUUUAUUUCUUAUUCUUAGUUUUUGUAUCAAUUAAUGGCUUUCGUCACCCUCGGGUGUCGGCCAGCACGUGUCUAUCCUGGUAUUCGGGGAAUAUCAGGGUCGGGGCGUGUCAGAUUGGAACAUGUUCUUAAAAUUAUUAACUCUUAUUUAUUUCUUAUUCUUAGUUUUUGUAUCAAUUAAUGGCUUUCGUCACCCUCGGGUGUCGGCCAGCACGUGACCAUCCUGAUAUCCCGAAGAUAUCGGGAUCGGGACGUGUCAGAUUGGUAUCAGAGCGUGGUUUGUUCAGAGCAUACUUAGGAUUCUUUUCUAUUCUCUUAAAGUGUUGGUUUUGACAUCAUUUGGAUGUCACGACUUCCGGAUUUUGUGCCAGUCGGCGCAGUUGUGUGAAUCUCUCUCUGAUUGAAUUAUCACCUUUUAGUUGAAAUACAAGAAUUCGUGUCGGGAUUGUGCCUCAACAGUGAUGAAGUGGAUUGUUGGAUGACUUUCGACCUCGGAUCGAUACUCAGACGAUGUGUUUUAGAAAUCUCAAUUUGAAGAAUUCUGGUUAAGACCAGCUGUAGAUUCGAAAUGGCGAUGCCACUCUGCAACAUGCGUUCCCUAGGAAUUGCGGGCGGAGUCGGCUCUACAUCGAAAUCUUGAGAAACUCCUCGGCAGCAGACGCUAUUCUCAUCAAUUUCCAAAAUGAGUUGCAAUUCUUAUUGUUGUUAUAGUUGGACUUGGAUGAUGAAUAUCCAUUCUUGUUUGGAUAAACAGAUUCCUUGAAUUUCACCUGGGUUUGGUACUUGGUGGCAAACUCUAGUUCCUCGUCCGCGUACUUUUCGGGGAAGGUGAACUUAGUCUCUUGCUUACAACCUAAAUGUUCAGCCUUGUAAUUUUCAGUGUAAUGGCUUGAGACUCUAUCAUAUUCAUCAUUGUACGAAGAUCGAACUUUACUCUAAACUUCCCUGGACUCAUUGAGCUUUGGUUUGCUCAAAAGCAUCACUUUAAGGUAGCCAAUUGUGUCACUGCAUGCAUACGCAGGCUGCUUUGUAGCUUUCUUCUUCGUCAUUCUGCUGAUUCAGAGGUUCUAUGUUUAAUUUUUGAACUUUGAAACAGCUCUCACAAAGUAUUGUGAAUCCCGAAAUUUCUUUAGCCUCGUCAAAUUUUAUUAUCAGUCCUUAACUAUUAUUGAGCUUAGUCUUAUUUCCUUUUGACUAAGAAAUCAGUUGACCAUACUGUGAUGAUUUGCAAAAUAAUCAGAAACAGUGACUCUAUUUCUGCAUCUUUACCACCUUCUCGACAUGGCUUCUCGCCUAAUCAGUGAGAAAUCCACGAUCGAUCGUUUCGGUGAAAGUGGGCACCCAGUUCGUGUUGUUUUGGACAAGAAUGUUGGGAGCAUAAUCUUUUCACAAGCUUACCAAACUUAUCAUAAAGAGUUCAUUAUGGGUGUGAAGUUUGAGUUGUCCUUUGGUAGGAGACUGGUGAAGAUUUUGGUGCAGAAGGUCAGCAUAUUGUAUCACCAUCUCACUAGAAUUCAUAGGCAUCACAUCGGUUAUUUUCUAACGAUAUGUGUUCGUCUCAACGCAUAUUUCCACUGCUUCACUUCCGAACCUUAUUGUUGUGAGUACGUGGUUGUUAAAACACUUCUAGCAGAUUUGUUUGGUGCAUUCUGAGAUGGCACUACAGGACGGUCGAAGUGAGAAUUGGAUAAUCUUUACACUUCUCUGGAAAGGUGUGUACUCUCUUUUGUUUUUAGGUUGACCAUUUGCGAGUCGUUCUUCUUUCCACCAACUUUGGCCUUGUUUGACUUGAAAUCUGCAACUAAGCAAAAAUGGAGAGGUGGAUUGAGCACUACAACAGUUCCCAAGAGAUACUGCGUGUUGAGGAAGAUGACUUCUCAUUUUCUGCUUGCUUGGUUCGAGCUUUUGGGUCUACUACUAACAUGGUAGCCACUUCUCUUGAAUCCUAAGGUACAGUUUUCAAAUUGGUUCGUUGUUGGCAAAACACUGGAGUAGUUGGUCACAUUUGGAAGAACUGAGGAGGAUAGGAUGCUUGGUGCUGGAUAGAGUUUUACGACGACAGUUUCUGUUUUGUUCGGUUUUGUGUAUGGCACUUUUUACGACCUGGUACGAUAGUUUUUCAUGGACAACACUGGUUGACUGAAAAGUCUUGCGAACUUGUAUUUGGAGCAUCGAUCCUACGAUAUGUGAAAUUGUACACCAUUUGAGAAAUUACUACUUGCCUAUCGAGACAACAAAUGUGAGGUCGAUAUUGCGGGCUGCAGACUGUGAUAUCGAUAGCUUAUUUGGUGGGUUCGUUAAGCAAGUGGGCAAGAAGAUUCGUCUACAGCAGCUGAUGCAGAUUCAGAAUUUGUAUUUCUUGGGACUCGACCUAAAGGCACAUCUAUUCUCGGAAUAUAUGACAUUUCGAAUUCUUGGGCGAGACCCACUCUCAUUUUUCAGUUUUGGUUUUCAGUGUAAGUAUUUUAACUUCAUUUACUCUAGUUAAUUAUUUUGACGUUACAAAUGUUUUUGGAAAAGUAUUUCUGUUUUCAUUUUUAAGUUGAUUCGAGUUUUUGAACUAUAUGUCAGUACAUAUCUAUUUUGACGUUAUCUGGCCUUAAGCUAUUUUGUGUUUUCAACUUUAUAUUUUAUUAAAGUAUGUGUUCUAUUUUUACACUGAUGAAAAAAAAAAAAAAAAAAAAAAAGUUUGAGCCUGGAGGCACGAAAGAUGGAAUCAUUGCAGCCGAUCGCGACGGCGUGGCAUUUUCCCUUUUGUGAAACCGCUCUUACCUGAUCUCUUCGUUACAUAUAUAUAUAUUAUUCUUCUUCCUAUUUUCAAGUAUUUUCGGUGUAGUAUGUUGUUUUAAAUUUCGAGGACGAAAUUUUUUUAUAAGGGUGGUAGAUUAAAACACCCCAACCCUCUUUUAUAUUUUAAAAUUGUUUUAAAGCCUUAAUUGGUGAGCCCGUGGAGCCCACCUUGUUUAUUUUUUUAUGUUUUCUGAUCUCUCUCUUCCUUCUUCUUCGUCUCUCUCCCCCGUAACUCUCCCUUAGCUCUCUCCUUCUCAGCUCUCCCGUCUCUCUCUCCCUCAACCUCUCGCAUCUCUCUCUUCCCCUGGACUCACUAGGACCGAGUCACCAUCGAAGAGAGGCUCGCAACGAACCCCGGACCCUGCCCUGCGAGUUCGACGGCACGGAGUAAGCUUCGGCAAGCACCGCCCCUUUCGAGGCCAUUUCCGGCCAAACCACGGCGAGUUGGUCGGCGUGUAAGGUAUCAAUCUCUUCGUCUCCUUGAGUACUACAACUUUCCUUUUUGUUUCACUCAAUUUCGUUGAAUAUUGAAGAAGUUAUACUCAUUUGAAUCUUACCCAGUUUCCGGCGAGUCCGACGGCUUUCGAGGCAUUUUCCGGCCAAACCACGGCGAGUUAGACGUCGUGUGAGGUACCAUUCUCUUCGUCUCUUCAAGGGCUACAACUUUCAUUUUUGUCUUGCUUGAUUUCGUUGAGUAUUGACAAAGUUAUGGCCAUUUAAAGUUGGGUGGUUUUCCGGCCGAAAUUCCGGCCUUCUCCUUCGACAAACCCAGGCCAUCCGGCCUUUCCCUCUCCCUCGGGCCUUAGGCCCGUGUUGCCUUAGCCCAGUACCCUAACCCAUUCAGUUUUUAUUUUUAGUUAUAUGUUUUUAAAACCCAAAGGGCUCGGGCCCUAGUUUUGGUUGGCCUUGGGCCGGUUUUCAACCAAGGGCUUAAAGCCCUGAUUUCUGUUAGGAGGCCUUAGGACCUUGUGUAGUGUGUGUGUGUGUAUGUUUAUAGUAUAUGUAUGUGUUUGGGCUUAAACCCAAACCCCUUUCCUAACCCUAAACCAUUUUAACCCAAAACCUUAGAAAUCCAAACCACCCAUUUUCACCAUAAACCCUUUUAACCUUAGAACCCUAAAAUCAAAACCCAAUAAAUCCUAAUCCUAUUUAACCUAAACCCUAAUCCGGAUUUCAAGCCUAAAACCCGUUAGACCUAAUUUGACCGUUGACAUCCGGUCAACAUUGACUUUAGAGUUGACUUUUCGGGUUUUCGUCCGGGACCCUUCUUAAGGUAAUUCGACGUUCUGAAUCCGUUUCCAACGUCCGUUUUCCCAAAUUCAAUUGCUAUUAUAUAGUUUUAUUAAUUGGACCCUUUAUGUGCUUAGGGGCAAUUAUUGUGACGUUUUCGUCUUCGCUAGUGGCGCAGCUUUUGACGGCGAAGUACUGUGAGUGGACCCCUUCUAAAAUUACAUGAUUUGAUAAUUUAAUUGCAUAAAUGAUUAGCAUGCCUACGAAUUUAUGAUUUGAUUUAUGUGAAGCCUGAUGAUUUAAUAUAUUGAUUAUCGUCUCGUGUUUUUGGUGAGGAAUUAAUUGUUGGCCUAUAUUGAGCUAUAUUUUAAUAUAUCGUAUUUUCUAUAAAAACCAUGAACUGGUAGACUAUCUGAUUGAUGAUGAUAGGAUGCUAGAACAUGAUUUUGAACCCUCUUUAUAGCGUAGAUCGGUAACCUAUGCUACGAAGUGGUAUUUAUGAGAGGCGUAAAUAUUUGUGCGUACCUAGUAGACACUAUGCCGCCUGGGGCGAGGAUCUGGUGUUGGCAUGUAGGCCGGGAGAAAUAAUCCCUAGCGAAAGGCUGAGGGACACGGAGACUGGCAUUGGGCCGGGAGGGAGUUAUCUCUGGCUACGGGCACAGAGACUGAGGUGCGGGCAUUGGGCCCGGAGUUAUAUUUAUUCGGUGAUCUUACUAGCAGCACACCGCGUUUACGAGACGAUUUACGAGAUGUUUUACGCGAUGAUUUAUAUGAUGUUUUCCGCGUUAUGGCUUUUGAGAUAUUUUUGGCAUGCUAGGAUUUUUAUUAAAUCCAUCACUUAUUAUGCUAGUAGUUUUCAUUUAUAUAAACUUUGGGGGUUAGUAUCUUGAUAACUGUUUUAUUAUUAUUGUAUAUAAACUUGGUCCACUCACCUUUGUUUUGCGCCCCCAUUCAGGACUUAGAAUCAAGGCACCUAAUCCCGACGUGAAGACACUUCCGCAGCAGCAUCUUCGGAUCCUCUCGAUGUAGGACCCACUUCUUUAUUCAUUCAAUUUUAUCUCAAUUCUUUUUAGUGAUUAGGUUUAGUUGUAUGUUCUGAACAUGUUCUUAAAAUUAUUAACUCUUAUUUAUUUCUUAUUCUUAGUUUUUGUAUCAAUUAAUGGCUUUCGUCACCCUCGGGUGUCGGCCAGCACGUGUCUAUCCUGGUAUUCGGGGAAUAUCAGGGUUGGGGCGUGUCACAAAACCAGAGUAUACUUACCUAGGUGUUAUUUCCUAUUUGCAUUUUGAUAAGUCUCAUGUUUUAACAAUCAUCCAUCAUCCCACUCAUGGCAUAAUUGUUUGUGGGAUGACACAACUCAUGACACAACUGGAGUCUAAUUCUACAGAACCCAUGACCCUAAACAAUCCAAAAUUAAUAGAUUACAGUGACAACAUUCCAACAAAAGAAAGAAGACCAAAAAAAUUAUCUACUCUAAAGUAAUUUAGUUCCAUCAUGCAUAAAUCAAGGCAGUCACAUGAGGCUAGUAUCUAUGGUAAUCCAACACAUUAACAUAAAGCAUCCAAAUACACACUCAGAGUUACAAAACGCAUGAAAAUUCACAUUCCAACGUGUUAUUCAAUCACCAAUUUCAAAUCCACCAAAACCAAUUAAAUUUAUGUCAGUACGCAUCAAAACCAAACCCAAAAUCAAAAGAAGGUGAUCAAUUGUUUGAUUUUGCUAAAUAUUACAAAAUAAAAUAAAUAAAAUAUGUACAAAUCAGCAUGCAUACCUUGUAGCAGUUCAGGGAACAGUAGCGUGAGUUGCAUCGAGGGCAUGUGUACUGGGGAAAUUGCUUCUGGCAGCUGCAAUUAACAAAAACAAAACGAAAAAUUGGAAUAAAAUCAAAAUCGGAAAAUUUUCCAGAAAAAAAGUAAAACAAAUUAUCAAGCUUUGUUGAUGAAAGAGAAGUGGGGUUGGAGAAGAACAUGCACGCAACUAUGAGCAGUAGCCAAAAGAUUUCAAAAUGAUUUCUUGGCUUUUCAAUCAGGACACGGAUGCAUAUAAAAAUGGCAGAGAGAAUUAAAACCAAACCAAACAGUAGAAAAUGAAUCAGGACAUGGACGCAUAUAAUUUAGAUAGACUGUUACCAUGUCUGAUCUUCAUCAGUAAGAUUGUUGUAAUAUUUUACAACCUUUGGAUUGACAGGUCCUCUUCCAUCUGAGAGAAACAAACUGAUUAUUGUUUGUGUGAAAGCUACUUGUUUUGUUCACUCUGAGUUAUAAUUUGGUGAUCAUGCAUGCUUGGGAUAAGUCUUGACCAUGAGAUGGUAAAUCUAUAUGCCUUCAAACCAGUAUCCACCAUUCGUUGAACAUCUCCCUGCAAUGGUAUAUAUGAUAUAUAUGAUGCGUGCGUAUCAAAUAGCAUCAGCAUGUUUCUAAUUAAUAUGAUAUGGAUUUCUACAACACAAAAAGAGGCUUAGUCCCGAAUCGUCUCAACAAAUAAAUGAACCGAUUUCCUCUAUUUUCUGAUAAAGAAUUAGAGCAAACAAAGAGGGAAUUAGCAUCAGCAUGUUUAUUCUAAUUUAAUUUAAUAAAUUCCCCUAAAAUCCCCAAGAACCCUAAUUUAUAACCCCCAAACAAAGGCAAAAAGGAGAGAGAAAACCCAAAUAAAGGGAAAUUUGAGGAAUUCAACAUACCGUAAUCAAGGGGAGGACGCUUUCCGAUUGCUGAAUUCGUCAAUGACGGCGGCGGUUGUCCACCGUCGCUGUAUCUCCAGUACGCGUACGCCAUGUUUGAAGCUUGUCGAUGGUCACUACUUGGUUUGUAGGCUCCACGGAGAGAGAUAUGGGGAGCGGAGAGAAAGGAAGACCAGAGGAAGAUGAAAGAAUAUGGAUUUUUCAGUAGAGAAGAGGAGAAAGAGGAAGAGUGAGAGAUGAGAGGAGAGGAGAGCGGAGAGGGGGCUCCCCUUCUGAGAUCAAUGAACGCUGGAAAAAGUGUAGCUUCUCCUUCCCUUUUCACGAUGACCAACACGCGCACCUUCGAUUUUAUUUAUUUAUGCUUUUUAUAUUAGCACCCCACAACAUGUUGAAUGCACACCACAUUAAAAUUUAAUAUUAAUGACUAAUUUACUCUACUAUUUAAUGACAAUUUUGACCUUAUUAGGUUUAAAAAAUAAUAAAAAUUUUAUAAAUACAUCCCAAAUCACUUUUAACGUAUUAUUUAUCUAUUUCAACUAUCAAAACCCCUCCUAUUCUCCAUUGUUGAAUAAAACCCUAAGCAAUGAAACUACAAACAUGUUGAUUGAGAAAGAUAAUUUUUUACGAAUGGAACACGAAAUCGGUGUUUCGAAAGCUUUGAAAUCAUUAUUAUUGUUAUUGAAAAACGUUCAAAUGAACCUAAACAUUUUUUGAAAUCAUUCGGCAAACUAACGUUCAGAUAGUUUGAAAUCAUUCGGCAAAAUAAAAAAUGAGUGUUAUAAAAUUUGAGAAAUAUGGGGUGUGUCUAGAAAAUAUAAGGUGUAUAUUAAGAAUGUGGGGUGUGAGGGUAUUAUGGUGAAGGAAGUGGGGUGUAUUAAGAUAAUUUUUAAUUGAAAAAGUAAAUGUGGGGUAUAUUAAGUAUGUGGGGUUUAUUCAACAAUUUGUAGGGUGCUAAUAUUAUAUAGAAAAUGUGUAUUCAAUAUAUUCAUUUGAGGGAUUACAGCCCAUAUCAUAUAUACUAAAACCCGUAAGGGCUGAUCACUGUGGAUGACCAGUGUGUGGACGUUUUUGCCCCUCCAUUUUUCCUCUGUCUCGCUUGCUAUUUCCAUAUUUGUACAGUCGAAUGACUGUUUUGCCCAUUCACUCCACGCGUCCGUCAUCGACUCACCCUCUAUUUGGGUUGCGUCUUCUGGAUUUUUCUGUUUGUUUCCGCCGGUCUCUCACACAUCUCAAUUCUAUUGUUCUGCAACUCACCCUUUCUCGCUAUCCCUUUUUGCCACCGCUCCGAUUCCGCCUGUGUUGACAGCCUUCAAACUAUAGAAAUCAUCAUUGAUCAAGCUUCUAUUUCAACUGUGGCCUGUUAAUUUUUGUCUUCAUCUGGCUGAUUCCAGCUGUGUUCGCACCCUUCAAAACCUAAAUACCAAAAUUCAGAUCAGUUUUCUGAAGCUUGGGUUUGAUUUUGUUCCGCUUCGUUCUGCUCCUCGCCUUCCUGUUUAUUUGCCAAGAAAUAUUGAAUGUACCCAUAACUUGCCUUCCUCUUUCGGUUUCCAACUUUAAAUUUUAAGGUAUGAGGGGUUUCGAAUAGGGAUUCUAAUGAAUGAAGAGAGCGUUCUCAAUUUUUCAAAAUUUUCAUGAAUUUAUUGGUUUUUUUAAAGCAUGAUCUGUUAUUGUAAUCUGAAAUUUUUUGAUCUGGGUUUGCCUUUUUUAUUACUUUUGCUAAUUGGAUCUGAUUGUUUUGGUGUUCAGACCAAGUCCCUCACCGGACGAGGAUCUAGAUCCGACCGACAAACGUUGGAGGUGAGAUCCGGACUCCUCCCUCUUAUCGUGGUGUGCUUUUUUGCAUGUUGGUUUUGGUUUUAUUGUUAAAAUCACUCAGCCACUACAGCUUUUUUUGGAAUUUUUGUUGUUCAUUUUACUUGGAUUUAGAGAUUUUUUUUUUCUCUUUUAUUUAAUUUUUUUCACUUCUGCUGAAAUUACAUUUGGUUCAAUUUUGUCAAUUUCUGUUUGUGUCUGUAGAGAAUUUUAGCGUUUUUUUUUUGUGAUUAUUAUAUGAUGAUUGGCUGACAAAUUGUGGUUUUCCAAAUUUUGGUUUUGCAGUAUUUAACAGAUAGGCAACUAGCUUUCAGAUAUAAGGAGAGGAAACUAAGGUAUCCAAAUUACCUAGAAACAGAGGUCUAACGGUUUCAAACCCAAGAACAGAAGCAACUCUGUGUGCAUCACCCACCCAAGAACAGAAGCAGCUAUGUGGGCAUCACCUUGGAAACUGUGGGUGGCAUCUGUGCAGCCAUCAAAUCGUUUAUAAACAACCAGAAGACUAUCCAAAACAUGCUUUUAUCUGAGGUACUGGUCAUUACUUGCCAAUAUUGAUCUUCUUUGUUAAUAUGAACUUUUUGCUAUAAAUUUAAUUUCAAAUUUUGCGUUUGGCUUGAUAUGCUAGAAAAUAUAUACAUUUGAGAAUAUUGAGAACUUACAGGUGUUGUAGCUACUGAAUUUUGUCAACGGUUCAUUCAGAUUCAUAUUGGGAUGUUCAUGCUUUCAAUAAUUAAUUAAUGGCAUUAGUGAUUUAUGAGCACUCAAGCCGGCAAAAAACUUUGCUUCUCAACAAAAUUGGGAUAGCUUCUAAAAAUGGCUAUUGGGAAUCAAAACCUGUUUCAAAUUAGUUUAUCACUAAUCAUUUAGGAUAUUUCCACUGUGUUACACACCAUGGUUAUGAUAAAUUAAUACAAAUCAUGUAGUGUGAUAUUUCCAUAACUACUUAUGUUGUUGAUCAUACUCAAAGAUGGCUUUUCAGUGAUAUCAUAUAUACUAAAACUCAACCCCCCUGGUCACUGUGGAUGACCAAUGGGCGGACUGUUUUGCCCCUCCGUUUUAUAUCGAUUUCCCUUGCUGCUCCCCGCGUCCUCAUCGUGCAACUUUUCGUUGGAUUUUCUUCCUCCUAUAGUGUAAUACACGUGUUGCUCAUCGUGGAAGGGAAGAAACAUGGAAAAGCGGGCUCUUCCAUUUGCUUCCACAGAUUUCUCGAGCUCUCUCUCAAGCUCCGAAUCGCUGGCCUCCGCAAGAAGGUAUUUGUCUCUCACUUUUUUUUUUUCAAUUCGAAUUUUGUUUGAAUGAAUGUUGGAUCUGUUGCCUUCGGGAAGAAAUUUUAACCUAGAAAAGCUUGAUUUUCAGGAAAUCGCCAAUUCGAAAGCUUGGUUUCCUGGUGAGUUCUACGACUUAUUUGUUGAAAUUUUUGUGAUUUUAAUUUUAAAAAUCUGGGUUUUUUUGUUCAAUGGUUUGCUCCAUCUUCUUAGCUUUCUCACUAGAGAUCUCUGCCAUGGCUGCUCCACCAAACUUGCGUCCGCUCUUUCGAACCAGGUACAACUUCUUUCAUUUUCUUUUGUUUCUGGGAAAAUUUAGGGCUUGAAAAUGUGUAGAAUUGUAGAAGUUAAAGCCUGUCUCAAUCUCUAUGUUGGUCUAUACACAAUGAAAUUGAAUUUUGUGUUUCAGCAUACCCUUACUGGAAUUUUAUGAUUUGGGAUAGUGGCGAUUUGAAACCGUUAACUGGGAUGAGAAUUAGAGUGAUUUGAAAACGGAGAGCAAGGAAUUGCAGGUGGGUAGUGAUAAAUGAUAAUGGUGGGGACACCAUGAUGAUAACACAAAUUCACUAUUUUGCACAGUUUUGAAAGUUGACUUCUUUUCUUUUUUCAUUUUUAAUUUUAAUUUUUGUAUUUUUGAACAGGUGGUGUUCUGGUUUGUCAUUCCUUCUCAUCACUUCUACAAGAGGUUAGUUUUCUUUUUUGCAUUUAAAGAAUGUUUAAAGAAAAAUUGUAUGUAAUUGAUUUUCUGCUAUAAUGUUUUGAAAUUCCUUAUUUUACUUGAAUGUAUUAGUGCUUGCUUUUGCUUUCACCCAGGUAUCAAAUCGGUUUUGUUUGUAUGGUAACAUGGAUUGCUCAGGUUACGUAGGAGAGGAUGGAGGUGAGAAAUACAAUUGGGAAAGAUAUGCUGAGAGGUUUACAAAACACCUUUGACGCUGUCGGUGAGGAUUCUUCUGUUUAAAAGUAGGAAUUUUUUAAUUUUUCGUGGAAUCGAUGUUUUGUUUUUGACUGAGUUUAUAAAGGAUUGCUUGGACAAGUACAGGGUGUUUGGGACUCAAAUUUAUACACUGCUAUAAGAUCAAUUUGUAAUCCCGCAGCAACGCGCGGGCAUUACUAGCUAGUUUAUACAUAAACUUUAAGCUAUCUACCUAGGAGGUUACAAUGAAACGGAAAGCUAAUUAUAUCCUAAUAAAAGCUAAUAACAACAUAACAGCUAAACAAUAAUGUAUUGUUCUAAUAAAAGCUAAUAACAACAUAACAGCUAAACAAUAAUGUAUUGUUCUUGAAUAGACUUAACUAUGGUAACUCUUGUAACCUCCUAACACUCCCCCGCAAACUUGACGCCGGAGAGGUGACAAGUUUGGAAAUAAGACGUGCAAACUGUGCAACGGGUAAGCCUUUGGUGAAGACAUCCGCAAGUUGAAACAGGGACGGGAUAAAGCGAACCUUGUGACUGUCAGAAGCAACUCGUUCACGAACAAAAUGAUAAUCAAUCCCAAUGUGUUUUGUGCGAGCAUGAAGCACGGGAUUAGCAGCUAAGUGUGUGGUGGACAAGUUGUCACAAUUUAGUAAUACGGGAUGGGUGAGUGGACAACGAAGUUCACUUAAAAGAUGUUGAAUCCAUAUAGUGUCCGCGCAUGCAUAAGCGAGAGCUCGAUACUCGGCCUCUGCACUGGAACGAGAAACUGUGGGAUGUUUCUUGGCACUCCAUGAGAUGAGAUUAGAUCCCAAAAAUAUGCAGUAGCCGGAUGUGGACCUUCUUGUAUCAGGACAUCCUGCCCAAUCGGCAUCGGAGUAGGCAAUUAGGAAGGAACAAUCAGGAGACCUACGAAUAGGAAGACCAAACCCAAGGGUGCCUUUGAGAUAACGUAAUAUUCGCUUAACAGAUUCAAAAUUAACAUCACUGCGGGAUCCCAUAAAUUGAGCAACAUGUUGAACCGCAUAUGAGAUAUCGGGACGGGUCAUGGUAAGGUAUUGGAGGGCACCAACAAUGUGUCGAUAAAGUGUAGGAUCGGCAAGUGGAGUACCAUCAGUACGAGAAAGUGUACCUUUCGAAGCCAUGGGUGUGGAAACAAGUUUACAGUCCAAGAGAUCGAUGCGUUUGAGAAGAUCUACUGUGUAUUUGUUUUGAGUAAGAUGGAGCGAAUCUGUGUGAUAAUUAACCUCCAUGCCAAGAAAAUAAUGCAAACGCCCCAAAUCUUUGAUGUCAAAUUCUGCUCCCAGUGUGCGAAUAAAGUUGUGAAUAUGAGAGGAAUCACUGCCCGUGAGAAUAAUAUCAUCCACAUACAAUAACAAAAUCAACAUAUGAGAAUUGUCCUGAUAAACAAACAUGGAGUUGUCGGCCCGACUUUGAUAGAAACCAAACUGUAAAAGGAAAGAACUAAAUCGUUGAAACCAUGCUCGUGGAGCCUGCUUGAGACCGUAGAUGGCCUUAUGAAGUUUGCACACAUGGUGAGGACGAUCAGGAUCAAUAAACCCCGGGGGUUGGCUCAUGUAAACCUCCUCAGAAAGAAAGCCAUGCAAGAAUGCAUUUUUGACAUCGAGUUGCCGAAUGGACCAUUGGAAAGAAACAGCCAGACAGAGAACGGUACGAAUCAUCGUGGGCUUGACGACGGGGCUGAAAGUAUCAAAAUAAUCAACUCCAGACUGUUGAUGGAAUCCUUUAGCAACGAGACGUGCCUUGUACCGUUCAAGUGUGCCAUCGGAUCGCCGCUUAAUCUUGAAAACCCAUUUGCAACCAACCGUAUUGAGUGAAUUAUUGGGACGUACCAAGGACCAAGUACCCUGAUGAAUAAGUGCAUUAUAUUCUUUGAGCAUGGCCUGUUUCCACUCGGGAGAGUGAGAUGCUUGUGUGUAGCACGUUGGUUCAAUAUUCAUGUCCACUAAGGCAGCAAAAGCAUGAGGGACAGGAUACCGAGUAGAGAAGUUGGCCUGGUAUUUAGGAUUGGGCUUUAAAAUACCAGAUUUGGAACGAGUGACAACUGGACUGCGAGGUGGUGGAGCAACAGCGGAAGAAUCGUGGGUUGUAGAUGACGCGGCAGUAACAGGUGGCAGCAUGGAAAGUCGCGAGGCAGAGAGUGGCUGGUCAAGGAGGUUGCUGUGCUCAGGAACUUCUGUCGGUGUUGGCAGGUCAAAGGCUGCAGGUGCGGGUGGGAGGACAGCUAGAGUGUCAAAGGCAACAGGUGGCAAGUUUGCUGCGGCAUCCAUAGAUGAGGAUGAAGUCUCGGCAGGAGGACAAGUGGAGGGUGCAGCAGUCGGUGUUUGCUGCAAGAGUGAUGUCUCAGGGACAAGUGUACGUGGUGGGACAGGUGGCUAAGAAGAUGGAACAAAUGACAAGUCCACAGGAACAAUGGCGAGCGGUGGAGAUGAAACAGGUGUAGAGACAGCAGCAUAAUAAAAUUGAUCUUCAUGAAAAAUGACAUGACGUGAAAUAUAUAGGCGUCCAGUUGGUGGAUGUAAGCAUCGAUAUCCACGAUGUUAAGCACUGUAACCAACAAAAACACACUGGAGAGAACGAGGUUGUAAUUUGUUAGAUACAUAAUUUCCAAGAUAUGGAUAACACAUGCACCAAAAAAUGCGAAGAAAUUUAUAGUCUGGAGAAUGACCAAAUAAGGAUUGGUAUGGGGAGAUCCCUUGAAGAACAGGUGACGGGAGUCUAUUAAUUAAAUAGACUGCCGUGCAUAAGGAUUCAGCCCAUAAGUUGUGAGGCAUGUGAGCAGUAUGUAAAAGUGUACGACCCAUAUCAGCAAUAUGACGAUGUUUACGCUCAGCCAAUCUAUUCUGCUGGGGUGUAUGAGGACAAGAAGAACGGUGCACGAUGCCAUUAGUUGCACAAAAUUGCUUAAACUGUAGGUUGUCAUAUUCCUUACCCCCAUCACUCUGGAAUUGUUUAAUAGACAAAGAGAAUUGAGUUUUAACAUAUAAAACAAAAGUAGAAAAAUGUCCAAAAACUUCGGACUUAAGACGCAUGGGGAAAAUCCACGAAUAUCGAGUAGAAUCAUCAGUAAACAAGACAUAAUAACGAUAACCAGAGACAGACAGGACAGGAGAGACAGACAGGACAGGAGACAUCCACACAUCUGAAUGGAUUAAAUCAAAAGGUGCAAGAGAACGGUGUUCAUGAGGUGAAAAAGAAAGUUUUAUUGAUUUAGAUAAGGCACAAUGGCUACAAUUUGAAUGCCGUAAACGAGAAGUAGAACCUAAAAAUGACUUAGAAACCAGUGAAGCAAGCACGUUGUUGGAAGGAUGACCAAGACGACGAUGCCAAAGAGAUGAAGAAUCAGCAACAGAAGAAAAAACGGUCUUGGGCCCAGUUAGGAGGGUAGGAAAGACGGGAUAAAGGCCAUCUUUACAUAGGCCCUGAAAAAGAAUAACACCAGUUUGUAAGUCACGAAUGUGAUAACCCCAAGGAAAGAAAGUAAUACUAACAUGCAUAUCACGUGUAAAUUGAGCGACCGAUAAAAGAUUUUUAUGAAGAGAAGGAACACGAAGAACAUCAGAGAGACGAAAGACAUAAGUACCAGAGGAAAACGAAACUUUACCAGACUGAGUGAUGGGGAGGGUGUCACCAUUACCAAUAACAACAUUGUCACGGGGUGCAGAGGAUGUACCGGAAGGAAACAACUUAGCAUCAUGAGUCAUGUGAUUUGUAGCACCGGAAUCCCAAUACCAAUUAGGAUCUGAAGAGGGAGCAACAUGCAUGCCGGCAAAGGGACGAGAGUGAGGACAUUUGGCUUGAACAUGUCCAUAUUGGUGGCAAUGCCAACAUUGAACCGCUUGACGAGGUGGAGGGGGACCGAGAAGACCUUGAGCGUUGAAGGAAGGUCGCUAUUGCCGAGAGAUGUUCGGUGCAAGGCCCUGAAAAGAAUGAUAUGGUGGCCUAUGGCCUGAGGUAUCACGCGAACGGAAUGGACGCUGACCACGGGGCGGACGUGUGGUGAUCAUGGCAGCAUGGGAGGGUGUAGAAUUGAGUUGAGCCGCAAAGGCUUGUUGGCUCUCAAAAGCAAGCAAUUUGGUGCGAAGGUCAGAAAAGGGUGGGAGGGGCGGGAAAUUGAGAAGAGCCGUCACAAGCAUCUGGUAAUCAGGUCCCAGACCACGAAGUACGUAAGUAACCAAGUCAGAAUUGGACACAGGUUCGUGGAUAGCAGUGAGUUCAUCAUCCAAACUUUUGGCUUGAGCAAGGUAAUCAGAAACGGGUUUGGAGCCUUUGGUAAGAGAGAAUAGACGAAAUUUCAGUUGUGCAGCAUUGGCAAGUGACUGUUGAGAGAAAUUUUGCUGGAGACAGUCCCAUAUAUCUUUUGAGGUGGAGAACCCAAUGACUUGAGGAAGGACGACUUCAGACAGUGUGGCACGAAGGAUACUAAUGAGACUUUGAUCUGUUUGAAACCAAGAGGUGUAGUCAGGAUUAGGUGUAGGUGUAGGAGUAGGUGUUUUGUCAUCACUUGAAGAAGAGGUCAAAGUGGAUGGAGGACAUGGAAAAGAGCCAUCAACAAAACGCCAAAGAUUUUGGCCUAGCAAGAAAGGUUUGACUUGGCUUUCCCACACAAGAUAGUUUGUAUCAGAAAGUUUGACAGAGACAAGAUGAGAGAUAUUGGGGAUAGAGAUAGGGGGAAAAGCUGAUGCACUACCUGAAGCCAUAAGGUCGUACCCAGUGCACAAGGCUCCCGCUUUACGCAGGGUCUGGGAGAGGUGAAUGUCGGCUAGCCUUACCCCCAUUUAUAGAGAGGCUGCUCUCAAGUCUCGAACCCGAGACCUACCGCUCAUGGGCGAAGGCACUUGCCAUCGCACCAAGUGCGACCUCUAUGCACUACCUGAAGCCAUGUCGAAAAAAAAAAAAAAAAUUAGGCUCUAGAUACCAUGUAGAAAAUGUGUAUUCAAUAUAUUCAUUUGAGGGAUUACAGCCCAUAUUUAUACAUAAACUUUAAGCUAUCUACCUAGGAGGUUACAAUGAAACAGAAAGCUAAUUAUAUCCUAAUAAAAGCUAAUAACAACAUAACAGCUAAACAAUAAUGUAUUGUUCUUGAAUAGACUUAACUAUGGUAACUCUUGUAACCUCCUAACAAUUUAUUUAUAUUCACAGAUGGCAUGGCCGUAAAUAAUGUGAAAUUCACCCCAAAUCACUGGUCAUUUGAACAGUGCAAUUGAAAUCUCUUCUUUAGACUAAAGUAAUUUUAUAUUACUGUAGGCUCAAAAUAUUAUAAAAGGCAUUUGACUCAGAAAUGUAAGAAUUUUACAUCUAGCUACUAGCAUAAGGAAAUGAUGUUUUAAACUUUCAGGUUUUGAAAGCUGAUUCUGCAUAUUUGCUUUAAUCUGUUUUCCAUUUGGUAUAAGGUUUUGUACAAGAGCAGAUGUGACAAUUGCCUUUAUGAGAUCACUGAAAGGGCAUCUGCUGAUAGAUGUGAGGUAUGCUGUAGGAUACUUGAGCCUAAGCACAUACUGUAUUGGCUUAAUGAAUACUACAUGAAUCUAGGCUGAGUCCCUGGCUAAGAAAUAUGAAGAGAAAUACAAACAAGCUGGAGAUGUAGCUUCCAAGUUGACUAGUGAAGAAGCCACGUUUUGUGAUUUACAGACCUUUCACCUAUAUAAAUUUGUGGACAAUUAGUGACCCAUGUUGUGUGUUUUCUUUUGCUCAUUUGAAGACCAAAGUGUCAAGUGCUUGCUGUUCGUUUUAUCUGAGUCAUAUUUACCUGAACAUUUGAGAUGGCGUGCCUUUAUUUUUUAUGAGAUAAGUGCCAAUCAAAAUACAAAAACAAAUAUGAGAAGGAGAAAAUUAUUUUAUAGUUUUUAGGCCAGGUGGGAUAGAUAGCUGAUGAAAGAGAGAAAGCGGUGUGGGAAAAUAGAAUCAGUUGAAUGGUCAUACCCCUAGAGGUGUUUUGUUUUUAUUAUCAUGGACUGAUUAUCUUACGUGAUUUAUAUGCAGGAGAAGAAAAUGGAGCUAAACAGGGCAGUUGUCAAGAUGGAGCAAGAAGGUGAUGUUGAUGCGCACUUCAGGUACCUUUGCGCAACCUUGCUGUUUAAAAAAUACCUUUGCUCAACUUGUCUAAGAUCAUUUCCAACUGUAAUUUUCAGGAUCGUGUUGAUCACAUGCAAUUAGAUCUUGAUGGGCUUGUGAAAACUCUCAAUGAGCACUGCAAGAAGUAUGGACUACGCAGAAAGCCUACAACAUUAACUGAGCUUCCCUUUGGUACGUUGAUCUCUUCCUUAGCUAAUUUCUUGGGAGUCUAAGAAUCUUAUAAAUAAUGAUAAGAAUACUUCCGUUUGCUUAUUCUUUAUCAAACUAUCUGAUGGAUUGUAUACAGAACACGUUGUUGUUAGAUAUACUUUUACUUUGGGUUUGUCAAAUUAUUUCAAUUUAUAAAUGGCAUUGUCUUUCUAGAACCCGAAGGUCAUUAAAUUAUCAAAAUCCUACACAGAAACCCUUAUUUUCACUAUUGUAAUAUUUUCCUAAUCACUCUGGUUUGUUUGAUUACCAUUAUUCGAAUUCCAUGUAGCGCUUCAUGAGUGUGUAAUUUUCUUUUUCGUUAUUGUUCACUGCUGCGGUAUUUGUACUAUAUUGCGUCUUGUAAUCUGAAAUUUUACUUUGUUAUCAUAUAUGCUGGCAACCUGGCAUCCUAGAAGGAGCUGCUGACUGGGAUGAGGAUUGGGAUAAGUUUGAAGACAAAUGUAUGCCAAAAAUGAGUUACUAUAGGUCCAGUAUUGUCUCUGAGAUAAUAAUUUCUGGUAUCACUUGGAUUCCUUUUACCUUUUCACUUUGUGGUAAAUGGAUCAUAUUGCCCGCUGUUGUAGUUUCUUUGUCGUCUGGUUGUGGUUUGCCAACCUGUUCAAGAGUUUUAACUAUUCGAGGUGACUCAUUCACAAGUUCACUUUUGAGGAUUCACUUUUGUCAAGGAGUUCACUCUUGAUGUGUCAAAUGUCUCUUGGCGCCUCCAAUACAGAAAUCAUCAUCAGUUCAGAAAGAAAAAGCUCCCCCAGUUGAGAGUUCAACAACAGCUUCUUCACCUAAAGUUGAUGUUCAGUCAGAAAAGCCUCAAAAUGCGGAUGACAAGGCCGUUGAAAAUGGAGCAGCAUAUGAUAAAAAUGAAGGCAAGUCAGCAAAAGGUGCUCCGAACAGUCCAUUUGCUAGCAGUACUGUUGGAAGGCCAUCUAGAGAAUUUUCAGAUUCUAACUAUGCAAAGACAACAGACGCAGAUGCCUCACCCAGUAAUAAGGAAUCUCAAAGGUAUAGUUCUAGAUCUGUAGUUUUCUACAUAUUUAAGGCCACCCUGAUACGUGCAAAAUUGUUGAUAUUCUAAACUGUCAUGCGCGGUGAUGAUCAUGCGGGUGCUGGGUCUAUGUUUUCUGGUGACAAAGGUUCCGAUGAACCAGCAUGGGGGACAUUUGACAAUAAUGAUGACGUUGACUCGGUGUGGGGUUUCAGUGCAGUUAGUACCACCAAGGUAAGCCGAUAUUGUACAUUCAGUAUUUUUUUUUUUUUUUUUGUAUUUUAGAGUGCAUUAAGUAUUUAUUUAUUAGAACUCAAUUCUUUGACCUUGUGUUUAUGCUGACUGGAUCUUGCUCCAUGAUUGCUGUUAAUACUACCUAGUUGUUUGUGGUGGUGACCACUUAUCCUUGUUUUAGGAGUUUGCCUUAAGUAUUCUAAGUUCCUAAUGCUUGCUGAGUUGUUUAGUUAUUGAAGAUGGUUCUGGGAAUUUUAACAUUAUUUGAAUAGUUUCUAUCUUCACCAUUCUGAUGGUUUCAUCAUGCAAAUCAGUUAGUAGUACGGGUCUUUCAACCAAGUAUGGCGAAACCAAGUUUCCUGAUUUUAGUUUUGGCUCACUGCGGGAUUGUUCUUGGUGCAAUUAAUUGCACGUUGAAGGGGACUCUGAUUUAAGCCUUGGGUCUUGGUUAAUCUUAGUCAAGAUCAUUUUUUUGUGUUGACAACUUGACAUUGACAAGAGAUGGUGCCAUAUUGCGCACACUUGUCGAAUAUUGAUGGUUUCCGGUUAACAAUGUAUUAGUCAUUGUUAAAAAUAGUGACUGGAAAAAAGAAAGUUAAAUUUCAAGUUAAAAAACUAGCAUUCAUUGUCAUGUUAGAAACAGUUACUGUUAACAUUCUGUAGCCGAUGGAAAGUUUCCAUUAUUUUGCACCUUCCAAGUAGGCAUGGAUUCUCGGUUCCAGUGAAUCCGCUUUCUUUUCUAAUAGCAUGUCGGUUACGUAGCACUUUCAAGCUUUUUGUUUUUGUGGUUUUAUAUUUGUUGUUAUUGCUGGCAUGCUGGAUUGUGCUGUAACUGCUCUUAAUCGUGUCUGAUGUAGGAUAUGGAUCAGGAGUCACUACUUUUCUGGCCCUGGGGAGUUCGGCCUCAACCCUAUCAGGACUGGGUCAUCACAAGGAGGUGGCUUUUCCCAGAAGAGCCGCCCUUUCACUUUCGACGAUUCUGUUCCUAGCACACCACUCUCAGCCUUCAAUUCAGGGUAUUCACCGCCAAGGUACAAGGAUAGCUCAGAACCUUCAUUUGACACCUUCUCUAGGUUUGAUUCGUUCAGAAUCACACAAGAUACUGGAUUUUUUCCUCAACUAGAGGCACUCGGAAGAUUUGAUUCUAUGCGCAGCAGUAGAGAUUUUGAUCAGGGUCAUGCUUUUCCAACAUUUGAUGACAUCCCAGACCCUUUUGGCUCUUCGGUGCCAUUUAGGUCAUCGCUGGACAAUCAAACUCCAAGAAGAGACUCAGACCCCUUCGGAUCUUCAGGUCCAUUUCGGACGUCACUGGACAGUCAAACUCCGUGAAGAGAAUCAGAUUUUUUCGGGUCUUCAGCAAGCGCCAUUUAGGACAUCAUUUGACAGUCAAACUUCAAGAGGAGACUCAGACGCAUUUGGGUCCUCUCCAUUUAGGACAUCAUUCGACGGUCGAACUCCAAGAAGAGACUCGGACCCAUUUGGGUCUUCUUCAGGGCCUUUCCGGACGUCAUUGGAGACUCAGAGAAAAGACUCUAAUCAUUGGAGUGCAUUUUAGCCAGGUAGUUGCUCUGCUUAUAGCUAAUCCCAAGUGGGAAAUGAAUAAUUAUCAUUCGAGUUAAUUUGUAAAACUCCAUCUAAAUUACAAAAUGAUUACAAAAACUGGGGCAGAGUGUAACAAAUUAAUUAUAAUUGCUAAAAUGUAAAAAUGCUACGAAACUGAGGACUGGGCAGCAAAUUGUUGAAUUAUCAAAAGUAGUGUAAGAAAUGGUAAAAGAGGUCCCAUGAGCAAGGACUGGGAGAAACCAAAGCAGAAGCCGGCCCAGGGCUAUUGGCCAUCCCCAUCCAAUUAUUAAGCAUUGGGCUGCUUAUGACGUCAUGCUGAUGUUGAUGUGAGAAGAACCCACUUGGGACCGCCGGCAGAGACGCUGGCGCCGGAGACAAUAUGCCCGGUGUUAGGGUAAAAUUGGCAAUCCCUGACAAAAUGCCUGAGUCUGUAAUAGCUUAGACUUGUUACAUAUUUACAAUUGUAAUAGUUUUAGUCUAGGGAGGUUUCUCACACUUUCAAUGCGAAGAUGUUACCAAAACGCGAUACUCAUUCAGGUACGUUUGCAUGCAUGCAUCCAACUACAUUCAUCUAUAUCCAUAUGUUAUUGUAUUUGGGUUAGGACUUUUAUUCUUGUGUGUUUUACUUUUCUAGAAUGAAUUAUCCUGUCUUUCAAACCGUGUCAUCAAACUGAUUUUUCAAAAUAUGUUUUCAAACUUAUCUGUUUGCAUGAAGAGUUAUCUGAUUGCAUGUUGGUAGAAUUGUUAAACUACAUGGAUUGCUUUGUAGUACUUAUCAGAUAAAGGGCCGGUACUGUUGAUAUAUAUAUGGGAAGUCAGGAACGUGAAGGGUUGAGCCAUAUAUGCAUGAAAAACUGAUUUUAUUGAAAAAGAAUCUUUAGAAACAUCAGCUUGGGUUUUGUGUGCAUGGAAAAUCAAUUUAAAUAUUGAUGUUAGCUUGUGGUUCGAAUAGCAUGAGGUUUUAAGAGAAAAUAUUGUUUUCAUGCUGAUUUCAUUUGGGUUUUAAAUUGAAUAUCAAUUAUGGAAAUGUGCCUUGUGAUUUUCGUAAUUGAUUGUUUUUCAAACAAACACUUCAUCAUAUAAUCAUUCUGCAUGAUCGAGUUAGUAUCUUGCAAAGUUCGAGGAAAAGGUGAUUGACGGCUGCGUUAGUGCCGUGCCACUUCAACUCGAAGACUGACGAAAGAUCGAGUAGCAAAGCGCGAAGACAAAGCUGCCAACUAGUAUGUGUGUCUAGUUGAAGAGUUCUUGUAAGUCUUUAUGUAUUCUUUCUUUCUUAGUGCUUCCUGGCUUGGUAGCCCGAGGAUUUUCCCAGUGGUGGGUUUUGCCUCGUUAAAUCCUACAUCAUGUGCGUACUCUUUAUAUUUGUGCUGAAUAUUUGUGUAGGAUUAUAUUUGCACAUCUGAUUGAUUUAAACCAUAAAUUGAAUUAGUGUUAAGUUGAAGUUUAUUUAUAUUACUAGAUUAAAUUAGUAUCCAUCCUAGAACUUUCACCCGGAAAUGGACCCAUUUCGUCAAGUUGCACUGACCCUCCUCCGCCUCCGCCUCCUUAAUCUUCAAGAUAAUUGAAAAUACUUGUCAUGAAGUCGUCGUCAAAGCUAGUACUAGUGGUGGCGGCGCCAGGGACGACCUUGUUGUGAUCCGAGGUUGAAGAAUUAGGGCUUGUCUUGUGUACGGAGGCGAGUCUUGCAGCCGGUGAGAGGCCGUCGGCGGAGGAGGAGGGCCGCUGGACUUGAUCAAAGAUAACAAACAUGAUAUUACACACUUGUCUAUAACAUUGCGCUUUAUAAUGCAUAAACAAUACUAAAUAGCCUUGCCUGUUUGUCACUAUUAUUUCUUUUCUUGGACAAACAAGCAAAUGCUGUCCUUGAACUUACCUCUGUCUUCAGCGCCGUGCAGCCUUGAGCUCGAACAUUACAUAGCACUGGGAGUUCUAGCAAAGAUUGAAGCCACUUGCAGCCGACUAAUUCGAGUGUAGACAACCGAGAAGCCUGUUUGAUGCUUGCAGGUAUGCUCCUAAUCUUGGUUCCAGACAGAUAUAUACGUUUCAAUGAGGUUGAGCAAACGAGACCAUCAGGGAUUUCCAAUAUACCGCUGUUGAUGAGAACGAGUUCUUCUAAAGAGAGAAAACGGGUAUAGGUGAAGGGCAAUUUUUUAAGUUCCAGACAGCCAGACAAGUCGAGACGUUUAAGAUUGGUUAAACGGUAGAUACUUGUUGGGACAACCUCAAGGUGCCUGCAGGCAGUAAGGUCUAAAAUUUGAAGCCCAAUUAGAUUUCCAAAUGACGAAGGAAGCUUUUGUACAGCUGUCCCUAGCAAACUAAGAGACACCAAAUGUUCCAUUGGCUCCAAGAUCUCUAGGAAAAGUUCAAGUUUAGAGCAGCAAUUGAGAGAGGGUCUCUUGAGAUAUUUCAACUUCCCAAUGUUGAUUGGUAGACUCACAAGACUUCUGCAAUGAAGUAACGAUAAUGUAGUUAUAUCCCUGGGAAGCUCAGAAAACUCGCGAAGAGACGUGCAGCCAUCUAGAUCAAAACUACCAAAGACUUUGAGCUUACCAAGUUUGACUUUCUAAUGUAAAAAUGUGGUUUUUCGUUAAAGUGAACAAUACUAGGAGCUUUUUGUUAAAGUUUCCUUUAUAUAAUCUACAGACUUCUAGCUAUUUGAUUUUUGCAGUGGAUUAUUUUUGAACAAUUGGAUGUCUCUGGUCUGAAUUAGUAUUGAUUCUUGAAUUGACAAGUACUCCUGGGAGGAAGUGCAUAUCAUGUGUUUUAUCAUUGUCUAUAGCUUUAUGUGUGACUGAGAUUGUAUAGGGAAGGAAAUGUAAGUUGGGUAAUUCUUGCAGGGUACAUAAGUAGUUUGGUGGUGAUAUGAAGGCUUUUGUGAGGGGUUCUGUAUGGCAACAGUUUUUUGGGGUUUCUUGGUUUGAGAGAAACACGAGGAUUUUUUAAAAUGAUAUUUGGAUGAGGACUAGUUAUGGAAUAAAGUUAGGUUUUGUUCACCACAUUGGCUGAGUAUCUAUUUUCUAAAUUUCAUGAUCCAUAUCCUUUGAAAGAUACUGUUUUGGGUAUUCUGAUUUAUGUUGAAGGUCCUGUAUGUAGGAAGACGUACAAAUGAGUGGCGAAUGAGCACUUUGGUGCCUAUCUACAAGAAUAAGGGUGACGUACAAAAUUGCAUGAACUAUAGGGGUAUUAAGCUAAUGAGUCAUACAAUGAAGCUCUGGGAGAGAGUCAUUGAGCAUAGAUUGAGGCAAGAGACACGGGUUUCGGACAACCAAUUCGGGUUCAUGCCAGGGCACUCAACCAUGGAGGCAAUCUAUCUCUUACAAAGAUUGAUGGAAAGAUAUAGAGAUGGGAAAAAGGAUUUACACAUGGUCUUUAUAGAUUUGGAAAAAGCGUAUGAUAGGGUUCCAAGAGACAUUAUUUGGAGGAUUUUAGAGAAGAAAGGAGUACGAGUAGCAUAUAUCCAAGCUAUAAAGGAUAUGUAUGAAGGAGCAAAGACUGCCGUAAGAACUCAUAAAGGACAAACCGAAAGCUUUUCCAUAACUGUAGGAUUACAUCAAGGCUCAUCCUUAAGUCCUUACCUUUUUGCGUUGGUAAUGGAUGAGUUAACAUGACAUAUUCAAGAUGAUAUUCCUUAGUGUAUGCUUUUCGCAGACGAUAUAGUGUUGAUAGAUGAAACUCAGGAAGGGGUAAAUGCAAAGCUUAACCUUUGGAGAGAAGUGUUGGAAUCUAAAGGUCUUCGCCUAAGCCGAUCAAAGACAGAAUAUAUGGAGUGCAAGUUCAGUGCAAAUGGAGGUUAAAACGAGUUAGGGGUGAGGAUCGGAGAUCAAGAAAUACCAAAGAGCGAUCGUUUUCGUUAUCUAGGAUCUAUCUUGCAAAAGAACGGAGAAUUAGAUGGAGAUCUCAACCAUAGAAUACAAGCUGGAUGGAUGAAGUGGAAGAGUGCAUCCAGCGUGUUGUGUGACCGCCGUAUGCCACUGAAGCUCAAGGGAAAAUUUUAUAGGACGGCAAUAAGGCCGGCGAUGCUGUAUGGCACAGAAUGUUGGGCGGUGAAGCAUCAAUACGUACACAAAAUGGAUGUAGCGGAGAUGAGGAUGCUUCAUUGGAUGUGUGGGCACACGAGAAAGGAUAAGAUUAGGAAUGAGGAUAUCCGGGGUAAAGUAGGAGUAGCCGAAAUUGAAGGAAAGAUGAGAGAAAAUCGGUUACGGUGGUUUAGACCUGUGCAAAGAAGGCCUACUGACGCUCCGAUUAGAAGAUGCGACUAUGAGACAGAGGUUCAGGGCCGAAGGGGUAGAGGAAGACCUAGGAAAACUUUGGAAGAGACUCUAAGAAAAGACUUAGAGUACUUGGAUCUAACGAAGGACAUGACAUAGGACCGAGCACAAUGGCGUUCUAAGAUUCAUAUAGUCGAUCCCACUCAGUGACUUGGAUUUUCCAAGUCUCCAACCGAGAAGUUUUCCUCACUCGGGAAAUUAAGGGAACACUACCUCAACCUACAUGCUCCACUCACAAAACUUCAACAUACAAGCUUCAACAAAAGAAAAUUCAAAGAACUUAGCGAAGAAGGCUUUGGUGUAUUUAACACAAUACGUUGAAAUGAAGGAAAGCUUAUUUAUUGAUAUCCCCGAUAAGUUACAAAUAUGUACAUAUACAUGAAUCAAAAUAAACAAAGAAGAGGGAGCCUUCACAAAGGUUGCUUAGGAAAAGUCUCAGCAGUCGGUAGAGCCCCAGAAAUAGAAGGCACUGGAGGGGGAUCGUUCGGAGCUUCAGUACUGGACAGAACCCUAGAAGGAGGAGGCAUCAGAGGUUGAUCAUUUGGAGCUUCAUUACGCGGUACAGCUCCAGACGACGAAGGCAAUAAAUGCCUUUGGAACAAACCCACAAAUCUCUGAUGAUCAAGUAAAACCUGACCAUCAGAUUCCUUCAUUUGGUCAAGCUUCCUCUUCAUGUUUGUAGCAUAGUCAUGUGCGAGCCGGUGCAACUGUUUAUUCUCUUGCUUGAGCCCUCUAAUCUCCUGUUUGAGACUCAUCACUUCAGCCGCCAAUGAUUCAACUUGGCGGGUUCGAGCAAAUAGGCGUUGGGCCAUAUUAGUCACAGAACCUGCACACUGAACAUUGAGAGCCAGAGAAUCCUUAACAGCUAACUCAUCAGACCGUUUGGAAAGUAGUCUGUUAUCUUUGGGAGUGAGAAGGUUCCUGGCCACCACCGCAGCAGUCAUAUCAUUCUUCAUCAUGGAAUCCCCAACGGUAAGGACCAGUAGGGGAGACGAAGGAUGGGCGCCAUAUGUUGUCUGGAGAAGGCGGGGCUGCCUCUUCAACAAGGUUCAAGUCAAAACGACGGUCGGAUGGGCCAAACAUUUUCAAAGGUGUUGAAGAGAGAAGAGGUCGGACAAAUCAAGAUCUUAGAAGUGCAAGAAUGGAGCUUCUACUGGUGGAGAUUCAAGUGUGCUUUGGAACUUAAUGCCAGCCCCUAUAAAAAUCUGCACUCGACGGAGCUUCAGAAAUCGAAGAGGCGUCUGCUCAUAAAUCGAAGAGGCGUUUGCUUUCUCGAAAGCUGGGCUGCUCAGAGACCACGAGGGUCGAUCUCAGAAAUCGAAGAGGCGUUUGCUUUCUCAAAAGCUGGGCUACUCAAAGACCACGAAGGCCGAUCUCAGAAAUUGAAGAGGCGUUUGCUUUCUCAAAAGCUGGGCUGCUCAGAGACCACGAAGGCCGAUCUCAGAAAUCGAAGAGGCACCUACUUUCCUAGCCUUGUCAGCACCUAUCACACGCACUCUCAGCUUUGCGGAAAUUAUGGGCAUUCUGUCGAAGACUUCUGGUGAAGUAGAAAGCACAUGAAUCUUACUGUUCAAUCACCCACUUCUCACACGCAAUAGUAGCUCAUGGGUACCACAUAUAACUUUGCCAAAGUUCUUUGACAAAGUUGAGACACGUGAAGCUUGCAGCUCCCACUACAUAGCUCUGACCAAGAAGGGUAAAAGAAUAGCAAAGAAACAGCACUAACAAAGUUUAGACACAUAAAUUUUGAAGGUCUAGCUACUAUAUUAUUACCCACAAGGGUAAAGGAACGGUACCACUGCUGGAUAAUUAGAAAGUCCCUGUGUGUCAACCUCUAUGCUUCGUGGCAAGGUAGACUAGCAACAUGCCUAACCUUUACUCACAUUCGAGAAAACACUCCCAACAAGAUUGCUUGCUCCAAAAUUGAAAAGGCACCGUCCUCCGAAUCUCGAGAGCCAGACUCCCAACAUGACUACUUUCUCAAAAAUCGAAGAGAGGGUAAAGGAACAGUACCAUUGCUGGAUAAUUGGAAAGUCCCUAUGUGUCAACCUCUGUGCUUCGUGGCAAGGUAGACUAGCAAACAUGCCCAACCUUUACUCACAUUCGAGAAAACACUCCCAACAAGAUUGCUUGCUCCAAAAUCGAAGAGGCACCGCCCUCCGAAUCUCGAGAGCCAGACUCCCAACAUAAUUACUUUCUCAAAAAUCGAAGAGACACCGCUCUCCGAAUCUCGAGAGCCAGACCCCCAGCAUGAUUGCUUUCUCAAAAAUCGAAGGCAUCGUUCUCCGAAUCUCGAGAGCCAGAUCCCUGAUAGGAUUGCUUGUUCGAAAACCGAAGAGGCGCUACUUUCCCAACUUCAAGAGCCGGAUCUCCUUGGAUAAAGCUUGUCUGUAAUCUUCACACACAACAUCAGCUUUCCAGAUACCACAGACCACUUUUUCAAAGUGCUCUGACAGAGUUAAAACAUGUGAAGCUGACAGCUCCCACUACUGUGCUAUGACCAAGCAGGGUAAUGGAAUAGCAUUACUACUUGUUGUUAGGGAGACUCCUAUAUAUGUCGACCUCCAUCCCCAACGGACAGGCAGACCUACAAAAAUGCUCAACCCUUCCUCAUAUCUGAGAGGGCACUCCCAACGAAGCCUUUCGAAAUAUUCAGCUUUCUUUUCCCCCGAUAAUACCUCUACAAACAAGCUAUACUAGAGCAAGAAUAUCUCAUAUCAUCAGGGUUAAAAGCAAGAGUAUCCCAUAUCAUGCUUUUUCCUUGUCUUUUCCUUUGGCCUUGUUCUUACCUGCAAGACAAGGAGAAAGAGAGCAAUCAGUCAGCACUUGGAAUCAAGCUUCCAGCCAGGAACUGACUGCCUGGAACCCCUUACCUGAUUACUUACCUGGCAUUGCUCUCGAGUACUCAUCUUCAACAUCUUAUGCUUCCAGGGAAGAUACCGCAUCUGCCUGAGGAACAAAUAGGGCAAGUGAGAAGGAUACAAGGAAGCAUGUGGAGACAAGCGUAACAGCACACGUGCCGAUACAUCCACUACUCUGUCAAAAGAAAAAGUAUCCCAUAUCAGCAGGGUCAAACGUACUCUAGAUUUGAUGGACUUGUUUUGACCCUCAAAUUCUUGAGUCGGCCUUAUACUCUGGAGGAAACCAGAAAACCCUCCAGCUCAGUUCAAGAAUAAGCCUGUGGAAAGUUACUUCUUCAAAAGCAAAAGUAUCCCAUAUCAUCUAUUCUCAUUUUUCUUCUCUUUAUCCUUCAUGCUGCCUGCAAGAUAUGGAGAAUGUGAACAAUCAGCCGGAGCUCUGAUUGCUUACCUUGUCUGUCACCUCUUUCAGCAGAUCCCCUAGCUCGGCGACUUGGGGGACUCCUACUACAUGGUUUGUAUCGCGCUUGACCAAGCCUGAAACUACAAGUAAGCUUCAAGUGAAAUUGAUACAUUACCUUGUGCAUCUCCACCAGUUAAAGAUACCACCCCUGGAUGGAGGAAGAGUACUUCCAGAGAAGAUGCCACAUCUACCUAUGAGACAGAUAAGGCAAGUCAAGACGAUACCACACUCCGAUACUUAGAAGUUUCGUGAUUACGAGAUCAUUCUCCCACAAUAUUUCCUAAUGUCAUUUGUACUAAAUCAUUCACUUGUACUCAUUAAAGGAGAGCUUGAACCUAUGUACUUGUGUAAACCCUUCACAAUUAAUGAGAACUCCUCUAUUCCGUGGACGUAGCCAAUCUGGGUGAACCACGUACAUCUUGUGUUUGCUUUCCUAUCUCUAUCCAUUUGUAUACUUAUCCACACUAAUGACCGGAGCAAUCUAGCGAAGAUCACAAAAAACGACCGUUUUCGCUACCUAGGAUCUAUCUUGCAAGAGAACGGAGAAUUAGAUGGAGAUCUCAACCAUAGAAUACAAGCUGGAUGGAUGAAGUGUAGAGUGCAUCCGGUGCAUCCGUGUUGUGUGACCGUCGUAGGCCACUGAAGCUCAAGGGAAAAUUUUAUAGGACGGCAAUAAGGCCAGCGAUGUUGUAUGGCACAAAAUGUUGGGCGGUGAAGCAUCAACACGUACACAAAAUGGGUGUAGCGGAGAUGAGGAUGCUUCUUGGGAUGUGUGGGCACACGAGAAAGGAUAAGAUUGGGAAUGAGGAUAUCCGAGGUAAAGUAGGAGUAGCCGAAAUUGAAGGAAAGAUGAGAGAAAAUCGGUUCCGGUGAUUUGGACAUGUGUAAAGAAGGCCUACUGACGCUUCGGUUCGAAGAUGUGACUACGGGACAGAGGUUUAGGGCCGAAGGGGUAGAGGAAGACCUAGGAAAACUUUGGAAGACUCUAAGGAAAGACUUAGAGUACCUGGAUCUAACGGAGGACAUGACACAAAACCGAGCGCAAUGGCGUUCUAGGAUUCAUAGCCGACCCCACUUAGUGGGAAAAGGCUUUGUUGUUGUUGUUGUUGUUGUUGGAUGUCUCUGGUCUGAAUUAGUAUUGAUUCUUGAAUUGACAAGUACUCCUGGGAGGAAGUGCAUAUCAUGUGUUUUAUCAUUGUCUAUAGCUUUAUGUGUGACUGAGAUUGUAUAGGGAAGGAAAUGUAAGUUGGGUAAUUCCUGCAGGGUACAUAAGUAGUUUGGUGGUGAUAUGAAGGCUUUUGUGAGGGGUGCUGUAUGGCAACAGUUUUUUUGGGGUUUCUUGGUUUGAGAGAAACACGAGGAUUUUUUAAAAUGAUAUUUGGAUGAGGACUAGUUAUGGAAUAAAGUUAGGUUUUGUUCACCACAUUGGCUGAGUAUCUAUUUUCUAAAUUUCAUGAUCCAUAUCCUUUGAAAGAUACUGUUUUUGGGUAUUCUGAUUUAUGUUGAAGGUCCUGUAUGUAGGAAGAAACUGUAAAACUUUAGUACGACUGUAUUGUUCAUGUAGUCUAGUUUUCAUUGUUGUCCAUUUUAAGGUGGGGGACAACUUAACUGAAGAGAUUGCAUUUUGUUGAGGAGAUUGGGUUGGCAAUUAAAGCAUUCCUUCAUAUGCACCGUAAUGGUGAUGAAAUAAAGAUCCAAAUUUGUUUGAACGGGGAACUGGGGCAUGGGAAGAAUUUAUCAUGUGUAAAUUUAGACCACUUUUUUAGAAGAUAAUUUUAUAUUACCGUAGGCUCAGAAUAUUUUAAAAGGCAUUUGACGAAAAAAUGUAAGAAUUUUAUAUCUGGCUACUAGCAUAAGGAAAUGAUGUUUUAAACUUUCAGUUUUUGAAUGUUGAUUCUGCAUAUUUGCUUUAAUCUGUUUUCCAUUUGGUAUAAAGUUCUGUACCAAAUGUGACAGUCGCCUUAAUGAGAUCACAGAAAGGGCAUCUGCUGAUAGAUAUGAGGUAUGCCGUAGGAUACUUGAGACUAAGCACAUAUUUGCAUUAAUCUUUUGCUACUGUCUUGGCUUAAUGAAUGCCAUGUGAAUCUAGGCUGAGUCCCUGGCUAAGAAAUAUGAAGAGAAAUACAAACAAGCUAGAGAUGUAGCUUCCAAGUUGACUAUUGAAGAAGCCACGUUUCGUGAUUUACAGGCACCUUUCACCACAUAUAAAUAUGUGGACAAUUAGUGACCCAUGUUGUGUGUUUUCUUUUGCUCAUUCGAAGAUCAAAGUGUCAAGUGCUUGCUGUUCUUUUUAUCCGAGUCAUAAUUGCCUGAACAUGUGAGACCGCGUAUUAGAGUUUGAUUUCGGGUAGAUUCAAUGGAACAGUAAAAUGCACACACAGAGAGCAGAGCUUUCUUCAAAGGUUUCAGUGUAUUCGACUUGUUCACCAAACAAAGAGCUCAAAGAGCAUGUUUUAACGUUGGAGGAGUGAGAAACAAUUUCACCCUCUCACAACAUUACAAAUCCAUCACAACCAUUCAUUUCAAAGUCAUCAUAUAAGAUGCUUGCACAUGUCAUGAGCUAUGACUCAUUCUAAUCCAAUCUAAUCUAAAUACCAAUUGGAAUAUGAUCCAAAGGUUUACAUUAGAUCCUACACUUUGUUUAUAAUGAAACUACCACAGCAAAUACAUUUAUACUUCAAUACUCCCUUCUAAAUGUUUUGCUGAUUUCACACCAAGAGCAGUUCUCAAGUAUUCGAAUCGAUCCUUAGGAAGAGCCUUGGUAAAGAUGUCUGCCAAUUGCUCCUCUGUGCUGCAAUAAUGCAGUUCAAUUGUCCCGUCUUGAAUGGCAUCUCUUAUGAAAUGAUACCUCCGAUUAAUAUGCCUGGUUUUAUGAUGAAACACUGGAUUCUUAUUCUUAGACAUGGCUAUGGCAGAAGUGUUGUCACACAAACAAAGGUGUAGCCUCCACUUGUUCUUCUCCAAAAUCAGAUAAAACAAACCUCAACCACAUUGCUUGUGUUGUAGCUUCUGCAGCACUUACAUACUCGGCCUCUCUGCAGUAGAUAAAGCCACACUGCAUUGUUUAACAGAAGCCCAAGAAAACACUCCUGAACCUAAACUGAAUGCAUAGCCUGAGGUGCUCUUCAUGUCAUCCAAGCUUCCUGCCCAAUCACUAUCACAGUAGCCCUAUCAACACAGCAGCUUUUCCUUUCACAUAUUCGAUUCCAAAAUCCAAUGUACCUUGCACAUAUCUUAAGACUCUUUUAGCUGUCCCCAUGUGUUUUCUAGUAGGUUUGUGCAUGAACCUUGCUAGCAAACAUGAUGCAUACAUUAGAUCAGGUCUAGUAGCUGUCAAGUAUAACAAACUACCAACCACUGUCCUGUACAAACUUUCAUCAGCAUCCUCACUUCCAUCUUCCUUAGAUAACUUGUCAUCAACUGCAAGUGGUGUUUUUACUGCUUUGCAUUCUUUCAAUCCAAAUUUCUCAAGUAGUGACUUGGCAUAUUUCUUCUGAUGAAUAAAUAUACUCUUAUCUGUUUGAACUAUGCCUAGACCAAGGAAGUGAUGUAACAAUCCCAGAUCUGACAUCUCAUAUUGCUUCAUCAUAUCCUUCUUAAAUUCUUGAAUCAUUUCAUCAGAAUUCCCUGUGUAGAUAAUGUCAUCUACAUACAGAGAUACAAUAAGCACACCUGCAUCACUGAACUUUGUAUAUAGAGUAGCUUCACUUUGGCUUUUCUCAAAACCAGAUCGAUUGAAAUAAUUGUCUAUCUCAUCAUACCAAGCUCUAGGAGCUUGUUUCAGACCGUAUAAAGCCUUUUUCAACUUGUAGACCUUAUCUUCCUGUCCUUGAACUUCAAAUCCCUGUGGUUGAUCCACAUAUACUUCCUCAUGCAGUGUACCAUUUAGGAAUGCAGAUUUAACAUCCAAUUGAAACAACUUCCAUUCCUUUUGAGCUGCCAAAGCAAUGAGAGUUCUAAUGGUAUCAAGCCUUGCCACAGGUGCAAAGGUCUCGUUGAAGUCCACUCCGGGCUUUUGAGAAUAAACCCUUAGCCACUAGCCGUGCCUUGUUCUUCUGUACUGAACCAUCCAGAUUGAGUUUUGUUUUGUAAACCCAUUUUACACCAAUUACAGGUUUAUCAAAUGGUCUUUUGACCAACUCCCAUGUAUCAUUCUUUUUCGAUCAUCUCUCAAUCUCUGUGGACAUAGCUUUUCUCCAAGCCUCAUCCCCUGAUGCUUCUUCAAAACAUUCAGGUUCUAUCACACAGAAAUUGCACCUUUCAUAAAUUUCAUUCAAGCCUCUGAACCUUAAUGGAGUAUGAUCAUACAUUUGUGAGCUGGUAUGAUCUAUUUGCUCUUCUUGUCUUGAAGAAGAAGCAAUAACUUGCUUCAUGUUGUUCCUGUAGUGAUUCUGUGCAUUCAAAUAUUGCAUCAUCUUCAACAGCUUCAGUCUCAUUCUCUUUGCUUCCAUCAACAUCACUUGGAACUGAGAUGGACAUAGUCUUCUUAUUACCAGAUUUCCAAUCCCAACAAGAGUUCUCAUCAAAUAUUACAUCUCUAGAAAUAACAAUCUUGUUAGUUUUAGGAUUGAACAACCUGUAACCCUUUUCACACGUUCCAUAGCCAAGGAAUAUGCACAUUACACUUGUUGCAUCCAGUUUCUGCCUCAUUUGUGAUGGAACCUGUGCAUAACAUAAAGAUCCAAACACUUUUAAAUGUUUUACUCCAGGCUUUCUUCCACUGUAAGCUUCAAAUGGAGUCUUCUUAUUCAAGACCUUGGUAGGACAUCUAUUGAGAAUGUAGACUGCAGUAUUCACUGCUUCUGCCCAAAAUUCAAAUGGAAUCCCUUUCUCCAACAUCAUGCAUUUAGCCAUUUCUACAAUGGUCCUAUUUCUUCUCUCAGCAACACCAUUCUGUUGAGGAGAAUAGGCCACUGUAAGUUGUCUUUCUAGACCAAGAUUUUCACAAUAUUGAGAGAGAAUUCCAGAGAAGUAUACUCCCCUCCCCUGUCACUCCUUAAUUUCUUCACUUUGAAUCCACUUUGUAGUUCAACAGUUGCCUUGAACCUCUUAAAUAUGCCAAAUGCAUCAGAUUUGUUUCUCAGAAAAUAGACCCAUCCCAUUCUGGUACAAUCAUCUGUGAAAGUGAUGAAAUACUUGUUUCCAGCUUUGGUAAGUGUUUGCAUUGGUCCACAUAUAUCAGUAUGUAUUAACUCCAAUGGUAGUGCAGCUCUCCAGUUUGUUUCUUUAGGAAAAGCAUCUCUAGAAUGCUUUCCAAUAGCACAUCCCUCACAUACUGUGGAAUUCACUCUGAGCUCAGGUAAACCAGUCACCAUGUCAUGCUCUUGAAGUUGCAUGAGAGCCUUCAUAUUUAGAUGCCCGAGUCUUCUAUGCCAUAUCUCAGCAGCUUGUUUAACACCUGCCCUCAUAGCCAUUUGUAUUCCUGGUUGCAACUUCAAAGGAAAGCUUCGAUUUCCCUUCAUAGGAAUUUUAACAACCAGAUUAGAGCAUGUAAAAUCUUCAUAAAUUCUGACUUCAAUUCCCCCAAACACAAGGUAAUAUCCAUGCUCCAUCAUUUGUCCCACACUCAAUAGAUUCUCCUUUAAACCAGGUACUAACAUGAUCUCCUUGAUGUACCGUUUGCCUUGCUUAGUUGCAACCAUUAACUCUCCUUUUCCAACUACAUUAACCAACUCCCCUGUGCCCAUCUCAACUUUGGCAGUAACACUUCUAUCAAUGUUCUCCAGUAAAUCUUCUCUUCCUGUCAUGUGAUUACUGCAGCCACUAUCAACAUACCAAACAUCUUCUCCCUUCUUCACUGCAGCAGCCAUACACACAUAGAACAUAGUUGGAUUGUUCUCCACUUGUUUGACAUAAUUUGCCUAUUGAGUAACCUUCUUUGACCUGCAAUCCUUAACAAAAUGCCCUGGCUUAUCAUAGUUAUGGCACCUUGGUUUUCCCUUGAACCAACACUCUCCAAAAUGAAGUUUAUCACAGUACUUACAUGCAUUCUUGACAUUAUCAGAAGACCCAGUAAAUUUUCCUUGAUGGUGCACAGAUUUGUUAUCCCAUUUCUUACUCUUUGUCUGCCAGUUCUUUGUGGGUUUAAAACUCUGAUUGCCAUUGUAAUUGUUCUUCCUGGGAGCUAUACUUAAACUAGCAAAUGCCUUUUCAUUUCUAUCUUCAGAAUGUCUAUCAAUUCGUUGUUCAUACCCCUUUAGGGUAGCAACAACAUCCUGCACAUCAACACUCUCCAGAUCCCUAGUGUUUUCUAUCACAGCAACAAUACUAUCAUAAGACUUAGGCAAACUUAUCAAUAGCUUCUGCACAAUUCUUUGAUUUCCUAUAUCUUCACCAUAACUUUUCAUUUGUGACAUAAGAUCAAAUAAUCGCACAACAUACACAGAGAAUGCUUCAUUUUCACCCAUACGAGUGUAUUCAAAAUCUCGCCUUAAACUUUGGAGUUUCACAGAUCUCACCUGUUUAUCCCCAAUAAAUUCUUGCUUCAGUGCAUCCCAAGCCUCCUUUGCCGUCUCCAGUAUGGCGAUUCGUGGGAAAAUUUCAUCGGACACAGAACCUUGAAUAAUCCCGAGAGCCUUAGCAUCCUUGAUCAUGUUCUCCCUUUAGCUGCUUUAGUUCAGCGGCAUUGAGUUCUUCAUCUUCUUUCUUCACCGGAGGUUUAUACCCCGUUUCAACCAUAUCCCACACAGAUCGUGAAAUCUGAAAAUAGUCUUCAUCUUUAUCUGCCAGAAAUCAAAGUUUUCCCCAUUGAAAAUCGGUGCUCGAAGAUCAGCACCACUCGAUCCAGCCAUAUUAGACUUGUUAUCGAGUUACCCAGUGAUUUUUCAGAUUGAUCUUCAAUCGCAGCAAACUCGAUUCUCUGUCGAGUUCCUUAGCUGCAACCCUUGUCACAGAUUCACGCCCAGAUUGAGAUCCAACCUGGCUCUGAGGCCAUAUUAGAGUUUGAUUUCGGGUAGAUUCAAUGGAACAGUAAAAUGCACACACAGAGAGCAGAGCUUUCUUCAAAGGUUUCAGUGUAUUCGACUUGUUCACCAAACAAAGAGCUCAAAGAGCAUGUUUUAACGUUGGAGGAGUGAGAAACAAUUUCACCCUCUCACAACAUUACAAAUCCAUCACAACCAUUCAUUUCAAAGUCAUCAUAUAAGAUGCUUGCACAUGUCAUGAGCUAUGACUCAUUCUAAUCCAAUCUAAUCUAAAUACCAAUUGGAAUAUGAUCCAAAGGUUUACAUUAGAUCCUACACUUUGUUUAUAAUGAAACUACCACAGCAAAUACAUUUAUACUUCAAUACCGCGUGCUUUUAUUUUUUUAUGAGAUAAGUGCCAAUCAAAAUUAAAAAAUCAAGUAUGAGCAGGACAUUUUUACUUUUUGGAGAAACAAAAAGAAAUUUAUUUUAGAACUUUUAAGCCUGGUGGGAUAGAUAGCUGAUGAGAGAGAGAAAGUAGUGUGGGAAAAUAGAAUCAGUUGAAUGGUCAUACCCUUGUGGUGUAUUCUUUUUAUUAUCGUGGACUGAUUAUCUUACGUGAUUUAUAUGCAGGAGAAAAAAAUGGAGCUACACAGGGCAGUGAUGGAGCAAGAAGGUGAUGCUGAUGCGCACUUCAGGUACCUUUGCACAAUCUUGCUGUUUAAAAAAUACCUUUGCUCAACUUGUUUAAGACCAUUUCCAGCUGAUUCAAGAUCGUGUUGAUCACAUCCAAUUAGAUCUUGAUGGGCUUGUCAAAACUCUCAAUGAGCACUGCAAGAAGUAUGAACUACGCAGAAAGCCUACAACGUUAACUGAGCUGCCCUUUUGUACGUUGAUCUCUUUCCUUAGCUAAUUUCUUGGGAGUCUAAGAAUCUUAUAAAUAACGAUAAGAAUACUUCUAUUAGCUUAUUCUUUAUCAAAAUAUCUGAUGGAUUGUACAUAGAACACAAUGUUGUGGUAAAUGGAUCAUAUUGUCUGCUUUUUGUAGUUUCUUUGUCAUCUAGUUGUGGUUUGCUAACCUGUUUAGGAGUUUUAACUGUUCGAGGUGACUGAUUCAGAAGUUGAAUUGUCAGGAUUCACUUUUGUCAAGGAGCUCACUCUUGACGUGUCAAAUGUCUUGGCACCUCCAAAACAGAAAUAAUCAUCAGUUCAGAAAGAAAAAGCUCCCCCAGUUGAGAGUCCAACAACUGCUUCUUCACUAGCCUCAAAGUACGGAUGCCAAGGUUGUUGAAAAUGGAGCAGCAUAUGAUAAAAAUGAGGAUGAGUCAGCAAAAAGUGCUCCGAACAGUCCAUUUGCCAGCAGUACCGUUGGAAGCCCAUCUAGAGAAUUUUCAGAUUCUAACUAUGGAAAGACAACAGACGCAGAUCCCUCACCCCGUAAUAAGGAAUCUCAAAGGUAUGGUUCUAGAUCUGUAGUUUUCUACAUAUUUAAGGUCACCCUGAUACGUGCAAAAUUGUUGAUCAUGCGGGUGCUGGGUCUAUGUUUUCUGGCGACAAAGGUUCUGAUGAACCAGCAUGGGGGACAUUUGACACUAAUGAUGACGUUGACUCGUUGUGGGGUUUCAAUGCAGUUAGUACCACCAAGGUAAGCCAAUAUUGUACAUUCAAAAAUUUUAUUUAUUUAUUUUAGAGUGCAUUCAGUAUUUAUUUAUUAGAACUCAAUUCUUUGACCUUGUGUUUAUACUGACCGGACCUUGCUUCAUGAUUGCUGUUAAUACCACCUAGUUGUUUGUGGUGGUGACCACUUAUCCUUGUUUAAGAGUUGCCUCAAGUGUCCUAAUGCUUGCUGAGUUGUUUAGUUAUUAACGAUGGUUCUGGGAAUUUUAACAUUAUUUGAAUAGUUUCUAUCUUCACCAUUCUGAUGGUUUCAUGUAAAUCAGUUAUGGUUCACUGUAUGGCGAAACCGAGUUUCCGAGUUUCCUGUCUUUCAACCAAGUAUGGCGAAACCGAGUUUCCUGAUUUCAGUUUUGGUUCACCGGAUAUAAAAAGAAGGGGUUGCGGGAUUGUUCUUGGUGCAAUUAAUUGCACAUUGAAGGGGACUCUGAUUUAAGCCUUAGGUCUUGGUUAAUCUUAGUCAAGAUCAUUUUUGUGUUGACAACUUGACAUUGACAAGAGAUGGUGCCAUUAAUGUAUUAAUGUAUUAAUCAUUGUUAAAGAAUGGUGACUGGAAAAAGGAAAGUUAAAUUUCAAGUUAAAAAACUAGCAUUCAUUGUCAUGUUAGAAACAGUUACUGUUAACAGUUUGUAGCCGAUGGAAAGUUUCCAUUAUUUUGCACCUUCCAAGUAGGCAUGGAUUCUAGGUUCCAGUGAAUCCACUUUCUUUUAUAAUAGCAUGUCGGUUACGUAGCACUUUCAAGCUUUUAGUUUUUGCGGUUUUAUAUUUUUUAUUAUUGCUGGCAUGCAGGAUUUUGCUGUUAAUUGCUCUUAAUCAUGUGGGAUGUAGGAUAUGGAUCAGGAGAGUAAUAAGGAUCACUACUUUUCUGGCCCUGGGGAGUUCGGCCUCAACCCUAUCAGGACUGGGUCAUCACAAGGAGGUGGCUUUUCCCAGAAGAGCUACCCUUUUACUUUCGACGUUUCUGUUCCUAGCACACCACUCUCAUCCUUCAAUUUGGGGUAUUCACCGCCAAGGUACAAGGAUAGCUCAGAACCUUCAUUUGACACCUUCUCUAGGUUUGAUUAGUUCACAAGCACACAAGAUACUGGAUUUUUCCCUCAACCAGAAACACUCGGAAGAUUUGAUUCUAUGCGCAGCAGUCGAGAUUUUGAUCAGGGUAAUGGUUUUCCAACAUUUGAUGACAUCCCAGACCCUUUUGGCUCUUCGGCGCCAUUUAGGUCAUUGCUGGACAGUCAAACUCCAAGAAGAGACUCAGACCCCUUCGGAUCUUCAGGUCCAUUUCGGACGUCACUGGACAGUCGAACUCCAAGAAGAGAAUCAGAUUUUUUCAGGUCUUCAGCAGCGCCAUGUAGGACAUCAUUGACAGUCAAACUUCAAGAGGAGACUCGGACGCAUUUGGAUCCUCUCCAUUUAGGACAUCAUUCAACGGUCAAACUCCAAGAAGAGACUCGGACCCAUUUGGGUCUUCAGGGCCUUUCCGGACGUCAUUGGAGACUCCGAGAAAAGACUGAUCAUUGGAGUGCAUUUUAGCCAGGUAGUUGCUCUUCUUCGUUUUUCUGUCUGCUAUUCUCGUUGUUCCAAGCCUUUCUAUCGUGAGUGUUAUGGGCCGUGGCCAUGUUUUAUGCUUUGAAAUCACUGUGCUUGUAAUGUGUCUUUUGUAUUUCAUUUCUUUGUGUAUGCAUCUCGCUUUGUCUUCAUCCUUUUUUUUUCCUUUAGCUUAUAAUUUUUCUCCGUAAUUUCGGAAUGUUCCUAGUCCUAUUGAAGCGAAGACCCCUAUAGUUUUAUCGCUGUUACAAAUUUGAUGAUUGUAUUAUCAAACUGGGGCUGUGCCUUUCUUUUUUCGACCUUAAUUUGCUGUAAUAUUUUACCCCCAUAAUAAAAUUUGUUCUGCUGAUCUUUCUUUUGUUCAAACAAGAACACUGUUUUGCCGGUGUUAGUCCAAUUGGGCCAUUCAUGAUGCCGCUGGAUUUGAUCAAAGAUAACAAACAUAAUAUUACACACUUGUCUAUAUAAGAGCCUUGCCUGUUUGUCAGUCUUAUUUCUUGGACGGACAAGUGAGUGCUGUCCUUGAACUUGCCUGUGUCUUCAGCGCUGUGCAGCCUUGAGCUCAAACAUGACAUAGCACUGGGAGCUCUGGCAAAGAUUGAAGUUGCUUGCAGCCGACUAAGUUGAGUUCAGACAACCGAGAAGCUCAUUUGAUGCUUGCAGGUAUGCUCCUGAUCUUGGUUCCAGACAGAUGUAUGCUUGUCAAUGAGGUUGAGCAAACGAGACCAUCAGGGAUUUCCAACAUACCGCUGCUGCUGAGAUCUAGUUCUUCUAAAGAGAGAAAACCGGCAUAGGUGAAAGGCAAAUUUUCAAGUUCCCGACAUCCAUACAAGUCGAGACGUUUAAGAUUGGUUAAACGGUAGAUACUUGUUGGGACUACCUUAAGGUGCUUGCAGUCACUAAGGUCUAAAGUUUGAAGCCCAAUUAGAUUUCCAAAUGACGAAGGAAGCUUUUGUACAGCUGUCCUUUGCAAAUUAAGAGACACCAAAUGUUCUAUUGGCUCCAAGAUCUCUGGGAAAUGUUCAAGUUCAGAGCACCCAAAGAGAUUGAGUUCCUUGAGAUAUUUCAACUUCCAAAUGUAGAUUGGUAGACUCACAAGACUGCUGCAACGAACCAAUGAUAAUUUAGUUGUAUCCCUCGGAAGCUCAGAAAACUCGCAAAGAGAUAUGCAACCAUAUCGAUCAAAACAACCAGAGACUUUCAACUUACAACUGUUGCUUGGAAGUUUCUCAAGGUAAAGAGCAAAAACGUAUAUUCAAGUAAGAAAUGUUUUUGUUAGACCACACUGAUUCAGGCAAUUCUUUUAUACCAGCGUAAUGUAAAUCCAAGUAUUUAAUAUUUCCUAGCAUCUCUGGAAGAUACUUGAGGUUGGUGCAGCCUUUAAGAUCAAGAUGAGUAAGCUUGUCAAGAUGUUGAAAACACUCAGGAAUUUCAACCAAAAUUUCACAGCCACAGAGAUUUAUUUUCACAAUUUUUAGACUUCGAGAGAGAUUUGGAACUUCAGUUAGAUAUCUGGAGUAAUGCAGAUCGAUCACUUGUAAGUUCACAAGUCUUUGUAUCAAGAGUAAAUAGGAGUUAAUAUAACUUCUACACUUGAUUUUAUACAAGAAUUAAAAUAGGCAUAUAAUAUAAUAUACCUUGUCUUUUUUCCAAAGCUUCUGAACUAGGCUAAAUGGCAUAUGAAGCUCAACUAGAUUUUUCGGAGAAAAUUUUGACGGUAAAGAUUCCAGUGGAUAUUCAUCCCAGUAAAGAUAACGAAGAGCAUCGGGAAGGUCUAGAGAAGCGUGGAAUUUGGAGCCACCAUUCACAAUUAGCAAUCUUAGGUUAGACAUCACCUUGAAGUCUACACGUUUCAAUGGUCGCUCUACAAUGUUAUGCCAAUUAAGGAAUAUGGCUUCAAUAUUUCCUGACAAUAAGAAGAAAGUUUAAAUGUGAAUAUAUGUACAUGUUUUCAACAUGUUAAAAUGUAAUGCGCACUUGGAAAAAGAAUUCUACAACGUUACAUAAUAAUUUAGUAUUUGCGAUGGUAAUGAUGUACAAGUUUCUAGUAAAAUAUCCAACAUAAUUGUAUCCUCCUCUACUUGUCUUAAAAAACAAACAUUUGUUCCUAUUCCAAAGACUUCCGAACACAAUAAAAAUUCAAUCAAAUUAAUUUUUUUUUUUUAAGAAUCUGACUUUUUUUAUUAUAAAUGCAAAAAUGCUACUCUUACCAUCUAAUUAUACCGUCAAUUGUACAAUCUCUAUUAAUCUCUAAUAAAGAUGAGACUCAUAUGUGUUUUCUCUACAAAAAGAAAAGAAAAAAAAUUGAGUGCAUUUGACUCUUACUGUGUUACUUUUCAAUACAUGAUAAACAUCCUUAUCGUUGAACAACCUACUCCACUUACUGGGAUCUUCAAUACAUUGUUCCUGAACAAUUGUCCUUCCCAUUUCUUCAAGUAGAUCAUGCAUCUCGAUGGUUUCCCGUCCCCAUCUUGAAUCAAUUGAUAUGAGAGACAUGUCAAUGAGAAUUCUAAUUCCAACCGUCACAAAGAAUCCACGAACAUCUAACAAUUGCUUUACCUCCUCCACAUCAUACCCUUCAUGAAAACAUGCUAUAUCCAAAAAUAUCUCCUUCUCAUUUCUUCCCAAUCCAUCAUAACUUAGUCUCAACACUCUCUGGAUAUUUUCAUUGGGAAAUUGUUUCAAUUUGUCCAAUUCAUCUUCCAAGUCUUCUUUGCUCUUGCAAUUUAGGAAUGAGGACCCCAGAAGUAUAAGAGCUAAAGGAAUGCCUCCGGCAUAAUGCAUCGCCUUUUCUGCCAACCCCUUAUAAUCUGUUAUAUGAGUAUUCUUGAAAGCACGCGAACAAAAGAGCUGAAGAGCGUCAUCCGGUUUUAAUCUCCCAACCUCAUAGAUUUUAUCCUCUUCAACAGUUUGCCUAAGUGUGCCCCUAUUUCUACUUGUGAUGAUGAUUCUACUUCCAUUGCCAAACGGAAGACGAUUGCCAGAUAAACCUUCAAUUUGCAUUGAAUCACUGACAUCAUCAAGAACAAUGAGGACCUUUGUACGGCUAAGCCUAUCUCGAACAAAAAUUGAUCCUAUGGAUAGAUCUUCUUCCUUUGAUAUCUGACUGAGAAGUGUAUUUUGUAAGUGUUCUAGCCCAUCUUUUUGUUCUUUCUCCCUAACAUUUCUUAGAAAACAACAAGCUUCGAAUUUAGAAGAGAGUUUGUUAAAUACGGCUUCAGCAAGGGUGGUCUUGCCAAUACCACCCAUUCCCCAAAUACCAACACUGAUGCAAGCAUCCUGUGAAUGAAUGCCUAAUAGCGAUUCAAUUUGCUCGAUGUGACUUUCAAUUCCAACCAGGCCCUCUAAAACACAUGAUGAUUCACAAAUCAAUUUGGUCCAAAUAUGAUCUACAACAUUCCUAAUUAGAUCUGCCUCCGUCCUGGCAUAUAUAUGUAUGAUUAUGUAGAAAAAGCAAUAGUUAGUCCUAAAUAUGCUUUACCAAAUCUUAGCACAAAUCAAACUGUGACAAGUUUAAAGAAAAUUUAUAACUUUAGACAAGUUAAAGAAUGAGUUAGUUACCCGAAUUUGUUUGAAUAAUCAAACCCAGAUAGAUUGGCUGCAGUCUUCAAAGCACCCCUCCACUUGUGCACCUUGUCAAUACUGUUAUCGAAACGUUUUUCAAGUUGUCCAAAUGCAUCCGCAUAACUCUCGUAUUGAUUCCGUACAUCAGAUGGAUUGACGUCGUAUAAUACCGGUACGACCAUGUGGCCAUAUAUUUCCUUGCAUUUGAGUAUAUGCACAAGCUCAUCCAAACACCAUGUGGAUGAAGCAUAGUUUUGUGAGAAAAUGAUCACCGAAAUCGUGGAUUUCUCGAUUGCUUCUAGAAGGGCAGGUCCGAUUUCUUCGCCUCUCUGAAGUCUAUUAUCGAUGUAGGUUUCAAUUUUCUUCUGAAGUAAGGCAGCAUGAAGAUGGCUGGUAAUACCAAGGCGGGUGUCCUCACCUCUGAAGCUGAUAAACACAUCAUACUUUUCUAGUCGUGGGGGGAUAUCAGCAUCCUCAUCAACAACAGUAGUAGAACCAGCUACAACAGAAUCAACCGCAAAAGAAAAUGUUAAUAAUCUGCAGCUGAGACUACAAUUGCACCUGAGACUAAAUCAGAGUUUAUUAUAGAAAAAUUGAAAUUGAGAUUGUAGUCCUUAGUUAUAAAUGCUCCAGGUAGAGACAAGGAUUAGUCACUUCUACAUAGUUAAAAAAAAAUAUUUGAUAAUGGUGGUUAAAAAUUAUUGGCUUUUAUUCAAAAUGGUCCAUGAGAUUUGCAUCAUCCAUAAGUUUGGUUUCUAAGAUUUAAAAUCAAUAGAAGUAGCCCUGAGAUUGUCUACCAUCCAUGAUUUUGGUCAUUCUGCUGAAGCUUUUGGCCGGAAGUUUGGGCAAUUUUCAAAUCUUCGUAACUCAAUCGUUUCUUAACCAAAUUCGACCCAUAAUAUAUCAAAAUGAAGAUAGGAAAGUGUAGAAUAAGAUUAUAUCUAUUUGGAAGAGCAAUAAUUGCCGGAGAUGGUCAGAAAAUAGCCUAAAAGUUGACUGGUCUGAGGGAAAACUAGAAAACUUGCCGGAAACUCGCCGAAAACUGGGUAAAUUUUAAACGUUCAUAACUUCUUCAAUACUCAUCAAAAUCAUGUGAUUCAAAAACAAAAAUCAUACUUCUCAACGAGAAUAAGAGAAUGGUACCUUUUUCAAAGGCUAACUCGCCGUGGUUUGGCCGGAAAAUGGCUCGAAAGUGGCUGUUGAAAAACGAGUCAGCAACUUUCGAGCCAUUUUCGGCCAAACCACGGCAAUUUAGCCAUUGAAAAAUGUACCAUUCUCUUCUUCUCAUCAAGAAGUAUGAUUUUUGUUUUUGAAUUACUUAAUUUCGUUGAGUAUUGAAGAAGUUGUGAAUGUUUAAAGUUUACCCAGUUUCCGGCAAGUUUUUCAGUUUUCUCUCUGACCAGUCAAUUUUGAGGCUAUAUUCCGACCAUCUUCGGCAACUGUUGGGCUUACAAAUGAUAUAAUCUUAUUCUAUACUUUCCUAUCUUCAUUUUGAUAUAUUACGGGUCAAAUUUGGUUAAGAAACGAUUGAGUUACGAAGCUUUGAAAAUUGCCCAAACUUCCGGCCAAAAGCUUCAGUGGAAGGACCAAAAUCAUGGAUGGUGGACAAUCUCAGGGACCACUUCUAUUGAUUUUAAAUCUCAGGGACCAAACUUAUGGAUAAUGCAAAUCUUGUGGACCAUUUUGAAUAAAAAGCCAAAAAUAUUUGAUAAUCGUAGCGGCAAGCACACAGUAGCCAAUAGGCCCUCCUUCCCGGCUUUGCACGCUUUAUUUACAAAUUUAACUUUGUUCCUCCAUCCACUGAUUUCAUCUUUGACCAGCAGAGCAUCCAAAGCAAUUUAAUCUUAACAAGGACUAACCAACACCCGACACAUCAAUGUAGCAUCUAGGUGACGCAUUUACUGGUGCAUUAUUAGUUUGUGAUGUCAGAGUGAAAAUUUCGGGUGCAAUUGAAUAUAAAACCAUCUAAAGCGUUUGAAUUUUUAAGCCAACAAGACCGAAACCUUGAAAUAGGGAAAGCCCACCUCCAAACCGGUUUUGGUCGAGUCUGAUUUUGAAAAGCAAGGUCCUUCCCAUUCAAUACUUUAUUUCAGGAGUAGAGUGAGGGGGGGUGGGGUGGGGGAGGGGAGGCUGGCAAUGUGAGGAGAGGGGAAUUAGAUAUCAGACCUCUGUCUUGUAAUUCUUGUUUAUGUAAUUGAUGGUUAAUGAUAGAUGUUGUUAGAUUAGUCACCGACAGAGUUUGAACUCACGUUAUCAUGUAAAGAAUUAACACAUUUCCACAACUGUGGUAAAAGACCACUUUCUAUUGAGUAUUCUAAGUGCUCACUUUUUAAUUUUGUCCAAUGAAAAAAUGUGAUGUGUUCCUUUUUUUUCAAAGUUCAAGAAAAAUUUAAUAACAUGUCUAUUAUUUUUUAAAACAAUAAAAUAUGUGCUAAAAAUUUAAAUAUCAUUAGACAAAAUCAAAAAGGUGAGUGAGUUUAGUGAGUGCCCAGAUAUUAUUCUUACACAAAUAUUGUCCUAAUUAAUUGUAUUUUGUUUACACAGUUUCCUAAAUAUGUUACAAAUUGCAUAUACAAUGACUACAUGUUCAUUAAAAUCCCUAGAGGAUCAUCGUUGUGAUUACAACUUGUUCAAGAAAAGUUCAUGGAAGGUAGAAAAUGGAGCACAUGAAAGUAGAAAGAUAUUCAUAUGUUUGCAAUCUCAACAUGUAAAACUACUGGUAUUUGAAAACCAUAAAAUGAUAUAAGUACAAACUUUUUCUCCUUGCUUUGCUCCCCUCACAAUCAGUAUCAUCUUGGUCACCUGAUCGAUUCCUGCAAGUGAAGUUUUGGUUAUCUUUCGUACAGUCAAUAAACAUAAAUCAGAUUAUGCAUACCAAAAAUCAGUACACAAAAAGGAGGAGCCCUAUGUGAAAAAGGAUGCAAAAAAUCAACUGGAGACCUCUUUCUUCUGUUCUUUUUCCAUUUGCCCUCUCUCUCUCUCUCUUUCAAUCUUUUGUGUUGAAGCUUUUCGGAAAAUCUGUUAAGAGAGCCGUUUAAUCGAAACUUCAAAAGGAAGACAAUGGAUCAAGAUGCAAACAAAACAAAGUGAUAUCAGGUGGCAGGUCACCAGCGAAGAAAUUAACAGCAGACAUAACAAAAAUUAAUUAGCAAAUUAAAUGUCAGCAUAACAUAACACCUAAACUUAUGCGGUAAGAUAUGACAAAAAAUACAGAAAGAGCCUACAACGGUAUCAAUAAACACUGACUAACCUCUGACAAGUUACCAAUUUGACAAGGGCUUGUUUGUUUUCUCCAGCUUCAAACUAAGAAAGGUUCACCUUCAAAGUAAUAUCCAAAACAAUUAAGAUGCAAAAACUUUUUAAGUGAUGUAAAUAUAGAUAAACAGAAAAUGAAAAUACAUAUUCCACAAAAAAUAAAAUAAAAUAAGAUGAAAAAACUUUAUAAGUGAUGUAAGCUUGUUCUUGAAUGAAGGAGCUUAAACUUGAAUUUGCUUAAUUACCCUCCCAAACAUAUAUAUAUGUAAGCUUAAUUCACUAGACCAGUGUUAUUAAGAUUGAAAAAAACUAGGAUAAGGUUUAAUUAAUGCAUAAGGCAAUACUAACCACAAAUCAGUAAUCCAUAAACUCAUAAAGGUUAGCACAAAAAAUAUAUAGCUGAAUUGAAGAUUAAGUGAAAAAUAUAUAAUUAAAGAAAAUACUGAAAACUUGGAACGUUUGUAGGACUUCGAACAUUUACCAAGAAUUUGAAAAGACGUGGAAGACUUUUUUUUUUCCAAGUGUUGAAAACAAGGAGCUUGCUGCACCAAUUAAUAACCAUGCAUGUAGAAAACCAUAAUUAAGAUAAUAAUUAUGCAGAAGAAGAAGAUAUGGAGGAAAGCGUGCUUUCUCUCUCUCUCUCUCUCUCUCUCUCUCUCUCUCUCUCUCUCCCUGUCCCUGUCCCUCUAUAUCAGUUUCUCUCUUUUAAGUUUGGAGCUUGAGAGUUUUGGAUAACAAGGAGAGGAAGAAGAACUAUGGAAGAUAAUGGGGAAAUGGAGGAGGAAAAAAGGUGGAGAAGGAAAUAUAAAAGAUAAUAGAGCGAGAUGGGUGUGCUAAGGAAGGAAGGGCGGAGAUUAAACAGUCGGAAGAAUGUAUUUGGCAUCUUAUGCCAGUUUUCCGGCUUAUACCGAGGCUUAAAUGCAAAAGAAAAAUAAAACCUUUUCUGUUGUAAAGAUGGCUGGCCAAGUUGUCCACUAAAGCAUGUCCUCACAUUAAAGCAUGAUUCCUUUGAGUGGAAUGUUAGGUGUGGAAAUUAGGCUCCACUAAGAACAAUUUCCUUCCACUAAAUGUUGCCGAUGCUUUGCUUUCAUUGCUCCUAGUUUUCAUAUAAAUAUAUAGACAUACAGCUGAGAAGAAAAAAAAGGAAGAAGAGAGGAAGAAGUGAGAAGCCACAAGGCUCACGGCAGAGAGAGAGAGGGAAGAGAGAGGAGAGUUAUCCUUGUAAUCUUAUUACUUCAGAUUAUAAAUAAAAGCAUCACUGCUGUCUCGAUGAUGUACUCCAGUCACACUAACUGUAGAGGAACCUCGUAAAUUUUGUGUUUUGUUUAUUCCACUGCACAUACCGUCGAUUUUACAACAUUUUCCCCAUUUAAGAAAGAAGUUUGGAACACGGGAGUGAGGGAUGGGGCCUACGUUAACGCGACACGGUUUUGAAUUUUUUUAGUUAGUUAGUUAGUGAUAAUUUCUUUCGAGAAAUUUUCAAACACUUUCAAUUGAGUAUAUUCUAUAAAAUUCUAAGAAAAACUAGUGAAUUUAACUCUACAAAAUCAUGGAGGGCUAGGAAUACAGUCAUUCACUACUAGAAGUUGCCUACGAUUUGGAAUCAGUUUUUUCAAGGCUAUUAGGAGAUCAUAAAAGAGUGCAAAACUUAGCCUGAAAGUAAUCGAGAAAAAUAAAUGGUGAAUUGCCCUUAUAGUUAGGUUAAGGGCACCAUCUCUCUGUCUAUCAAUCUAGGCACUAAACUAAGCAAGAGACAGAUAGAGGUAGAAGUUGGGAAGCAAGGGAGGAGGGAGGUAAAAUUGGGAAGUGAGGGAGGAGAGAGUAGUUGCCUAGAUCAGGAUUUUUUAUUUAUUUUUUUGUGGAGACAGAUUUGGCAAAAUUAGUUCUUUGUCAACAGUCGUGUGCAAGACACCAACCCUCUUUUAAAAGAAAAAAAAGGACCAUUGCAUCUAAAAACCCCUCAUCCGUCCCUUUCUGUAAAAUUUUAUUAAUAAUAUGAAGAAAAAAAGAGAUAUGAAAUUACCUAGCUCAAGCACCUUACCUUCCCGAAUAAAAAUUCAAUGUGUUCUCAUAUAUCAAGAAAGACAAAAUAAGGGAACAUCAACAUCAAUUCAUAACUUUUAUUAAUCACAACUCACAAGUCAUCAUUUACGCAUUUUACGCACAAAUUUCUUUGAACUUCUUUUUUCCACUAGUUUAAGUUUUGAUCAGCAGACCAUCUAAUUAAAUUUAGUCUUGACAAAGACAACUAAUCCACACCCUGUGGGUUGUAGUAGCACCUUGGUUACGUGCUUAUUCAUUCAUUUUAGUUUAAGAUGUCACAGUAGCAUACCAAAUAUACACAGCUCUUCAAUUAAAGAUAAAAGCAAACAAACAUUUUAAAAUGAACUAGCGAACCUUGAGAUAGAAAAUGCCCACCUCCCAAAUUGGCUUCGGUGACUAGAGUCUAGAGUUUAGUCUCAUUACGAGAAAAACAAGUGAUGGAUUGUUCUUAUGGUUAGUAUAUAGAUUAGUGUAAAAUAUCUUUUGUACGCAGUGUUUUAAAAAACUUGUCCCAAGGCGCGCCUAGGCGGCUUUGGAGCCGAGGCUGAAGAAAAUUCACCUUUGUUUUGUGAGUAGGCAAAAAAUCACUUAUGGGAGUAGGCCUUAUGCGCUUUAAGUACAAACAAGCAAUUGAGCUCGCGCCACACUAUGAGUUUUAAAACUUUGUUAAAUGUGUGGGAUAUGUUAAAAUUUAUUUAUUGUUGGAAAUGUGCCCUAAAACCAAUCAUAUGAUGAUACUUUACGGACAUUUCACAUAUUAAACUAAUAUAGUUUAAUAUAAAGGGCAAAGAUUAUUGUUUGAAGCCGUCUCAUAUAAAUGUUAUACGCUUAAACGAUAAGUCCAAGGAAUAUGUAAUUGGGAGAAUGCAAUCUAAAGAAGUUAGAUUCAUGAGAUUAUUUUCUUUCGUAUACAUAUCCUAAAUGUUCCUGAUCAUAGGAUUGCCAAUUGGGCAUUGACAGUCCGUUAAGAUCAGUACGUGCUAUGUCUUCUCUUAGGAAGAGUGACUGGUCUCGAGUCAUUGGUGUGACUGAUACCAAGACAAGUACGUAGGUGCUCAAUAGAGAAUGAGUUCACUGAACGCGAUCAACAAGAAGUUCUCAUACUCAUGUCACAUGAGAACUUAUGGUUGGGAUAAUGCAAAGUAGUCAUUUGACCUGAGGCAUCAUAGUUGUCUUGUGGUUAGGUCCUUGAUCUUUGAUUAUGUCAAAGUCACUCCAUCCGAGGGUGUCCACGACAUAGUUGGGGUUAAGCCACUUAGCCAUAGAGGCAAGUGAAUGCGCAACAAGGGAUCUCUAACCUUCAAACCGUUUGAGGGAGAAUACUCUAUGAUAUGAUUAAGAAUCUCUGGCCAGAGUAUGAAUGAGAUUUAGGAAGUCGUUCCAAAUCACAUUCAAGGUAAUCAUAUAAGUAAAUGAAUCACAUUGGAUAGUAGACAUGAAUAAACUAUCAAACCAAACAAUGUGGUCAAGAGUAUUAUAUUAGAGAAAUACCGUAUUGCAUUGUAAUCCUAAACUGAAUAGGUUCUCCACCUCCUCUGAUUAGCUUGGGUAACCAUGACAUACUGCUAGGUGUCACUCAUGGUUUGUGGAAGACCUAAAAGUGUAUAAUCACUAAAGGGAUAAUUGAAAGUAAGUUUCAAUUCGCAAUCGAUUUGAAAGAGUUUUAAUCGCUCACUGCCUCGCUAAAAGGAACCUAAUGAAUCGCACACUGUGUAAGGUAAUGCUUGAAGGAUUUGACGGAGAUGAGUAAGGACAAUUAAAUGGUUUAAUUGUUUAUGGCAAGAAUUAAUUAAUAUGUUAAUUAAUCAAACGAAUAAGUUCGUUUUAAACCUUGAGUUAGUUUUGGGCCUUAAAGCCCAAAUUGGGCUUCAAAUCGUCAAGCCCAUUAGCUUAAGUUGUAUGACAACUUAACAAAUAAAAUUUAAGAAGCCCAAAACAGCCCAAAGGCUUGGAAAAAUGGGCCAUAGAGAGAGGAAGGGCCUUUUGGUCCAAAAUGCAUACAAAAGUUGAAAGCAUAGAAAAGGUAUCUUUGCUCCAUCCUCAUUAGGGUUUUCUAAGGAUGAAAAGUGAGAAAAACUCUCUCUCUUUUCUCUCUAGAAUAGCCGGCCACCAUGGGAGAGUUUACUAGCAUCUAACUCUUCCAUGGCUACUCAUCUUCUUCCUCAACCAUCCUUGGUGUCGGAACUUAGAGGUCUCCAACUUUGGGGACUUUUGGAGAAACCAAUUCUUCCAUCCAUAUCCAAGAAGGCAUGGAGCCAAGAAGCAAAGUUCCUCCAUCCACAUCCAUGGAGCCAAGGAGUAAGGUGACAAAGGAAAGAAGGCCCUCACAUGGGUGAUUAACCUUUGCUAAGCAAAGAGGUGCUUCAAAGGUAUAAAGUUUUUCAACUCACUUUGUUUUGAGUUGAGUCUUGGUUCACCCUUCUACUAGGCUUUGAAUUUCAUGGGUAAUGUUUUGUUUUUGAGUGCAUACAAGCAUGAUUCCGCCUUUAAAUGAUAAUUGCAUGCCAUAGAUGUUGCUCAAAUGAACAUGUUUUUCACAAAUUUUCCUUCAUUUACCCUCUAUUUCAACAUCUAUUUAUAUUCUUAUGAUCAAUAAUGAACAAAUGAUACGUGUUUUGGAACCAUUCAUAUAGUUAUAAUACACAUAAAAGCAUCUUGUUUUCUAUGUCCUAACUUUUCACAUUAUUGUUUAGUACUUCACUCUUCUUUCUUCUUUACUGCCAAAAAGAUGAUUUUCUUAUACCUACAUAAGAUUUUUAGAAAUGGAUCAAAAAUAACAUGCAAUAUAGUACUUCUGCUUUUCGCUUUAUUAUUGAUUUUUAGAAAUGAAUCAAAACUAACAUGCAUAGGAUUUUUUUUAUUCUCGUCAAAGACAAAUUUGAACCAUAUUAUUAUUAGCUCAUUGUGAGACUUAGUCCACCCCUUAUCUUAGUGUAGAUAAUAUUGUUUGUUAAAAAAAAUGAAGAGUGGGAUGAGAUUUACUGAAUGUGGGAAGGUGUUAAGAAAGAGAGACAAUAAAUACGGUAAUGUUAAGAGAGAGAGAGAGAGAGGGCUUCUCAUUCAUGACAUGGAGAAAUUUUUAAUUGUUACCUGAACACGGGUAGUACAUUACGUAUUAUUAUAAAAUAGACGGAAAAUUUUAUUUUUUAAGUUGUUAAAUUUUAGCAUAAAUAUCUCACUAUUUAUAUAAUGACACAUAGUAUAUCAUUCCGUGUUCCAAUUACCUUGAAAAAAUAAGUGACCAAAUAUUACUCCCAAGCGCUUCUCAUUCACGACUUGAGAGGGUUGGUUGGGCAGUAGGAAAAUAAAAGGGAGUAGAAUUUUCUUCCCUCCUAUUAUCAUCCCCUUCCAAGAAUUUUCUUCCCUCCUAUUACCAUCCCCUUCCACCCCUUUCUCUCACAUUUUUCUUUUUAUCUUAUUCUCUAUAUAAAACUUUAAAACAAGAUGUAAACGUGACGUAAUCGUAACCGUUUAAAUAUGAGGAGAUAAAAAGAGAGAGAAUAAAAUGGGAGAGAAUACUUCUUUUGUGAUUUUUUUCGCAAGUAAGGUAUUUUUUUUUUUUUUUUUGAAAACAGUAAGGUACUUUUCUUGACAUGAGGGAACAUUAGCAUCGUCAUCAUCAACAACAGCAGCAGAAUCAACUACAGCAGAAUCAGUUGCAGAAGACGAAGAAGAAAAUGAUAUGCAGCCCAUGUACAACAGAGUCCCGAUGACAUUAACCAUGAAACAAAUCAACUCCAUCCCUCUAUCUCUUAGAUUAGAUAGCAGAAAGAGAAUCUUAAGUCUUAACUACAGUUGCACCUGAAACUAGAUCAAAGUUCACCAUAAAAAAAAAAAAUUGAAAUUGUAGUCCUUAUUGGGUUUGUGCACAAAGUUACAAACGCUCCCAGGAGGACAAAAAUUAAAAAUUUGGAGAGACAAGGCUUAUUCACUUUCACAUACAUAAAAAAUACUACUACUUUAAAAUUUUCUUUUAAAUAUAUGCUUUAAUUAAAAUAAAUAUUUGUCCAAAGCAUUUUCUAUAAGGCAUAUUUCAAUAAAAUAAACACACAAACGACGACUGAGAAAAAUCAUCAGAGAAUAGACCCAAAAAAAAAACAUAAAAAAUGUAAAGGAUGAAAGGAGGAGGAUCUUUCCCCUCCUAUUCCCAUCCCCUUUCCUUCUUUCUUCUCACAUAUUGUUUUUUGUCAUAUUAUUUUUUGGGGUAAAUUACAUAGUAACCCCUCAGAUUUGAGAUCUAUUACAAUCCUAUACAAUAUUUUUAAAACAUUUCACUUUCAUACCUCAUGUACUAUUUUAUUUCAAAAUAAUACACCCGUUACAUUUUCCAUCCAUUGAUCCGUUAAGUACUGACGUGGUUGCCAAAUGUAUGCCACGUGACAAAAAAAAUAAUUUUUUAAUUUUUUUAAAAAAAAAACCUUAAUCUUCUAAAUUAAAAAAACCAAAAAAAAUAAAAAUAAAAACAAAAGUUGAACCCCGCAACCCCCCACCCAACCUGCAACCCAGAAGAAGAAGAGGAGAGAGAAAAAAAACAUCCUCCACCUCUUCCUCCGCACCCACUACCUGCAAACCAGAAAAAAAAAAGAAAAAAAAAACCCAUCUCCCUUUCCCUGCAACUCAGAUCCUGUCUUCCCCAAUGAGUGUGGAUUUAAGACGGAGGGUGGGUGUGCUGGGUUUUUUUUUUCCUCCUUCUUUCUGGGUUGUAGGUGGGGAGCGGAAGAUAGGAAGAUGGGUGCAGAGGAAGAGGUGGAGGAUGGGUGUGCACCAUGGAUGGAAGAUGAUUUGGAGGGGGGCGUUGUUGAGAUCUGAACUUCGCCACUGGGGGGGGAGGUGGGAGAGGGGGGGUUUUAUGGGAUAUGGGUUCGCCCGAGGGGGUGUGGAUGGGCUUCAUGCAGGGGAGUGCGGGGGGGGGGGGGGGAAGGGAUCUGGGUUGGGCUCCUCUUCAUUGCCACGCUCUCUGUUAUCCUCACCACAAAUCCUUCAACUUUGCACCACAACUCUGUAUGUAUUGCCCCCUCUUCCCUAAAUCCAUUUUCUCCCAAUUAUUUAUUUAAUUAAUCGAUGUUUAGAUUGAAAUUUCGAGGCUUUAGCAAAACCCAGAUGUUAAUUUCACUGAUUAAUCACAACCCACAUUUUAAUUUUCACAUCUGAACAAAUCCCAGAUUGGAAACAAAAAGAAAACCCAUGUGAAAAUCUUGGAGUAAAACAAAACCCAGAUGUUAAUUUUUCAAUUAGAUAGGAUUGAGGUUUUAAUCUUGAUGUUUAAUUGAUUGCGGGCACUUCCAACAACUGGGAUAUGGGUUUCGCCGACGGGAUCGGGGUUCCAAGUUUUAUGGUUGUUCUCCUUCUUCUUCUUCUUCCAGGUUCUUCUUCUCCUUCUUCUUCUUCUUUCAAGGUUCAGGUACGGGGUGAUAGGAUUUGGAUCUUCUAACCUUUAUUUAUUUAUUAUUUAUUUAGAAGAUUAAGGUUUUUUUUUUAAAUUAAAAAAAAAUUGUUUUUUUGCCACGUGGCACAAAUAUAGCAGCCACGUUAGCACUUAAUGGAUCAAUGGAUGGAAAAUGUAACGGAUGUAUUAUUUUGAAAUAACAUAGUACAUAAGGUAUAAAAGUGAAAUGUUUUAAAAAUGUUGUAUGGGGUUGUAAUAGACCUCAAACAUGAGGGGCUACUAUGUAAUUUACCCUAUUUUUUUGUCUUAUUGUCUUUAUAAAAAAAUCAAUAUAAGAUGUUGAUGUGGCUAAACCGUAACCGUUCAAAUAGAAGGGGAGGGAAGAUGAGAGAGAUUAGGAUGGGAGAGAAUCCUCCUCCAUUGCUCAACACUUUCGUUGUAGAAGCCAUGCACGUUCAGACGGAAUAAAAGGUUAUAAUAUAAGAAACUUUAACGAAAAAUUUUCGGUACUGUUCACUUUAACGAAAAAUCAUAUUUUUACAUUAAAAAAUUAAUUCUAAUACUAUUUACUUUACCUUUUAUAAUAUAUAAAAUGGAGGAUCUCUGUCAGGACAGUAAAUGAUGCACAUGGAAUGGGGGCUCCUUUACUCGUUUUACGUACAAAAUUGCGAAUAUUUUAAGUUAGUUGAUGACAAUUUCUUUCAAUAAAGCCGCCCGCCUUUCAAGUGCUUUGCCUUUACAUACAAAAUUGCAAAUUUUUUCAGUCAGUUAAUGAACAAUGUCCUUUGAGAAAUUUCCGAACACUUUUUCUAAUUCCAAGAAAAAAUAAAAAACAAAGAAUUUUAGACUACAAAAUCAUGGAGAGAUGUCGAUUGUGAAUCCUCAUAUUUAGGAUUAUGGCUUGCCUUCUAUUGCGCUCAAUGCCAUUAAUUUGGAUUGUAUUGAUGAUGAUUGUACUAGAGGGUUUUAUUUUUAACAAAUAUCUUUUCUUUUGUUUUUAAUUCAUGGAGAGCUAAAAAUAUAGUUUUUCACUAUUAGAGUUGCCUAAGAUUUGAAAUUAUCUUUUCGUCCACAUGUGAUAAAUCAACUUAUUGAGUUAUUAAUAGAUAACUAUUAAGGGUCCAAGAUUAAUUUAGUUUAAUUUUACCAUUACACAAUCAUUACCACUAGCAUGCAAUUUAAUCUCAUCAAGGACUAACCUACAUAAACAAUUCAACAUAGCAUCUAGGUGGUGCACUUAUUAGUGCAUCAAUAGUUUAGAAUGUCAUGGUGACAUAAGCAAGAUAAAACCAAUCUGAAGCCUAUAAAUUUUUAAAUCAACAAGUGCACAACUUACAAAUAGAAGAAUUCGGCUAAAACAUUAUGAAUUGUCAAUUUAUUUAUUAUAGUUGAUUAACUAAAUGAUCUUAGUCUUAAUUGAUUUUUUUUUAAUAAACGAUAUUUUCAGAGUUAUUUAUAGUUGAAUGGCUUCAACUAUAAAUAAGAAGUUUUGUAAAUCAAACAUGAAGCAUCCUCCUCAACCUUGAGGAGCCAAGCAUUAUUCUACUUUGACAUGGCCAAAUAAAAGAAAAGAAAUUUACACACAAAAAAGUCACUACAACAGUUCUAGUAAGUCAAUCACACACUAUUAAUUAGGUCAUAAACCUCAUGGUAAUUAUGUCCAUGGAAAAAAAAAUCGAUAAUAUCGACGAAAUAUCGUUUUUUUGGAGAUCCAAUAUUUUUUUAACUAUUCAAAUGAUUUUCGUCAAAAUAUUUAGAUAUUAUCAAUAUAUACUAAAAAAUACUUAAAUAUGUUGAGAAAACUCAACACAUACUUCACUUGAUCAUAGCCCAAAGGGCAAACAAGAUAUGGCUAAAUGAGCAGGGGAAUGUGGGUUUUAUAGGACAAAUUGCGAGGGCAGUGAGCAAGCAUAGGCGAUGUGGGACUCUCCCAAUAGGAGAAAUCAGAAUUUCGGCCGAAAAUUUACACCCACUUUAAACGGCCAUAACUUUGUCAAAACUCAACGAAAUCAAGCAAGACAAAAAUGAAAGUUGUAGCCCUCGAAGAGACGAAGAGAAUGGUACCUCACACGAUGUCUGAAUCGUCGUGGUUUGGCCGGAACAUGCCUCGAAAGUCACUGAGAUCGCCAAAAACUGGGUAAGAUUCAAAUGGGUAUAACUUUUUUAAUACUCAACGAAAUUGAGUGAAUCAAAAAGAAAAGUUGUACUACUCGACGAGAAGAAGAGAUUGAUACCUUGCACGCCGGCCAACUCGCCGUGGUUUGGCCGGAAAUUGCCUCGAAAGCCACUGAGGUCACCGGAAAUUGGGUAAGAUUCAAAUGAGUAUAACUUUUUCAAUACGCAACGAAAUUGAGUGAAACAAAAAGGAAAGUUGUAGCCCUCGAAGAGACGAAGAGAAUGGUACCUCACACAACGUCGGAAUAAUUGUGGUUUGGCCGGAAAUUGCCUCGAAAGCCACUGAGGUCGCCGGAAACUGGGUAAGAUUCAAAUGAGUAUAAUUUUUUCAAUACUCAACGAAAUUGAGUGAAACAAAAAGGAAAGUUGUACUACUCGACGAGACGAAGAGAUUGAUACCUUGCACGCCGGCCAAAAUUCAAUUGACACACUCCUGGCUUCCAAAAUUCAAUUCUUUUACUUUAUAUAAACAUGAAAAAACAUAAUCGGCAUCCAAAUUAAAGUUUAGUCUUAUUCUUAUGUGUACGAAAUUUAAAGUGUCAAAUUCGGCAUAUUAUUCUUCAUCAUUUUAUUUACUUCCCUUUUUUUUUUUAAUAUCCUAAAUAAAACCUCCAAAUAUUGUACUAAUUAAUUAUAUAUAAAUGAUUAUGGUGUGUUUAAACUUCUUUCAUUAAUUACUACAUAUUUUCUACACUCACAAUGUUUGCCAGCUCGCUAUAUAAUCAACUUAAAUCAGUUAAAUCCAUCAUGCAAUGCAUUUCCUUCCAAUUUUUUGUGAUAAACUAAUAGAUAAUUGACUAAAUAAACAUCCUACAAAGUUUCAUUAAAAAUUUCCAAGUUUUUCUUACAAUUUCCGUGGUUUCCAUGAAAUUUUUAUCGAUAUCGAUAUUAUCCCAAUAUUUCCAUCGAUAUUUCCGUGUUUUCGGACUACCGAUAUUUCCGAUAUUACCGAUAUUUUCUUCCUUGAUUAUGUCAUAGACUUGUGCACAACUAACAGCUUCAUAAGCCAUUGACUAUAAUUAAAACCCUUUUUUUUUCUUUUCUUUUUCUUUUUUUUUUCCUAAAAAAUAAAGGUUUAGAUUUUGGAGAGAUUUUUUUCGGUUAAAACCUGGAAGAGUUUACUUGAAAGUGAGAGGUCUUAAGUUUAAUUAUUACCAAAGGCGAAUUUGAACCACAUUAUUGCUAACGCAUUGUGAGGCUUAGCACACUCCCUCAUCUUAGUGUAAAUAAUCCCAAUUAUUAAAAAAAAUGGGGAUAGUGGCUAAUCACUCGAUCAUAGGCUUGAUUCCCGGUGACAGGAGGCGCAGCUACACCUCCUUGCGUCUCUGCAGCCUCAUCGGUGCUUCUUGGCAAGCCAAAAACAUAAUAAUUUUCAAAAUACAACGUGUCAAGCAAGCCACUCAAUGGUUCAAAUAUUAUCUAUGCCAAGUCAAAGACAAAAUAAAAAAUCACAAAGUAUCAAACAAGCUCCUCAAUGGUUCAAACAAUGCCCAUAAAACAUGCCAAGCUAAGAAUGAGGCAUGAUAAAUUACAACAUACCAUGCAAACCAUUGAAGCCGAAAAAUCAACCCAACCAAAUAGUUGUGCCAUCCUAUCCUAUCCUAUCCAAGCCAAUCACCAAGUACAAGAACACUCCUAACGUACCACAACAACUAUCACUGUUAUUAACUAUCAUUUUCCAAUUCAGAUGACGAUUAAAAUAAGAGCUACAAAUACAAGUUCGUGAUGCGGUAAAUGUUAAGUCAAUGCACAUGCGGUAAAUGUUAAGUCAAUGCACAUGCUUAAAUGUUAAUUUUCCAACUACCAAAAUCAUGAACGAAAGUAGAAAAUGGGGCAUAUGGGAUGGGACCUCCCUUUAAUUUCGCGCUUUUCGUACAUGUGAAUUUUCUCAGUUAGUUAGUCACCAAUUUCUUUCAAUAAAUUUCGAAGUGCUUUCAAUUGAAUACCUUUCUAUAAUUUUUGGAAAAAAAAGUAGUAAAUUUCACAUUACAAAAUCAGGAAGGAAUAAGAAUAUAGUCGUUCAUGACUAAAGAUUGCCUAAAAUUUGGAAUCUGUCUUUUCGAAACUAUUGAGAGGUCAUAAGUGAGAGCAUAACUUACCUAAAAGUGAGCGCAUAACUAGUGGUGGAUUGCCCUUAUGAUUAGUGCAUUUCUCUUCAACUCACUGUAUCUCGGGUUCAAACCCUCAUGCCUCCAUUAAUGUAGAUAGUGUAGAAUAUCGCUUGUAAUUAAACAAAAUAAGCCCUUUCUCAUUCAAUUGACUUGUUUUACAUACAAAGUUUGGAACAUUUCCAGUUAGUGACCAGUUUUUUUUUAAGAAAUUUCCAAGCACUUUCGGUUGAGUACCUUUUUAUAAUUCCUAAAAAAAUAAAAAUAAGUCAAUUUCACACUACAAAACCAUGGAGGGCUAAGAAUAUAGUCCUUCACUAUUGGAGAUUGCCUAAGAUUUGGAAUCUGUCUUUCCGAUGCUAUUGGGAGGUCAUAAGAUAGCCUAGAACUUGGCCUGAAAGUAAACGAGAAAAACUUAUAUGGAGGUGGCUAAUCAUGUAAUCCGUACAAGAGUAACUUUCCAUGCUAAUGUGUCGUUUCUGUGACACCAGUAUUUUGAAAAUGUAUAUUUACUAUAAUUAUUAAAAAAGAUUUUUUGCGUUUCAGACCCUAAAGUAGAAAAAGGGGCACAUGGAUGGGGCCUCCUUUUAUGCAUUUGAAUUUUCGUAGUUAGUUAGUGGCCAAUUUCUUUCAAGAAAUUUUCAAUCAAUUUUGAUUGAGUACAUUUCUAUAAUUUCUCAAAAAAAAAAAAAAAAAUUCACACAACAAAAUCAUUAAGGGCUAAGAAUAUAGUUGUUCACCAAUGCAAAUAGCUUAAGAUUUUGGAAUUGUCUUUAUGAGCAUAGGCGGCAAAUCAACUUAUUGAAUUAUUAAUGGGUAAUCAUUAAGAGUCUUAGGGCGCGUUUGUUGCGCCGGACUAUCUCAGACUGGACUAGCUUCAAAGACUAAGCUGGACUGGCUUAGACUAGACUAAGCUGAACUAAUUUAGUGAAGCGGUUGGUGCAAUGUUGGACUAAGGGCUGGUUUGGUAUUGCUGUGCUUUGAAAAAAAGCUGCUGUGAGAAUAAGCGGCUGUGCUGUGAGAAUAAGCGGCUGUGAAAUAAAGCAGCAGAGCGUUGGGUAAACUUUUUUGUAAAAGUGCUUUUGGAAAAGAAAAAAAGCAGUCUGAUAGUGGGUCUUUUCAUUAAAGGAGCACUGUAGCUCCAUGUGCUUUGAAAAAAAACCAGUUUUCCAAAGCUGCAAAUAGCAGCUUCAGCUUUUUCCUUUGAUUUCAGCUUAUUCUCACAGCAGCUUCCAAAAUAAGCCUUUCUUUUUCAGUUUACCAAACACCUAAAACCCUCACAGCUUUUUUUCAUAGGUGCUUUUUUUUUAAGCACCUCACUCCCAAACUAGGUCUAAGAAGCUGGAUAAUAACAAAUUCUAAUAUUAUAUUAUUUAAUAUAUAAAUUAUUAAUAUUUUAUUAUGAUCUAGGUGACCAGAGAUGACGAGGAGUCUAUUGGGAGUGGUUGUUGAGCAUGACGAGGAUGUGAGAGGAUAGUCUUAGCUAGUCCCAUGGUUAUUGGGGGGUCUCGCUAAGACCUCUUAGUGAAGGGUUUUGUCCAUGCUAGUCCCCUUUAGUCUCAUUAAUGUUAGUCCUAGCAUGGAACAAACACAGUAUUGGACUAACAGCUAGUCCAGUCCAGUCCAGUCCCACUUAGCGAGGGCAAACAAACGCGCCCUUAGAUGUAUAUAGUUUGAUUUUAUGGUAAGGUAAUACACAAUCAUUACCAGUACCAAUCUCACCACCAUAUCAUGGUGAAAUCAAACCAAAUAGGUCUUAAUAGUUAUUCACUAAUAAUCCAACAAGUUGGUUUGCCGCAUCUAUUACCAAAGCGAUUCUAAAGGUCAUAAGAGAGUCCAGAACUCUGUCUAAAAUUAUGUGCUUGGCCUAAGUAAAAGAGUCAUGAUCCACCAUCUCUCUAUCUAUUUAGGCACUAAACUAAGCAAAAGACAGAGGUAGAAAUUUGGAAGCAAGCAAGGGAGGAGAGAGUAGUUGGCCGCAGAGACGAUCAGUUUUAAGUCCAGCAAUUGUACUAGUUGACUUGCACAAAAUUACACAAGUGCUAAAAUGCUCUUGAAUAAAAAAAAAAGGAGAAAUGAAAUUACCCAACUCACAAAUCACCCCUCAAAUUUCUUUUUUCCAUCCACUGAUUGCAGCUUUGAUCAACAGACCAUCAGACCAUCUCUCUCUAUAGGCACUAAACUAAGCAAAGAGAGAGGUAUAAAUUGGGAAGCAAGGGAGGGGAGAGUAGUUGCCUGAGACUAUCAGAUUUUAGUUCUGCAAUUGUAUUAUUUGUCUUGACUACUUGCACAAAGUUAAUGAAAAUUUUAUGGUGCACCGAGUACCAAGCCUCCAAGAAAAUAUCCAAAGAGAUGAUGAAAAAAAAUAAAGAAAAUGAAUAAGAAAGACAAAUUAAGGGCACAUCAUCAUCAUCAUUUCGUACCAAUUAAUCAAAUAAAUAAACAAGCACCAAAUCCCGCCCGAAGCCAUGGAUUUUAAAACUUUGUUAAAUGUGUAGGACAUGUUAAAAUUUAUUUACAUCCAUAUCAAAAUCUAUUUACAUCUUUAUGUUCAAUAAAAAACAAAUGAUACAUAUCAUAGAGUAUAUUAAGUUGUUUGUAUAAUAAUACAAAUAAUGUUGUAAACAUUCCUAGUUUAAGUAUGAUUGUGUAAAUCCUAGAUAAGAUUUGAUUCUAGUUAUCCUUUCCUAUUACAACUUGUAUUACUUGGAGAAGAAGGAAUAUCUUCUCUCCCUUUACUACUAUAAAUAAAGGCACAAUGUAGGAGGGAUAACAACACACACAUUCCCCUACAAUUCUACAAACACACAUCUCUCUCCUCUCUCUCUCUGCCGCCGGCCCUAGUCCCUCUGUCAGAUAAAAUAGACCACAACACGUUAUCAGCACGCUCCUACCGCUGCUCUUAGGAAUCUGACGUUGGAAAUUUUUUCUGCAUCAAACCAGUUCAUCCAUAUCAUCACGCAAUCAGGUUCUUUCCAAACAACGGUUUUUAACUCGAUAUUUUGCAAGCCCUGAUAGCAUGAACAUUCACCAUGAUGCAUGACCCAACUUUACGUUUAACGUAUUUUAGAUUCUACAUAAAUUGUGUAUGCUUCAUCAUCAAAAUUGCUUCAAUUAUGUGAAUUUGAUAUUUGUCAUGAAUUGAAUCCUACAUAUGUACAUGCAUUGAAACUAUUAUUUGCAUUCGCCUGGAGCGGCCCGCAUAAAAAAAAAAAAAAAAAAAAAAAAGUUUCUAGGCUCGCCUAGAGCGGCCCGCAUAAAAAAAAUAAAAAAAAAUGUUUCUGGGCUCGCCUGGAACGGCCCGCAUAAAAAAAAUAAAAAAUAAAAAAUUUUAGGGCUGCACACAGCAGCCCAUUCCCCUCUUCUCACCCCGUGGGCCUGUAAUCCCACCCGAGGGUUCUUGGCUUAUACUUUUAGGCCCCGAGAUUUUAUUAUUUAAUAUUUUUUUUAAAUAUGGGUUUUUAUAUUUUCACCCACACUUUAAUUUGGCCCCGAAGACCAAAAAUAAAUUACUUCACUUAUCAUUAUACAAUAUUUCUGCAUAUAUUCUUUGCAUAUUUGUUUGCAUAUAUAUUUGUGUUUACCUGCAGGAAUAUAUGAACCUGAAGUUCAUAAUUAUUUUGAAACCCGAAGUUUCUUAUACACAUGCCUUGUUAGAAAACCCGAAGUUUUCACUUAAAUAUAUCACCCAUGAAAACCCGAAGUUUUUCAUGCAAAAUUAAACCAAUACAUGUCUAUUAGAACCUGUAUGUUCUACUCCUAUGUGAAUGAAUUGAUUUUUCUCCAUUACACUAACCACAUCUUGUCCAUCUAUUUUGUGAUAGGAACAUGUCGAUGUCGAACUUGAACAAACUCGACUUCACCGCUUUGGAGGUUUCUGGAAGGAACUACCUUAAGUGGGUUCAAGAUGUGAAGCUCCACCUCACUGCAAAGAACUUGCGUCCUGCUAUUGAAGAAGCAACAGAUAAACCUGUUGGCGAGGCUGAAAAAGCUACUGCUAUGAUCUUCAUCCGAAGACAUAUCCAUGACGCUCUACAAACUGAGUACCUUGCUGAGGAGGAUCCACGUGCAUUAUGGGUCGCUUUGGCUGAUCGUUUCGAUCACCAAAAGGACAUAUUCUUGCCUGAAGCAAGACACGACUGGCAGCACUUGCGCUUCCAAGACUUUAAGUCUGUGAAUGAAUAUAAUUCUGAAGUUUGUCGAAUCCGAUCACUUCUCAAGUUUUGCAAUGAAACUUUGACUGAAGAGGAUCUCCUGGAGAAGACCUACUCGACCUUCUCUGCUUCUAAUAUUGUCCUGCAGCAACAAUAUAGAGCUCAGAAGUUCACUAAGUUCUCGGAUUUGAUCUCUGUUUUACUUCUUGCUGAAAAGCAGAACCAGCUGUUGAUGAAGAAUCAUCAAGCUCGACCUACUGGGGCUACUGCUGUGCCUGAAGCACAUUAUAGCACUAAUCAGCACCCAAAACGCCAAAAGAGGCGUGGUAAGGGCGGCCAGAAGCCAUCCCACCAAGGUCAACAGAGCCAAGGCCCAUCCAAGGGAGGAAACAAAGCCCAGAAGCGCCCAAACCUCGCUCCCAAGGCCCCGAACUUCAAGAAUAAGGGCAAAGCACCUGCCACAAUGAAUGACGAUAUGUGCUAUCGUUGUGGUUCCAAGGACAUUGGUCCCGUAUUUGCCGUGCUCCCAAGAAGGUUGUGGAUGCAUAUCAUUCUCGUCGUACGAAGUUUGAAUCAAACUUCCUGCAAGUGGACGAACCGGAGACUACAAAGAUGGAGGUUUCUGAUUUUCAGGAGGAUACCACUCCUAUGGAAGAUUAGAAUCUUAGACAUAGACUUAUUUUUCAGUUAAAAUAAGACAAUUGGGGCCGAAUUCCACCUUGUGGCCGAACCCCCACCUUGUUUUUUGGUUGAUUUUGAACAAUUUUCCUUUAUGUUUUGGAUUAUUAGUUGGCGAUUUAUUUUGGAUAUUAAGUUUUUAAUCCUUGAAUAAAUGAAAUUAUUUUGAAUUGAUACUUGUUUUUAUAAACUUUUAUACAUGUGACCGAUUCAAAUUAAUUUUUCAUUCUAGGUAUGACUAGUGGGAAAGUUAGUUGUCUGGCAGAUAGUGCAACCACGCAUACUGUUUUGCGUGAACGCAUCUAUUUCACUAACUUCGUACCUAAGAAUGCACCUCUGACAACCCUCUCAGGCCCAUCCAACCUGAUCGAAGGAUACGGUAAGGCACGUAUAAUGUUGUCCAAUGGUACAAUCUUGACCAUUGCUGAGGCACUCUAUUCUCCACGUUCCGGAAGAACGUUACUAAGUUUCAAGGACAUUAGAGAUAACAAUUACCACGCUGAAACCCACGUAGAAAACGGAGUUGAAUUUCUGUGCGUAACUUCCUACGAAUAUGGCCAGAAGCGUAUUCUAGAGAAGAUGGAGCGUAACCCGAGUGGUCUGUAUACUACGACCAUACGCCCCAUAGAAUGCCACUAUGUGGCCGGCCCUACCACAGGGACCGCGCACGAAAUUACACUUUGGCAUGAUCGUUUGGGACAUCCUGGACGAAUAGCGAUGCGCCGUAUCCUCAAAACUUCACACGGGCAUCCACUAACCCGAAGCUUAGGUUCGAUCCAUGAAAUUGCAUGUCAAACAUGUUCUAUGGGAAAGCUUAUUACUAAGCCUUCUUAUGACAAGAUUCGUUCGAAUCCUCCCAUUUUUCUACAACGGAUUCAGGGGGACAUUUGUGGACCGAUUCAACCUCCCUACGGACCAUUUAGAUAUUUUAUGGUUUUGGUUGACGCUUCUACACGUUGGUCACACGUGUGCUUGUUGUCCACAAGGAACGCUGCAUUCUCCAAACUGUUGGCUCAGGUUAUCAAGCUCAGGGCUCACCACCCUGAUUAUCCGAUCAAAUCUAUUCGAUUGGAUAAUGCUGGAGAAUUCACAUCUAAAAAUUUUGAUGACUAUUGCAUGUCGGUUGGGGUUGAAGUUGAACAUCCUGUACCCCAUGUUCACACGCAGAACGGCCUGGCAGAGGCUUUCAUUAAGCGUUUACAAAUGAUUGCUCGAUCGUUGGUCAUACGUACCAAGCUCCCGAUCGCUGCUUGGGGCCAUGCAAUAUUGCACGCAGCAAAGUUGGUCCGCCUGAGGCCUGUUGCGACACAACCAUUUAGUGCCCUUCAGUUGGUCACCGGAUGCGAACCCGACAUAUCGCAUCUGCGUGUUUUUGGUUGUGCGGUCUAUGUGCCGAUCUCGCCGCCCUUACGUACAAAAAUGGGGCCUCAGCGAAGGAUGGGAAUCUAUGUCGGAUAUGAUUCUCCUUCGAUUAUUUGUUACUUAGAACCUUUGACAGGCGAUCUGUUUACCGCUCGUUUCGCGGAUUGUCACUUCUAUGAGACAGUCUUCCCGUUGUUAGGGGGAGAUAAGAGCGUCAACGUUCCUAAUGAACGACGCGAAUUAUCGUGGACGACUCCCACUUUGUCUCAUUUAGAUCCCCGCACCGCUCAGUCUGAAGCUGAAGUGCAGCGCAUAUUAGAUCUCCAGAGCAUAACUCAGAGCAUGCCAGAUGCUUUCACCGAUCUAGCGCGCGUGACAAGAUCACAUAUUCCAGCUGCGAAUACGCCUGCAAAGAUGGAUGUACCAAAUGUACGACGGACUACCCUCCUGGAAGCCCGGGACGCCAAUUCUGGUGAUCCACGUACAUUAGCGGCUAGCCAAUCAUCUGCCCCUACACAAAAGCGUGGCAGACCCCUUGGUUCAAGGGAUUCACACCCCCGGAAGAGGAAAACCACGGCACAAGGUCCUGAAGAGCCUACCGUGAAUCCGACUAUCGCUUACUCAUUUUACCCAACUCAUGAGGAAAUUCUAGAUUAUGGAAGCGUCCUUGAAGAGACGAAUCCUCCUCCCGAGAAUCGUGAGAUUUCGGUCUAUUAUGCUAGCUUAGAUGAUGUGUGGCGUAGAAAUGAGAUGAUUGUCGACGAUGCAUUAGCAUUUGCAGUAGCUACUGAGAUCAUGUUGAGCGAUGACAUUGAACCGCGUUCCGUUGAUGAAUGUCGACGUAGAGCUGAUUGGUCAAACUGGAAACAAGCAAUCCAAGUCGAACUUGAUUCACUUGCAAAACGUAAGGUGUUUGGACCUGUAGUUCCUACUCCUCCACAUGUGAAGCCCGUUGGCUACAAGUGGGUUUUUGUUCGGAAGCGUAAUGAGAAGAACGAAAUUGUGCGUUACAAAGCUCGUCUUGUAGCACAAGGUUUCUCACAACGCCCCGGGAUUGACUAUGACGAAACUUACUCACCCGUUAUGGAUGUGAUUACUUUUCGAUACCUUAUCAGUUUGGUAGUUUCCGAAAAACUGGAUAUGCAGCUGAUGGACGUAGUAACCGCGUAUCUCUAUGGGGAUCUUGAUACGGAAAUUUAUAUGAAAGUUCCCGAAGGACUUACAUUGACUGGUUCAAAUAUUUCCAAACCCCGGAACACGCUCUUAAUUCGGCUGAGGCGUUCACUAUACGGUUUGAAACAAUCCGGAAGAAUAUGGUAUAACCGUUUAAGUGAGUAUUUGACUAGUCAGGGAUAUGUGAAUAACAAACUAUGCCCUUGUGUGUUCAUUAAGAAGUCACAUUCCGGAUUUGCGAUUGUUGCAGUAUAUGUCGAUGACAUGAAUCUCAUCGGAACUCCUGAAGAGCUCGCGAGAACUGCUUCGCACCUGAAGUCGGAAUUUGAGAUGAAAGAUCUAGGUAAGACUCGAUACUGUCUCGGUCUCGAGAUAGAGCAUUGUUCGGAUGGAAUCCUAGUACAUCAAUCGAACUACACCUUUUAAUGAGGAUAAAGCGAAGCCUUCGAGUACUCCUAUGGUCGUUCGUACGCUAGAUGCAAAGCGAGAUCCCUUCCGUCCGAAGGAGGAUGAUGAAGAGAUUUUGGAGCCUGAAGUUCCUUAUCUAAGAUGCACUAGACCCGACAUCUCCUUCGCUGUUAAUCUUUUGGCAAGAUACAGCAAUGCACCAACACGCAGACAUUGGACUGGCGUGAAAGACAUCUUCCGUUACCUUAAGGGUACUACGGAUUUGGGCUUAUUCUAUCCCUACGAAUCCUCGAGUGAUGCCGCACCCUAUGCUCAUCAGGUUGAUUCUCGCCUUGUUGGUUAUGCCGACGCUGGAUACUUAUCUGAUCCGCACAAGGCGCGUUCUCAAACGGGUUAUGUCUUUACCGUUGGAGGCACCGCAAUAUCUUGGAGGUCAACUAAACAGACCUUAGUUGCCACUUCGUCUAACCAUGCUGAAAUUCUCGCCUUACAUGAAGCAACUCGGGAAUGUUUUUGGUUGAGAGCAGUAGUGGGCCAUAUUCGAAGCUCCUGUGAUCUUCAUCCCGCCGUUAAUGCCCCGACGACGAUUUUUGAAGACAACGCAGCUUGCAUCGAACAGCUCAAGAAGGGUUACAUCAAAGGAGACAACACCAAGCAUAUUGCGCCGAAGUUCUUCUUUACACAUUAACAACAAGAGCAUUAGAAGAUUGAAGUCACGCAAAUCCGAUCACAAGACAAUCUGGCCGACCUCUUCACCAAAUCACUACCGAAGGCGACGUUUCAGAAGCUUGUUCAUGGAAUUGGUAUGCGUAAACUUUCUGAGUUGUAACUUUGCUAUUUCUCUUUGGAAUUAUGUCAAACUCAGGGGGAGUAUCUUCUAGAUACUUGCUUGAUCUUAAUGUACUCUUUUUCCCUACGAUUAGGAGCAUUUUUCCCACUGGGUUUUUGCUACCUAACUAGGUUUUAACGAGGCACCCACCUUGGGCUGGUCAUAUCCCUGAUGACGUCCUGUAGACGUUUCUUUUGACUUUGCAUUUCUCACGCAUUUUUCCUUAGACUAUGGAUUUUGUCCCUACUUGGGUUUUUGCCAUAGCCUUAGGGUUUUUUUUAGUGAGACUUACUACUUAUAUGCAAGUUCCUACCUUAUUGAGAAAUAAGCGUUGUUCCUUGGAAUCAGUGCUGACGAGUCGACUUCCUCAACUUCUGCAUGAUGCUGAAUCUACCUUGAGUAUUUACCCACUCAAGGGGGAGUGUUGUAAACAUUCCUAGUUUAAGUAUGAUUGUGUAAAUCCUAGAUAAGAUUUGAUUCUAGUUAUCCUUUCCUAUUACAACUUGUAUUACUUGGAGAAGAAGGAAUAUCUUCUCUCCCUUUACUACUAUAAAUAAAGGCACAAUGUAGGAGGGAUAACAACACACACAUUCCCCUACAAUUCUACAAACACACAUCUCUCUCCUCUCUCUCUCUGCCGCCGGCCCUAGUCCCUCUGUCAGAUAAAAUAGACCACAACAAAUAAAAAUAUCUUGUUUUCUACGUCUAACUUUUUCACAUUAUUGUUUCGUACUUCACUCUUCUUUCUUCUUUGCUGCCAAAAAGAUAAUUUUCUUGUACCCAUGCAUAGAAUUUUUAGAUAUGGAUCAAAACUAACAUACAAUAUAGAACUUCUGUUUUUCACUUGCUUAUGGAUUGGGUUACAAUCUAAGCUUGAGAAAAACAUUACAUGAGCUGAAAAAACAUAGUUAAGAAAAGAAAGAAGCUAGGUACUUUUCUUUCAUUACUAGUUGUGUAUUUACUCAGAAUACCAAUUGAAUGAAAAGGUAUUAAAUUCAUGAAUUGUAUGACAAGAAACAACAAAUGCAAAGAUUGUUUUCUUAAGAAAUAUAAAUUUAAAUGAUAAUUUUCUUAGCUUAUAUUAACAGUAGGACGUAAGGAACACUAAAAAUUGAAGUCAGACUGGACUUGCUUUUGGGGCGAGUCCGGCUAGCAUUCUCCCUUGGAAAUGGUCCUCCUCACAAAGCCAUCAUCAGAUCUAUUUCAUCAACCUUCAUUUUUGGUUCAGGUCAAUUUUCAUCAUUGAGAACGAGUUGGUAAAUACUUAAUGGGCCGGGCUCAUUAGAGCCAGUGGCAGUUUUGAAAUCACAGCAAUACGGUACCAUUUUUGUCACAAAAAAUAAGAAGGAAAAAUCGAAUAACCAUCGUUUUUACUUUUUACCCCUCAACUAUUGGCAUCUCUCCGUGUCUCCGUCUGUCUUCUGACUAUCCUCCUAAUCGGAGAAGAAGGGCAACCAAAUCCUCGCUGUACGUCGUUGUUUUCUAAGGCAUCGAAAUCUUGGUCCUCCGAAUUCGUGGUUUUCUGAUUCUUCCCGGUGCUCCUCUCCAUUGAUUCCAUGGUCUGAUCUUCGGCGAAUCGCAAUCCGACGGUGGCGAUGGCGUCGGCGCAGAACCAAUCGGCGAAUGUGGAUCUCUUCGAUGCGUAUUUCCGACGAACCGGUUUGUACCGGCCGGAUUAGUGGCAAUGAAGCCGUCGCUUUCUUCCAGGGCUCCGGUCUCCCCAAACAUGUCCUAGCGCAGGUACUCUCUCUCUAUAUAUAUGUAUGUGCUUGUGUUUAUAUGUAUAAUUGGAUGAGUAUAUUUGUGUAAUUAUAGUGGUUGAUCGGGAUUUGAUGCUGGUGGAAAUGUGUUCCAAAUCAAUUGAUUUUGAAUUUGUAGUCUAAUUGUAGUUGAAGUAGUUAAUGCGAGCUCGGGAUGUCGUAAUUCUCUGAUCUAAGCUGAGAUUUUUAUUUCGUGUUGGUAUAAUUAUAAAUGCGGAAUUGAUGUUAAAAUGGUAGAAAAUAAGUAGAUGAAGGAUUUAUACUACAGAUAGUGAGGUUGAGAGAGUUAUGUUAUUAGGUCAUUAAUUUACUUAUGGUGUGUCCGUUCGACAUUAUGUGGUAAGCAGACUUUAGAUAUGUGUUAUAUGACCCAAGGAUUGACCUAGGAUUGUUUAUUACAUUACAAUAAUGUAGUUGUAAUGUAACUGAACUGAUGCAUCUUUGCAAAACUUGUACUAUCCCUAUCCUGGAGUUGAAGUUGUUUAUUCUUCGUCUUCUGGGUGGUGGAUGAUUGACAAUGUUUAGUUGGUGGCAUUUGGCUUGAAUUCCUGAACAUAGCAGGCUAGAUCAAGCAUAUUUUUCUGCAAGAUGCUUUGCCGCUGGAUUGUCAUUCUUUGCAUGAUGUGUUUGUAUUUUGAUGUAAAAACUUACUUGAUGCCAAAAAUAUUUUGUAGAUAUAAAAUUUUAUUUGUAAUUGGGAUUAUUUUUUUGCUGGCCAAUUGACAUACAAUCAUCCAUAAGUACUAUUAAAUUGAGUCAAAUGUGCAGUCUAGAUUGAUGAAUUACUACCCAUCAUGCCACAUGAUCCUUGAUGGAGUGGUUUUGGGAGGGGCGCCCUCUUCCAGAAGCGCUACCAAACAAUGUUAUGUUUGAUUUAUCCCGGAGUUAAAGUUGUUUAUUUUUCCUCUUCUGGGUGGUGGACGACUGACAAUGUUUAGUUGGUGGCAUUUAGCUUGAAUUCCUGAACGUAACAGGCUAGAUCAAGCAUAUUUUUCUGCAAGAUGCUUUGCUGCUGGAAGUUCAUUCUUUGCAUGAUGCGUUUGAUAUAACCAAUAUUUUUCAACCUGGAAGUAAUUACUCCACUGCUGGCAGUGUAUUCUGGAGACCUGCAUCUGGCAUUCAUCCAUAAAACAAAUUCCAUUUUUUUUUUUUCAAAAACCAUAUGUCUUUCUUUGAUGGAGAAUAGUUUCUUAUUUUUCACUUUGAAAGGCUUUCAACAACAGCAACUGAUGCCUGGUCCUGGUGCUCUGCACAUGGCAGCCCCAGCUGGAGGAAGGCCUCCGAAGCCAGUCGCUCUUUCUCAUGCUUAGGUAAAGCAGCAGGCCAAUCAGCAGAAACCUAGAGUACCAGAAUUGGAGAAACAUCUUGUAAAUCAACUGAGUACAGAGGAGGUUAACCCACUGAACUCAAAGUUCAAAGAAGCAACCAAAGCUGAUAGUACUUAGGACUUUAAUGUUUCCCCAAUUUUUUCAGCUUGAGCAGCAAAGUUAUGUGUGCAUGUUACUUCUUGAUAAGUGUCAAAUCAUAACAAAUAUCCCAAAGACUUGGAAUUCUUGUGAUUGUGGGUUUUACUUUGUUCUUAAUAUCGCUCAUUUCUGUGGAGAAGAUUUUGAUCAAGUUUAAGUAGGGAGGCUGUUCGGGUUUUGAAGUUUAUGAUUAGUUCUUUUAUAUUAGUAAUCUUAAUGAGUGGCACUUCACAUGUUUUUAGUGCAUGGCAUUCAUUAUACUUUCUUUUUUAUUAGCAUUCAUCAUACUUUAUUGCAGUUUUGUUCCAAUCUCAGCUUGCCUUUCCUCACCCUUUGAUGCAAUUCUGUUUGUUCUUUGCAGGUCGAAGAACUGGAGAAAGAAAUAUUGGAUGCUAGAGAGAAAAUUGAAUACUUAUGGGUCAAAAUGCGGGAACUUGUGAGUAUCUCGUGUUUAUUUCUACCCUUUCUUUCUUGUAUGCCAUUGGUUGUGCAUAUUGAACAUUCUACAGUAGUUUUAAUUUUUGUGUUCGAAUAUAAUUGUUCUACGAGUGAUAGAUUUUUGGACAUCCUAAUCAUUUGUUGCUUUUAAAUAAUCUGCAGACUUCUUACUAUUUGAUUUUUGCAGUGGUGUAAGUUGGUAUUGAUUCUUGAAUUGACAAGUACUCUUGGGAGGAACUGCAGAUCAUGCGUUUUAUCAUUGUCCUGUAGCUUUAUAUGUGUGGCUGAGAUUGUGUAGGGAAGGAAAUGUAAGUUGGGUAAUUCCUGCAGGGUACAUAAGUUGUUUGGUGGAUAUGAAGCUUUUGUGAGGGUGCAGUAUGCCAACAAUUUUUUGGGGUUUAUUGGUUCGAGACUUGGGAGCAGUCUCUCCAUAAAUGGGGUUAAGGCUAGCCGACAUUCACCUCUCCCAGACCCUGCGUAAAGCGGGAGCCUUGUGCACUGGGUACGACCUAUUGGUUUGAGAGAAACACGAGGAUUUUUUUAAAACGAUAUUUGGGUGAGGACUAGUUAUGGAAUAAAGAUAGAUUUUGUUCACCACGUUGGCUGAUCUAUUUUUCUUAUUGGUAUAAGGUUUUGUACAAGAGUAGAUGUGUCAAUUGCCUUAAUGCGAUGACAGAAAGGGCCUCUGCUGAUAGACGUGAGGUAUGCUGUAGGAUACUUGAGCAUAUUGCCUGCUUAUAGACAUAUGUCAUCUGCUAAUAGAUUUCUGGUUGCACUUAGAUUCCUUUUACCUUUUCACCUUGUGGUAAAUGAAUCAUAUUGCCUGCUGAUUGUAGUUUUUGUUUUCUGGUUAUGGUUUGCCAACUUGUUCAGGAGAUUUAACUAUUCGAGGUGACUGAUUGAGAAGUUUAAUUGUCAGAUUCACUUUUGUGAAGGAGCUCACUCUUGAUGUGUCAAAUGUCUUGGCACCUCCAAAACAGAAAUCAUCAUCAGUUCAGAAAGAAAAAGCUCCCCCACUUGAGAGUCCAACAACUGCUUCUUCACCUAAAGUUGAUGUUAAGUAAAAAAAGCCUCUAAGUACAGAUGCCAAGGUUGUUGAAAAUGGAGUAGCAUAAGAUAAAAAUGAGGACGAGUCAGCAAAAAGUGCUCUGAACAGUCCAUUUGCCAGCAGUACUGUUGGAAGCCCAUCUAGAGAAUUUCAGAUUCUAACUAUGGAAAGACAACAGACACAGAUGCCUCACCCCGUAAUAAGGAAUCUCAAAGGUAUAGAUCUAGAUCUGUAGUUUUCUACAUAUUUAAGGUCACCCUGAUACGUGCAAAAUUGUUGAUAUUCUAAACUUUCAUGUGUAGUGAUGAUCAUGCGGGUGUUGGGACUAUGUUUUCUGGCGACAAUGGUUCCGAUGAACCAGGGGUUUCAAUGCAUUUAGUACCGCCAAGGUAAACUGAUAUUGUACAUUCAGUUUUUUAUUUUUUAUUUUUGCUCCUAUCAACUUUACACAGGACACACAAAAGAAGUACUUUGAUUCUAUUAGACGGGGGAGGGUGAAGAAGCUAGGACAGAAGGGUAGAGUUCAAGAGAGCAAAAUGCGUUUAGGAACGUGGAAUAUAGGAACCUUAACGGGAAAAUCUAUGGAAGUAGUGGAAGUUAUGGUGAGGAGAAGGAUAAAUAUUAUGUGCCUACAAGAAACUAAGUGGGUUGGUCGUAAGGCAAAUGAUCUAGAAAACUCAGGGUUUAAACUUUGGUAUUCCUGCAUUGCUGCUCUCCAGUGAGAAUGCUUUGAGGCUUGCAAGUAAGUACUAGGAACAAAAUCAAGAUCAACCGGAAGUGGGUGUUUGGUUGCUGCAUAAGCUCUAGACAUGUGAAGACCAGCCUUAGAUCUGGUAAUCAUAGGAUGUGUAUUCCGAGAAAUAGGUGGUGGCCUUGACUGUAGUGGUGAAAGAGAGGAGUCAUUGAGAGAGACAGAACUGGAGGAACUGAGAGAAUGAUCCACGGACUGAGUACAGGAAGAAGGCUCUGUGGAAGAUGGGAUCUGAGUAAUAGGUUGAGGUACAGAAGGACACUGUCGUUCUGAAGAGUUAUUGGCUGGAGGAGAAGGAGAGACAUGUUUGCUGAAAUGAAGAUCCAAGGAUGGUGAAAAAUCAGAAGAUGAAGUUUCUGAAGUGAAACUGUUGAGUGGCAGUGAUUUAAAGGGAUAAGUUGUUUCAUCAAAGACAACAUGUCUUGAUAUGUAGAUCCGAGUGGUGAGAGGAUCAAGGCAUCUAUAGCCUUUAUGUUGAAGACUAUAGCCCAAAAAUACACAACUUUUGCUCUUAGCAUCCAAUUUGCUGGGAGUGUAAGGUUUAAGCCAUGGAUAACAGUGACAACCAAAGACUUUCAGUUUAGAGUAAUCUGGAGGUUGAUUGAAGAGAAGUUCCCAAGGUGACUUUGUAAGACCAGAAAUAGGAAGUCUGUUAAUAAGGUAAAUUGCAGUGGAGAAAGCUUCAACCCAAAAAAUUUGAGGAACAUGAGAAGCAACAAGUAAUGUGCGAGCUGUCUCAACAAGAUGUCUGUGCUUUCUCUCUGCACAGCCAUUUUGUUCAGGCGUAUGAGGACAACUGAACUGAUGUAAUAUACCAUGUGCACGAAGAAAUGAAGCAAGAGAAUGACUAGUAAAUUUACCCCCUGAAUCUGAACGCAGAAUCUUGAUUUUAUUUCCACUGAAGUUUUCUACAUAGGUUUUGAAAGUAACAAACGUAGAAAAUACAUCGGAUUUAGACUUCAAUGGAAAAAACCAACUGUAUUUGCUAAAAUCAUCAACAAACAGUAGGUAAUACUUGAAGCCACUAUUAGAUGUAACAGUAGGUCCCCACAGAUCACAAUGCAGAAGCUGGAGACUCUGAGUUGUUGAUGAAUAAGACACUUCAAAAGGAAGCUUGUGAUUUUUAGCAAGCGCACAAUCUGAGCAGAAAAAAUCAACAGUUUUCUGGCCUUGCAGUGGAAGAUUAUUAGUGGAUAUAACUCUUCUAAAAAUUGAGGAGGAAGGAUGGCCGAGGCGCUUGUGCCAUACAGGGACAGGUGCUUGAAUGCUGAGAAAAGCUGAAGGUGAAGUGGGAGAACUGGUGGAACUGUGAAAAGGAUAGAAACCAUCCUUAACAGGGCCUUGCAAAAGCAUCUUCCCCGAAAUGCGAUCCUUGACAGUGGAUCCAUAAGGGUCAAGUUAAUGAACAGUUAUUAUCCUUAAGAAAUUGAUAAGCAGAUAAGAGAUUAUGUUUUAUGAAAGGAACAUGUAAAACAUUUCUCAGCUUAAAGGAAGUAUAAGGAGUGUGCAGAGAUGAAGAACCAAUAUGAUGAAUAGAUAGUCCUUUACCAUCUCCAAUGUAUACUUUGUCUUCUCCAGUGUAAGGAGUAGGAGAAGAGAUGUUAGCUACAUCAUCAGUGAUGUGAGAAGUAGCUCCAGAGUUAAUCAACCAAGGCUGAGAGGGUUUUGCUGAAUGAUGCACACACAUAGCAGCAAGUUUGGCUGGAGGAAUUCUACCACAGAUAUCCAGAUUCAUACGAUCAAAACAAUCAAGUGCCUCAUGACUGGUAGAUCCACAAAUCUGACAAGGGACUUUAAAAUUGGAAGGACCUUGAUAAUUGUGAAAGCCUUGAUAAUUGCGAUUGCCACGAUUGUUGAUGAAAUUACCCCUAUUAUUGUUAUGAAAGGUGCGAUUGCUGCGAUUUGAGGAGAAAUUACCUCUAAAUGUCUUACCACGAUUUGAGUUAAAUCGAGAAGCAGGAUGAAAUGAUUGAUUUUUAGCAGCAAAGGCAGAUGGAGUAGGAAGCAGGGGAGGCUGAGAUUGCACUGAGAAUGCUUGAAAGGGCUCAGAGGAUGAAAGAACAGCCUUGCGACGGGUCAUAGACAACUCUUUGGUGAGUAAGAGACCAUGGAGUUCAUCAAGGGAUGUAGAAGAGAGCCGCAGCAUGAUGGAGUCAAUAAAGGACUCGAAUUCAUCAGGUAAUCCAUGUAGAGUGGCAGCAAUUAGGUCACGAUCAGACACUGAAGCACCAGCAGCUUCCAAGGAAUCAGCAAUUUCCUUGAUUUGUUGAAGAUACGCAGAAAUGGACUGAGAACCUUUCUGAAUUGAUUGAAGUCUGGACCUUAAUUGAUGAAUGUGAGCUUCCGAAACUCCACCAAAACGCUGUUCAAGCUUUACCCAGAGCUCACGAGAAGAAGAAACUCCAACCGUGAACGGAAUGAUCUCUUCGGACAGGGUAGAAUUAAGCCAAAUCAAAAAUUUUGAUCUUUUUCAUACCAAUCCUCAAAGGCAGGGUUCAUCGAGCGAUCAGGCAAGAAUGGCGAAGGACAAACCUCAGUGCCGUCAAUAAUACUAAGAAGCUUGUAUCGCCUGAAAAUUGGAGCAAACAGUGCUCGCCAUGGCAGAUAGUUGGAACUUUUCAGCUUGAUCGGCACCAUACUGCCCAUGUUGUGAAUCGUCAGAGAGGUAUACGAAUUCAGAGGACUCGGAUUAGAAGAGGAAUUAGGGUUUUGAACCGAAGGAGAGAUGACCGGAGAAGACGAUCCAGUCGGUUGCGACGCAGAUUGAGCAGCCAUAGCUUGCAGAAAACAAGAUUCAAGAGAGAUCGAGAACAAAAAGUGAAGAAUCAGAGAGAAGAAAGCAAGAAUCGAUCAAGACACGAUCGAGAUGACGAGCGGAAGAGAAGGUCGGUGCUGUAAAGCAGAACGGCUCUGAUACCAUAUAGAAACAGAAAACUUCAAUAGUAAGUUUUCCUGAUUGUAUUGAAUGAAUAAUUCAGUUACACAGGUGUCAAUAUAUAUAGCCUUAGCUGCCUUAGGCUAAUUACAAAAGUACCCUCAACUACCUAAACUAAUCACAGUUACUAACAAAAACAAUUACAUUUAGCUUUAACAACUAUUUUUUUUUUUUUUUUUUUUUUUUUUUUGAGAAGAAACAAAACAUUUUAUAGAAGAAAAGAGAAAUACACUGGAGUGGAUAAGAAAUCCACCAAACAAGAAACAAGAAAAAACUCUCACUAGGAUUUGGCUACAGCAACAUUAGCUAGACUCACUUUACUGCUGCUAACAAAUCCCACAGUAAUUGAGAAAUAGAGUAGUUAUUAAAAACAUUUGAGACUGAAGCCCAAAGGGCUGCCCAAUAUUUUACUCUUCCCCAAAGUACUUCUACCCCCACACCUGUAUAAUCCUCAAAAAUUCUUUUGUUACGCUCCAGCCAAAUGUUCCAAAAAACUGCCGAGACCAGACAACCCCACAAAGCUUUAGCUUUCCUCCCACUUCCUAGGGCCUGAAACUUGGUGCUUAGAAGCUCGAAACAACCCUUUGGAAUGACCCAACUAGCUCUAACCUCCUGAAACAGUUUCCACCACAGCUGAAUCGUGUAAGAGCAAUGGAGAAAAAUGUGGUUUACACUCUCCUCCUUUGCUUUGCACAAACUGCACCAUUGUGGGGAUAAGCAAAUAAAAGGGCUUCUCCUUUGAAUUUGGUCACAAGUGUUGAGCUUCCCUUUGGCCGCCAGCCAUACAAGAAUCUUAACCUUCGGAGGAACUUUGGAUUUCCAAAUCUGUGAAUGGGGUUGGAAGUAUUGCAUCAUCCCAUUGUUACUCAAAGAAGGAACAAUAGGAUUUGCAUGUGAACAAUCCUGAUGCUUCCAUUUUCCACCUUCUGUUAUCCAUUCUUGAUUGAGACAAUCGGACCUCUUCCACUUUCUGUAAUAAUCUAGCCGCCUCUUCUAUCUCCGCCUCAUUCAAAUUUCUCCUGAAAUCAAAAUUCCAACUUAAAGAAUUGGUAGAAAGAUCUACAAAGCUUGAAAUGUUCUGAUUGUGCUUCCUCGAUAGCAAGAAUAAUCUAGGAAAUUGCUCUUUCAAUGGUCCUCCAUCUAACCACCCAUCCUCCCAAAACCUCACCCUCUCCCCGUUGCCCACCUCGAACUUACAGCAGUGAAGAGAAACAAUUGGGAACCAAUCGAUAUAUCUUUCCAUGGGCUACGGCUUGAACCCCUUAUCGGAGGAAAUGCGUUCCAUCCGUUAUCCUGUAGCCCAUAUUUGCUUCUUAUCACUUUGUGCCAGAGAGAAUGAGGUUCCUUUGGGAAUCUCCACAACCACUUAGCAAGUAAUGCUUCAUUCCGAUUCCUCAAAUUCCCCACCCCUAAACCUCCUUCCUCUUUACUUUUAAUAACUAUCUCCCAUUUUACCAGGUUGUUUUUUCUUUCCUUCCUCCACACCUUCCCACAAAAAUCCUUUCAUUAGUUUUUCUAGGCGUCCAAUCACCCCGCAAGGCAUUUUGAACAGAGACAUGUAGUAGGUCGGCAAGCUUCCCAAAACAGAUUGAAUCAGAGUUAAUCUACCUCCUCUGGAUAAGAAGGCCUUCUUCCAACUUUGAAGUCUUUUUUCCAUCUUAUCUACCACUGGAUCCCAAAAACUUGAGUGCUCUUGGCCUACCCCAAGAGGGAGUCCCAAAUACUUUAUAGGCCAGCUACCUACCUCACAACCCCAAGAAUCCGCCAACCUAUUUAAUUUCUCACAAUCUGAAUUUAUUCCAGCCAAAUAACACUUAGCUUUGUUGAUUUUCAACCCUGAAACAGAACAGAAUAAUUUGAGCAGCUCUAAUAGAUUGUUCCAACCUCCCUCAUCUUCCGCCAAGAAAAAAAUGGUAUCAUCUGCAAAUUGAAGAUGAGAAAAUCUCCACCUUUUCUUGCCCAAUACAUAACCCUUUGAUGAGAUGAUUUUCUUGAGCCUUCUCCAUUAACCUACUCAAAACAUCGACUACUAAGGUAAAAAGAAAAGGUGACAGUGGAUCACCUUGUCUCAAAACCUCUUGAAGCUUGAAAAUUUUCCCCUAGGCCUCCCGUUAAUCAAAACAGAAAAAUUUGCGGAACUUAAGCAUCCCUGCAUCCAUUUCCUCCAUCUGUUGCCAAAGCUUUUUCUUUGUAAGACUUCGUCCAAAAAUCUCCACUCUACAUGAUCAUACGCUUUUUUUCAAAAUCUAUUUUUGAGCACCAAUCCCUCCUCUUUCUUCUGCCUGACCUCUUCUACCACUUCAUUUGCGAUAAGGACAGCAUCCAAUAUUUGUCGAUCCUUAACAAACGCUCCUUGAUUUUGAGAAAUUGUGCUGCCCAAGACCUCCUUUAAUCUUGAGGCCAAGGUUUUUCGCCAUAAUUUUUAUAUAACCCAGUCACAAGACUUAUGGGCCUGAAAUCCGUCACUUUCAUAGAAUCUGACUUCUUCGGAAUUAGACAAAUAAAAGUUUCAUUUGUCACCGCAUUUAUUAUCCCUGUCUCGUAGAACUCCUCCAUAAUCUUCAUAAUGUUCACCUUCAAGAUAUCCCAACAUUGUUGAAUCAUUUGCAAAGAAUAGCCAUCCGGUCCUGGCGAUUUAUCCUUUCCACAAUCAAAAACUGCUCUUUGAACUUCGGCUUCCUCAAAAGGCCUCUCAAUCCAAUUCGCCUCAAGUUCGCUUAUUGGAGCCCAAUUGAUACCUUCCAAGCCCCAACAUGCCUCUCUUCGUUGCUACUAAACAAGGACUUGAAGAACUUGACUAUAUGAUCUUCUAUCUCGUUCGCAUCCUCUAUCACUCCCCCAACCUCCGAUUCCAACCUUUCUAUAUAGUUUCUCUUCCUUCUCCCGCUUGCAACUCGAUGGAAAAAUUUAGUAUUACCGUCCCCUUCCUUUGCCCAUUCCACUUUACUUCUUUGCCUCCAUUUCACUUCUUCCUUGUAAGCCAAAUCUCCCAUACGGAAGAGUAGUUCUUCCCUCUUUCUUCUAGCAUCAACAUCUAGCCCUUCCAUCCCCUCUCUCCUAUCUAACUCCUCUAAGCUAGCCUCAGCUUCUUUAAAGUCUUUCUCAACUUCCCCGAAACUCUCCUUACUCCAUCUUUGCACCUUUUUUUUUAUGGCUUUUAACUUGAUCAUAAACUUGUAACCCUCCCAUCCCUCCACCUGCUCAGAUUGCCACCAUAGAUUGAACUUGUUCCUGAACUCUGGAUGUUGUAGCCACAUGUUUUCGAAUCUAAAAGGACUUGGCCCCCAUUUCACCUUGUUGGAUUCUAGCUGGAUAGGGCAAUGAUCAGAAAUUACCCUUGCCAAAGCCAUUUGUCUUACCUCUCUGGAAAAAUCUCUUCACAACCUGCAGAGACCAGAAAUCUGUCUAGCCUCCGACACACAGGUUCUUCUCUGAAAUUUGACCAUGUAAAUUGAGCAUUAAGCAAUUCCAAAUCUUUGAGUUCUGUUUCUCGAAUGAAAUCAUUAAAAUUCCUCAUGCUUGUAGUCAGCCUUCCCCCAUUUUGAUUUCUCGUUUACAAAUCUCACCACGUUAAAAUCCCCUCCUACACACCCAUUUUGGUCCGCACAGUCCGUAAAGGCCAGCCAUUUCUUCCCAGAACUCCCUUCGCUCUCUACUUUUGCAAGGGCCAUAGACCCCUGAUAACCACCAUUCCAACCCGUUGAAGGCCUUAAUUUUUAUGGAGACAGAGAAAACUCCAAUCAGAGAUUCAGUAACUGAGAUGUUUUUGGUGUUCCAAAUUACUGCUAUGCCCCCAGAACUUCCUUGAGCAGGGGCAUAAAUCCACUCUUUAAAUCUGCUUCCCCCACACGCUGGCCACAAGUCUCCCUAUCGAUUGAUGUUUUCUUAGUUUCUUGUAAUAUAAUGAUAUCAGGCUGUAAACGUCGGAACUGCUGUUUCAAUGUCAGUCUCUUCUGUUUACUUCCCAAUCCUCUAACAUUCCAGCUAAUUAUCUUCAUUAAGUCUGAUAAUACCCCUUUGAAAUUUCUUGUCUCCCUUGCUUCCACCCUCACUCUUGCUGACUUUAACUUUCCCAGUCUUCAUUUCAUGGAAUAAAGACCUUUUCAGAGGAAACAAGGAAACUUUCAUCUUUGACAAAAAUUUGGAAGAUUGAUCUUGUGCCUCGCGUUUGACUGAUACGCAAGCCGAUCUUUUCCUUCUACUGUACUUUAACAUUUUCUUGUUUUUUCCAAUAUCCUUGAAAUCGGACUGCUCCACAUCUUCUAAUGCUACUACAUGAUGCGUUUGACUUGGUUCCUCUUCCGCUGUCGCCUCUGUUUCCAAAUUUGUAUCUAUGAAGAGGUUGUGAAGCUCCCCGUUGAACCGAUCAAAAACAUCAGAUGGUUCUUUUUCGUCUUGUGAAGAGUCACCAUUCUCCUCAUCUGAAUCUGAUGAUUGUGACAUGUAUUCUUCUUCAGCACUAUCUGAUAAAAAAGACGAAUCCAAUCCAAGAGCCUCAGUCCAUCUCAUCCUUUGAUCAAAUGGUUCCUCCUCUGUCGACCAGCCCGAUCGCCGAACAGGAUUUUCAUCAACAUCACUCUCCUUUUCUUCCCUCUAAUUCACAAACAGAAUCUAAGAUGGAAAGAUUGGGGGAAUGGAUUUCCAUCAUUUCAGGCCUUUCGACAGCAGUCUGGUUAGAUCCGAAUUCGUGUGGGAGAAGAAGCUUCAGCCUUUUUCCAAGUUUGUCUAUUUCACCAAAUCUCCCAAGAAACUUCAAAUUGAAACAAGUGGGGGCUUUUUUUGGGACACCGUCGAAAUGAGCUUCCUUAGCCUGUUGUCGCUGAAAUAAAAUCUCUGUAGUAAAAUUUGGCAUGUUGCUCACCCGAAACGACAACUUUGGUUCUGCCGACAUGGCUGAGUGCCAAAAGAUCUUGUUUGAUAGUUCCCUUCCUAACUGAAAAUGAUAUCUCAGCCCAUCAUAGUUUAGAAUAAGUGGGCCUAGACAUGACCCAGCAUAAUUAUUUUGUGGAACAAGACCCACGAGCCUUACAAAGUCACUUAGAACAAAAUCCUUGUGAACCAGGGGCCCACGCACCAUCAAAGCUUUUUCUUUACUUUUUAGACUAACCUCCUUGUUUGAUCUAUUAAAAUAAUACCCACUUGUAGAGCUUUGUGCUUCUUCGGUGGACAUACCACCACCGCCACCUGCUCUCCCACUUACUUCCAUGCCUUUGCCAUUUUCCAAAAAGCACCUUUGUCUGAGACUUUCUUUCCUUUUUGAAUUCUUGAAAUUAUCCUUUGCAUCUGCAUUUUCUUGUUCUUCUAUAAAGCUCGCCGAAUCUGUCAGACAUUCUUUCUUAAGUGGCCUCCCGUGCUUGCUAAUAGAGAAAGUAAAGUCAUGGGUUGCAGACACCUCAUGCCGUGCAUCCUCUGUCAAAAGCCUGUUCAGACCAUACUUUCUGUCAGCUCCAACAGUGACAGGGCAUUCAAACUCACCAAUCCGGAAAGAGACACGUGUCCCCGGAAAAGGAACUGAUUGUUGCAUAUCCGCCUUCGCCGGAAGGGUAGCUCCGGUGAGCCUCUGUAUUUUCAGGUCCUUCUUCAAAGAUCCAUUUGGUGAUUUAGUUGCUCCACCGUCUUCAGCCGAAGAUUAGGUCUCUUUGCUGGCGAAAGUUGACGAAUUUUAACCCUGAAAACUGAUUCUCCAUCUGCCACGUCAACGAACUCUGGAAUAAAGCCUGUGUCGUUGGGUUUCAAUUUUAAUUUUGCUUCGAGCAGAAAAUCAAAGUUAGCGGUUCUUCGGUCGAUUUCUACCAGACCUCCGCAGGCCUCUCCAAUCUUCAGGAAAAAAUUAUUGGUCCAAAGGUGUGGCGGUAAUCCUUCCAGAGCCACCCAACCGCCAUAACUAACCACCUUUCUGUGAUUUGAAUUGAUACUGUCCCACCAUCCAGACAUCACCACGUCUGGUAGCUUUUUCAUGGCUAGAGUUCCAAGUUGAGCAAUUUUGGUUGCUUCCUCUUCGUUCUGACAAACGAACAACGCCUUGUUGCAUUGGAAAGGCGAGAGUCUUAUUUCCAUUCCCAGAAGAUUUCGAAGUGAGGCCUCCACCUCUCUCCAAGGUUGAUGUACCACCUGUCUCUCACAAACAACUACGCUCCCCCAGCUGUAGGCUUCCUUGGAAAUGUCUCUCUUAUUCCAGAUUUUCUUCAUCCAUAUUUCCUCUUUGGCAUUUCGAAUGGGUGCCACAAUUGUCGCCUUCUUGCCUCCGAGGACAGCAUCCCUAUACGAAACCUGAUGGCCUGCACCCGUCUGGCUGUUCACGAACUCUUUUCCGACUCUUUUCACUUUCCUCUGAGUAGCCCCCACUCUCUUUCCCCCACGGAGGAUUUCAGACAAUAAGACCUCUAAACUUCUCCAUCCGAAAAAGUUAAAACCUUCAGGGACGAGAAUAUUUCUGACAAAGCCUUCCUUUUCUGAUUUGGAGAUAACAAGGAAAUCCCCGUUUUUGUUAUGAAAUCUUUCGACCCAAAACUGGUAGUUAUGUCCACUAUAUUUUCUGAAGAACUUCUGCCCGCCCUUAACUAUUGCCUCCUUUACCUGAUCAACUAGCCAAGCAGCACAACCCAAAUCAAAAGAAAUCUGGUAUCCUCUGAUUCUAGUUCUCUCAGUUAUUCGAAUCCUUUCACCGAAAGACUUAUCUUCUACCUCUAAGAUGAAAACCUUUUGCUCAACUUUGAAAUCCCUGGAUAAAUGUCUGUAGCUCAUCCUUACUUACCUUUCACUGAGUCGAUUCACGCCCUACAAAGUUCUCUAUGGCCUUCCUGAAACCUUAUCAACUGUGAAUACGAGGCACUUAAGACCAAAAUAAUGAACUUCCAAAUCAUCCUCCUCUUUUCUUUUGGGUAGUGGUUUAGAGUGUUUCUGCCCUUCUUUUGAUCACGACUGAGCUAAUGCUUAAGAAGGUCUCUAUAUAAUAAUAUGAGGACUCGAGGAAUCUGAGUCCCUAAAAUUUAAAUUUGAAUCCAUAAACCCAUAAUCUCUAAAUCCAUAAAAUCUUUCAAAUCCUAAAUCCCUAGAGGCUAGAGAGCAGACAUGAAAGUACCAGAAAUUGAAGCGGACGAACAACGGAACAUGCCCAAGAAUUGAAGAUUUAAAAUAGUCGGCAAGGGACGAAUCGCACAACACAGAAAGGCUUGAGUUUUUUGGCCAACUCAAUAUUUUCAUAUAAUAAUUUUGUUCAAAACAAUUUAAAAUGUAAACUAUGCAGGAGUACUGGAGCUGCAGACAGUUAUUCCCCCUUUUCUGGUUUCAGAAGGAAGGAGGGGUGGGAGGAAUAACAAUAUUAGAGAGCUCAGGUUGUUGGAGCUCAAUACGCCAGUGAAAGUAGACAAGGAAACUACCUCAUAGGCAGCAUACACCUCUGUAUUGAAGCCAAUCUCCUCGCCAUUUUCAUUGGUGCCAAAACCCCUAGGCUUUCCAAAAUAUAUACCUCCAGUGAGCUCUCUUACAACCAUGCUUUAACAACUAUUUAACAGUAACUAUAUUGGAUGACUUAUCAUUCUCCCUAAUAGGCAUCAUCGUGGACAAGACCUUGACACAAGAUGUUGUAGAUGUCAAGAGGGUAGGAGAUAGAAUCAUGGCAAUCAAGAUUGUAAUAGGACAAGAACUUAUCAAUGUGAUUAGUGCGUACGCACCUCAAGUAGAGUUGGAUACGAGUUCGAAGGAGAAAUUUUGGGAAGACCUUGGAGACUUGGUGCAAGGAAUUGCUCAGACGGAGAAGAUAUUUAUAGGAGGAGAUUUAAAUGGACACGUGGGCAGGGAGACAGGCAACUAUGGAAGUUUUCAUGGUGGCCAUGGUUUUGGGGAGAGAAACGAGGAUGGGGAAGCUAUCUUGGAUUUUGCAAUGGCGUAUGAUCUCUUCUUAGCCAACACCUUCUUUAAGAAGAGAGAAGAACAUGUGAUCACCUACAAGAGUGAGUCGUCAAAAACACAAAUAGAUUUUCUUCUAAUGAGGAAAGGGGAUCGUAUAACUUGUAAGGAUUGCAAAGUUAUACCAGGAGAGAGCGUGGCUAAUCAACAUCACUUGUUGGUGAUGGAUGUACAUAUAAAAAUAGAGAAAAAAGAACAAGACUUGGAAGUGCCCAAGGACUAGAUGGUGGAAUCUAAAAGAAGAAAAACAAGUCAUUUUCAAAGAGAAAGUAAUCACCCAGUGUGUGUGGGAUAGAGAGGGGGAAGCUAGCCAAAUGUGGGAUUUCAUGGCUAGUUGUAUCCGAAAAGUAGCAAAAGGGGUAUUAGGAGAGUCUAAGGGCUUUGCCCCACACCAAAAGGAAUCUUGGUGGUGGAAUGAGGAGGUACAAACAAAGGUGAAGGCUAAGAAGGAAUGUUGUAAAGCCUUAUACAAGGAUAUGACCGAUGAAAAUGGUGAAAGGUAUAGAAAAGCGAAGCAAGAGGCGAAGAAAGCUGUGAGAGAAGCUAAGUUAGCGGCUUAUGACGAUAUGUAUAAGCGACUAGAUACCAAAGAAGGAGAGUUUGAUAUCUAUAAACUAGCUAGAGCAAGAGAAAAGAAGACAAGAGACCUAAACCAAAUGAGGUGCAUCAAGGAUGAUGAUGGAAAAGUUCUUGCUACAGAGAACGCGGUUAAAGACAGAUGGAGAGGUUAUUUUCAUAAUAUUUUCAAUGAAGGACAUGAAAGGAGUGCUUCUUUAGGGGAGUUGAGUAACUCAGAAUAGUAGAAACUACUCUUUUUAUCGUCGAAUUCGGAAGGAAGAAGUGGUUGUAGCUUUGAAGAAGAUGAAGCAUAGAAAAGCAGUAGGCCCAGACGAUAUACCAAUCGAAGUGUGGAAAGUUUUGGGAGAGAGGUAUAACAUGGCUCACUGACCUUUUCAAUAGGAUUUUGAAAACGAAGAAGAUGCCAAAUGAGUGGCGAACGAGCACUUUGGUGCCUAUCUACAAGAAUAAGGGCGACGUAAAAAAUUGCAUGAACUAUAGGGGUAUUAAGCUAAUGAGUCAUACAAUGAAGCUCUGGGAGAGAGUCAUUGAGAAUAGAUUGAGGCAAGAGACACGGGUUUCGGACAACCAAUUCGGGUUCAUGCGAGGGCGUUCAACCAUGGAGGCAAUCUAUCUCUUACGAAGAUUGAUGGAAAGAUAUAGAGAUGGGAAAAAGGAUUUACACAUGGUCUUUAUAGAUUUGGAAAAAGCGUAUGAUAGGGUCUCAAGAGACAUUUUUUGGAGGAUUCUAGAGAAGAAAGGAGUACGAGUAGCAUAUAUCCAAGCUAUAAAGGAUAUGUAUGAAGAAGCAAAAACUGCUGUAAGAACUCAUGAAGGACAAACCGAAAGCUUUCCUAUAACUGUAGGAUUACAUCAAUGCUCAUCCUUAAGUCCUUAUCUUUUUGCGUUGGUAAUGGAUGAGUUAACAUGACAUAUUCAAGAUGAUAUUCCUUGGUGUAUGCUUUUCGCAGAUGAUAUGGUGUUGAUAGAUGAAACUCAGGAAAGGGUAAAUGCAAAGCUUAAUCUUUGGAGAGAAGUGUUGGAAUCUAAAGGUAUUCGCCGAAGCCGAUCAAAGACAAUAUAUGGAGUGCAAGUUCAGUGCAAAUGGAGGCCAAAACGAGUUAGGGGUGAGGAUCGGAGAUCAAGAAAUACCAAAGAGCGAUCGUUUUCGUUACCUAGGAUCUAUCUUGCAAAAGAACGGAGAAUUAGAUGGAGAUCUCAACCAUAGAAUACAAGCUGGAUGGAUGAAUUGGAAGAGUGCAUCCGGCGUGUUGUGUGACCGCCGUAUGCCACUGAAGCUCAAGGGAAAAUUUUAUAGGACGGCAAUAAGGCCGGCGAUGCUGUAUGGCACAGAAUGUUGGGCGGUGAAGCAUCAACACGUACACAAAAUGGGCGUAGCGGAGAUGAGGAUGCUUCGUUGGAUGUGUGGGCACACGAGAAAGGAUAAGAUUAGGAAUGAGGAUAUCCGGGGUAAAGUAGGAGUAACCGAAAUUGAAGGAAAGAUGAGAGAAAAUCGGUUACGGUGGUUUGAACAUGUGCAAAGAAGGCCUACUGACGCUCCGAUUAGAAGAUGCAACUAUGGGACAGAGGUUCAGGGACAAAGGGGUAGAGGAAGACCUAGGAAAACUUUGGAACAGACUUUAAGAAAAGACUUAGAGUACUUGGAUCUAACGGAGGACAUGACACAGGAUCGAGCACAAUGGCGUUCUAAGAUUCAUAUAGCCGAUCCCACUUAGUGACUUGGAUUUUUCAAGUCUCCAACCGAGAAGUUUUCCUCCCUUGGGAAAUUAAGGGAACACUACCUCAACCUACAUGCUCCACUCACAAAGCUUCAACAUACAAGCUUCAACAAAAGAAAAUUCAAAGAACUUAGCGAGGAAGGUUUUGGUGUAUAUAACACAAUACGUUGAAAUGAAUGAAAGUUUAUAUAUUGAUAUCCUCGAUAAGUUACAAAUAUGUACAUAUACAUGAGUCAAAAUAAACACUCAUGAGGGAGCCUUCACAAAUGUUGCUUAGGAGAAGUCUCAGCAGUCGGUAGAGCCCCAGAAAGAGAAGGCACCGGAGGGGGAUCAUUCGGAGCCUCCGUACUGGACAGAACCCUAGAAGGAGGCAUCAGAGGUUGAUCAUUUGGAGCUUCAUUACGCGGUACAGUCCCAGAAGACGAAGGCAAUAAAUGCCUUUGGAACAAACCCACAAAUAUCUGAUGAUCAAGUAAAACCUGACCAUCAGAUUCCUUCAUCUGGUCAAGCUUCCUCUUUAUGUUUGUAGCAUAGUCAUGUGCGAGCCGGUGCAACUGUUUAUUCUGAUGCUUGAGCCCUCUAAUCUCCUGUUUGAGACUUAUCACUUCAGCCGCCAAUGAUUCAACUUGGCGGGUUCGAGCAAAUAGGCGUUGGGCCAUAUUAGACACAGAACCUGCAUACUGAACACUGAGAGCCAAAGAAUCCUUAACAGCCAACUCAUCAGACUGUUUGGAAAGUAGUUUGUUAUCUUUGGGAGUGAGAAGGUUCCUGGCCACCACCGCAGCGGUUAUAUCAUUCUUCAUCACGGAAUCCCCAACGGUAAGAGGACCAGUAGGGGAGACGAAGGAUGGGCGCCAUAUGUUGUCUGGAGAAGGCGUGGCUGCCUCUUCAACAAGGUUCAAGUCAAAACGACGGUUGGAGGGGCCAGACAUUUUCAAAGGUGUUGAAGAGAGAAGAGGUCGGACAAAUCAAGAUCUUAGAAGUGCAAGAAUAGAGCUUCUACUGGUGGAGAUUCAAGUGUGCUUUGGAACUUAAUGUCAGCCUCUAUAAAAAUCUGUACUCGACGGAGCUUCAGAAAUCGAAGAGGCGCCUGCUCAGAAAUCGAAGAGGCGUUUGCUUUCUCAAAAGCUGUGCUGCUCAGAGACCACGAGGGUCGAUCUCAGAAAUCGAAGAAGCGUUUGCUUUCUCAAAAGCUGGGCUGCUCAAAGACCACGAAGGCCGAUCUCAGAAAUCGAAGAUGCGCUUGCUUUCUCAAAAGCUGGGCUGCUCAGAGAUCACGAGGGCCGAUCUCAGAAAUCGAAGAGGCACCUACUUUUCCAGCCUUGUCAGCACCUGUCACACGCACACUCAGCUUUGUGGAAAUUAUGGGCAUUCUGUCGAAGAUUUCUGGUGAAGUAGAAAGCACAUGAAUCUUACUGUUCAAUCACCCACUUCCCACACGCAACAUUAGCUCAUGGGUACCACAGAUAACUUUGCCAAAGUUCUCUGACAAAGUUGAGACACGUGAAGCUUGCAGCUCCCACUACAUCGCUCUGACCAAGAAGGGUAAAAGAAUAGCAAAGAAACAGCACUAACAAAGUUUAGACACAUAAAUUUUGAAGGUCUAGCUACCAUAUUAUUACCCACAAGGGUAAAGGAACAGUACCACUGCUGAAUAAUUGGAAAGUCCAUGUGUGUUAACCUUUGUGCUUCGUGGCAAGGUAGACUAGCACACAUGCCCAACCUUUACUCAUAUUCGAGAAAACUUCCAACAAGAUUGCUUGCUCCAAAAUCGAAGAGGCACCGCCCUCCGAAUCUCGAGAGCCAGACUUCCAACAUGAUUACUUUCUCAAAAAUCGAAGAGACACCGCUCUCCGAAUCUCGAGAGCCAGACCCCUAGCGUGAUUACUUUCUCAAAAAUCGAAGAGACAUCGUUCUCCGAAUCUCGAGAGCCAGAUCCUCGACAGGAUUGCUUGUUCAAAACCGAAAAGGCACCACUUUCCCAACUUCAAAAGUCGGAUCUCCUUGGAUAAAGCUUGUCUGUAAUCUUCACACGCAACAUCAGCUUUCCAGAUACAACAGACCACUUUUUCAAAGUGCUCUGACAGAGUUAAAACAUGUGAAGCUGGCAGCUCCCACUAUCGUGCCAUGACCAAGCAGGGUAAAGGAAUAGCAUUACUACUUGUUGUUAGGGAGACUCUUAUAUAUGUCGACUUCCAUCCCCAACGGACAGACAGACCUGCAAAAAUGCUCAACCCUUCCUCAUAUCUGAGAGGGCACUCCCAACGAAGCCUUUCGAAAUAUACAGCUUUCUUUCCCCCCGAUAAUACCUCUGCAAACAAGCUAUACUAGAGCAAGAAUAUCUCAUAUCAUCAGGGUUAAAAGCAAGAGUAUCCCAUAUCAUGCUUUUUCCCUGUCUUUCCCUUUGGCCUUGUUCUUACCUGCAAGACAAGGAGAGAGAGCAAUCAGUCAGCACUUGGAAUCAAGCUUCCAGUCAGGAACUGACUGCCUGGAACCCCUUAUCUGAUUAUUUACUUGACAUUGCUCUCGAGUACUCAUCUUCAACAUCUUAUGCUUCCAGGGAAGAUACCGCAUCUGCCUGAGGAACAGAUAGGGCAAGCGAGAAGGAUACAAGGAAGCAUGUGGAGACAAGCGUAACAGCACACGUGCCGAUACAUCCACUACUCUGUCAAAAGCAAAAGUAUCCCAUAUCAGCAGGGUCGAACAUACUCUAGAUUUGAUGGACUUGUUUUGACCCUCAAAUUCUUCAGUCGGUCUUAUACUCUGGAGGAAACCAGAAAACCCUCCAGCCCAGUUCAAGAAUAAGCCUGUGGAAAGUUACUUCUUCAAAAGCAAAAGUAUCCCAUAUCAUCUCUUCUCAUUUUUCUUCUCUUUAUCCUUUAUGCUGCCUGCAAGAUAGGGAGAAUGUGAACAAUCAGCCGGAACUCAAAAUCAAAGUUCUGAUUUGGGACUGAUUGUUUGAAGCUCUGAUUGCUUACCUUGUCUGUCACCUCUUUCAGCAUAUCCCCUAGCUUGGCGACUUAGGGGACUCCUACUGUAUGGUUUGUAUCGCGCUUGACCAAGCCUGAAACUACAAGUAAGCUUCAAGGGAAAUUGAUACAUUACCUUGUGCAUCUCCACCAGUUAAUGAUACCACCCCUGGAUGGAGAAGAGUACUUCCAGAGAAGAUGCCACAUCUACCUAUGAGACAGAUAAGGCAAGUCAAGACGAUACCACUCUGGUACUUAGAAGUUUCGUGACUACGAGAUCAUUCUCCCACAAUAUUUCCUAAUGUCAUUUGUACUAAAUCAUUCACUUGUACUCACUAAAGGAGAGUUUGAACCUAUGUACUUGUGUAAACCCUUCACAAUUAAUGAGAACUCCUCUAUUCCGUGGACGUAGCCAAUCUGGGUGAACCACGUACAUCUUGUGUUUGCUUUCCUAUCUCUAUCCAUUUAUAUACUUAUCCACACUAAUGACCGGAGCAAUCUAGCGAAGAUCACAAAAAGCGAUCGUUUUCGCUACCUAGGAUCUAUCUUGUAAGAGAACGGAGAAUUAGAUGGAGAUCUCAACCAUAGAAUACAAGCUGGAUGGAUGAAGUGUAAGAGUGCAUCCGGCGUGUUGUGUGACCGUCGUAGGCCACUGAAGCUCAAGGGAAAAUUUUAUAGGACGACAAUAAGGUCAGCGAUGUGGUAUGGCACAGAAUGUUGGGCGGUGAAGCAUCAACACGUACACAAAAUGGAUGUAGCGGAGAUGAGGAUGCUUCGUGGGAUGUGUGGGCACACGAGAAAGGAUAAGAUUGGGAAUGAGGAUAUCCGAGGUAAAGUAGGAGUGGCCGAAAUUGAAGGAAAGAUGAGAGAAAAUCGGUUAUGGUGGUUUGGACAUGUGCAAAGAAGGCCUACUGACGCUCCGGUUCGAAGAUGUGACUACAGGACAGAGGUUCAGGGCCGAAGGGGUAGAGGAAGACCUAGAAAAAUUUCGGAAGAGACCCUAAGAAAAGACUUAGAGUACUUGGAUCUAACGGAGGACAUGACACAAAACCAAGCGUAAUGGCGUUCUAGGAUUCAUAUAGCCGACCCCACUUAGUGGGAAAAGGGUUUGUUGUUGUUGUUGUUGUUUUAUGGCCGACCCCACUUAGUGGGAAAUGGUUUUGUUGUUUAUUUUUUUAUGGAGUACAUUCAGUAUUUAUUUAUUAGAACUCAAUUCUUUGACCUUGUGUUUACGCUGACCGGAUCCUGCUCCAUGGUUGCUGUUAUUUAUCUCAUCAAAACUAGUAUACUUGGACCAAGAACUUCAAGUCUCGGGAAUAAUCCGGAUUAAUCUCAUGAGAUGAAUUAUAUGUUAAAUAUUGAUUAUAUGAAUGCACUUUCUCAUUAUCUUUUUGUAACAGAAGUUUGGAUCUAUUCUAAUUUAUAUUGGUUGCUUAUGUUUAUUGGCAGAUAUAGGCACAUGCAGACCAGAGGCAUAUUGGAUUCCUUGGUCAGGCAGAGUUUUACAAUGCCCUUAGACUUUGUCACGGUGGCACAAGUAAGAGAGAACUUACGCCAGAAAUGGUGAAGGCAACAUUAUAUGGCCCGGCUGCAGCUAAAAUACCUGCACCCAAGAUAAAUCUUGCAGCGACUUCUGCCCCUCAGUUCAAUUCUGCUGCAGCAGCACCUGCCACUCAGGGUGGUGCUGUCACUCCGACAUCCUCACAAAAUCUUGGGUUCAGGGGACCAAAAAUACCACCUCAGUAUAGUUCUUUUGGAGCAGCACCUGCCACUCAGGGUGGUGUUGUCACUCCGAUGUCCUCCCAAGAUGUUGAGUUCAGGGGACCACAAAUACGAUCUCAGUUUAAUUCUGCUCCAACAGCGACCCAGGGUGAUGCUGUUACUCCAACAUCCUCCCAGAAUCUUGGGUUCAGGGGAUUAAGUGUGAAUGUGAACCAGCAAAAUUUCAUUUCUCAAGAUGGCAAGUCAAUUAGGCCUCCAGUGCCUCCAUCUAGUUCUGAUUCCCAGCCCACACAGAGUGUUGCUGCCCAAGGCUUUCCCAGUGAAGGUUCAGUGGGUGGUCCUCAACCACAAAAUUCAAACAUGUCUAAUGAUUGGGUUGGUGGAAGGGCAAGUGGAGCAACGACCGAGAUACCCUCGCAGAUUGUAAAAAAGGGGAUCACUCCUUCUGCAACACAAGAUGUAUUUGGGCAGGCAACAUCAGGACCAACAACUUCCCUACCACCUAGGCCACAGGCAGGUUUUGGGUUCAGACCACCGGCUAAGGAUUCCAAACCAUCAAAUAUAUCUAGGAAUGGCUUUGCUCCUUACUCAUCUUUUGGAGUCGAUGUGUUUUCUGCAACCCCAUCUCAACCAAAGCAGAAUUUUCCUCUUGGCAGUAUACCCGUCUCAUCAACCAUUGUGCCAGUAUCUGCUUGGACCCAAUCUUCAGUUACAGUUAUGCGCCUAUAUAGUAUGACCACAAACAUAACUUUUGGAAGCUAUAAGUUCCCCCACUCUUAACUUUAUGCUCUGUUUACAUCUGUCAGAGGUUUUAAAGCAGGUUUGGACCCAAUCUCCGAUCAGGAUAAUGAUAGCAUGCUUUCUGUCAGGGAGUUUUGUGUUGCGCUAUAUAUGAUGGAGCAGUUUAGGGAGGGAUGCCCUCUUCCAGCAGUGCUACCAAGAAAUAUUAUGUUUGAUUUAUCCAAUAUUUUUCAACCUGCAAAUAAGUACUCCAGUGCUGGCCAUGUAGCCUAGAGACCUGCAUCUGGUAUUCAUCCAUAAAACAAAUCACCUUUUUUUUUCUUUUUUCGAAACCGUACAUCUUUCUUUGAUGGAGAAUAGUUUCUUAUUUUUCACUUAAAAGGCUUUCAACAACAGCAAUCGAUGCCUGGUCCUGGUGCUCGACACAUGGCGCCCCCAGCUGGAGGAAGGCCACCGAAGCCAGUUGCUCCUUCUCAUGCUGUGGAAAGGCAGCAGGCCAAUCAGCAGAAACCCAGAGUACCAGAAUUGGAGAAACAUCUUGUAAAUCAACUGAGUACAGAUGAGGUUAACUCGCUGAAUUCAAAGUUCAAAGAAGCAACCGAAGUUGAUAAAAAAGGUACUUAGAACUUUAAUGUUUCCCCAAUUUUUUCAGCUUAAGCAGCAAAGUGAUGUAUGCUCUUAAUGUCCCAAAGAUUGGAAAUUCUUGUGAUUGUGGGUUUUACUUUGCUCUUAAUAUCGCUCAUUUCAGUGGAAAUGAUUUUGAUCUAGUUUAAGUAGGCAGGCUGUUCGGGUUUUGAAGUUCAUGAUCAGUUCUUUGAUAUUAGUAAUUUUAAUGAUUGGCAUUCCUCAUGUUUUUAGUGCAUGGCAUUCAUUAUGCUUUCUUUUUUAUACAGCAUUUAUUAUACUUUAUUGCAGUUUUGUUCCAUUUUCAGCUUGUUUUUCCUCAACCUUUUGAUGCGAUUCCCUUUGUUCUUUGCAGGUAGAAGAACUGGAGAAAAUAAUUUUGGAUUCUAGAGAGAAAAUUGAAUACUUCGGGGUCAAAAUGCAGGAACUUGUGAGCAUCUCGUGUUCUUUUCUGCCCUUUCUUUCUUGUAUGCCGUUGGUUGUGCAUAUUGAACAUUCUACAAUAGUUUUAAUUUUUGCGUUUGAAUAUAAUUGUUCUUGAUUGAUAGAUUUUUAGACGUCCUAAUCCUUUGUUGCUUUUAAUUAAAUAAUCUGCAGACUUCUUAGUAUUUGAUCUUUGCAGUGGUUUAAGAUGCUUUCUUUGAACAAUUGGAUGUUUGUGGUCUGAAUUAGUAUUGAUUCUUGAAUUGACAAGUACUCUUGAGAGAAAGUGCAGAUCACGUGUUUUAUCAUUGUCCUCUAGCUUUAUAUGUGUGGCUGAGAUUGUGUAGGAAAGGAAAUGUAAGCUGGGUAAUUCCUGCAGGGUACAUAUGUAGUUUGGUGGUGAUAUGAAGGCUUUUGUGAGGGUGCAGUAUGCCAGCAAUUUAUUGGGGUUUCUUGGUUUGAGAGAAACACGAGGGUUUUUGAAAACUACAUAUUUGGGCGAGGAGUAGUUAUGAAAUAAAGUUAGAUUUUGUUCACCACAUUGGCUCAGUAUUUUCUCAAUUUCAUGUUCUAUAUUUCUUAGCCAUGUUCUUUGAUUGGGAAGAUGCUGUUUUUGGAUAUUCGAUGUUGAAGGUCCUGUAUGUAGGAAGAAAUUGUAUUGUUUGUGUAGUCUAGUUUUCAUUGUUGUUCGCUUUAAGGUGGGGACAACUUAGCCGAAGAGAUUGCACUACAACAACAACAACAACAACAAAGCCUUUUCCCACUAAGUAGGGUCGGCUAUAUGAAUCCUAGAACGUCAUUGCGCUCGGUUUUGUAUCAUGUUCUCCGUUAGAUCCAAGUACUCAAGUCUUUUCUUAGGGUCUCUUCCAAGGUUUUCCUAGGUCUUCCUCUACCCUUUCGGCCCUGAACCUCUGUCCCGUAGUCACAUCUUCGAACCGGAGCGUCAGUAGGCCUUCUUUGCACAUGUCCAAACCACCGGAAUUGAUUUUCUCUCAUAUUUCCUCAAUUUCGGCUACUCCUACUUUACCUCGGAUAUCCUCAUUCCCAAUCUUAUCCUUUCUCGUGUGCCCACACAUCCCACGAAGCAUCCUCAUCUCCGCUACACCCAUUUUGUGUACGUGUUGAUGUUUCACCGCCCAACAUUCUGUGCUAUACAACUACGUUGGCCUUAUUGCCGUCCUAUAAAAUUUUCCCUUGAGCUUCAGUGGCCUACGACGGUCACACAACACGCCGGAUGCACUCUUACACUUCAUCCAUCCAGCUUGUAUUCUAUGGUUGAGAUCUCCAUCUAAUUCUCCGUUCUCUUGCAAGAUAGAUCCUAGGUAGCGAAAACGGUCGCUUUUUGUGAUCUUCGCUAGAUUGCUCCGGUCAUUAGUGUGGAUAAGUAUAUAAAUGGGUAGAGAUAGGAAAGCAAACACAAGAUGUACGUGGUUCACCCAGAUUGGCUACGUCCACGGAAUAGAGGAGUUCUCAUUAAUUGUGAAGGGUUUACACAAGUACAUAGGUUCAAGCUCUCCUUUAGUGAGUACAAGUGAAUGAUUUAGUACAAAUGACAUUAGGAAAUAUUGUGGGAGAAUGAUCUCGUAAUCACGAAACUUCUAAGUACCGGAGUGUGGUAUCGUCUUGACUUGCCUUAUCUGUCUCAUAGGUAGAUGUGGCAUCUUCUCUGGAAGUACUCUUCCUCCAUCCAGGGGUGGUAUCUUUAACUGGUGGAGAUGCACAAGGUAAUGUAUCAAUUUCACUUGAAGCUUACUUGUAGUUUCAGGUUUGGUCAAACGCGAUACAAACCAUGUAGUAGGAGUCCCCCAAGUCGCCGAGCUAGGGGAUCUGCUGAAAGAGGUGACAGACAAGGUAAGCAAUCAGAGCUCCGGCUGAUUGUUCACAUUCUCCCUAUCUUGCAGGCAGCAUGAAGGAUAAAGAGAAAGAAAAAUGAGAAAGAGAUGAUAUGGGAUACUUUUGCUUUUUGAAGAAGUAACUUUCCACAGGCUUAUUCUUGAACUGGGCUGGAGGGUUUUCUGGUUUCCUCCACAGUAUAAGGCCGACUGAAGAAUUUGAGGGUCAAAACAAGUCCAUCAAAUCUAGAGUAUGUUCGACCCUGCUGAUAUGGGAUACUUUUGCUUUUGACAGAGUAGUGGAUGUAUCGGCACGUGUGCUGUUACGCUUGUCUCCACAUGCUUCCUUGUAUCCUUCUCGCUUGCCCUAUCUGUUCCUCAGGCAGAUGCGGUAUCUUCCCUGGAAGCAUAAGAUGUUGAAGAUGAGUACUCGAGAGCAAUGUCAGAUAAGUAAUCAGGUUAGGGGUUCCAGGCAGUCAGUUCCUAACUGGAAGCUUGAUUCCAAGUGCUGACUGAUUGCUCUCUUUCUCCUUGUCUUGUAGGUAAGAACAAGGCCAAAGGAAACAACAACAACAACAAAGCCUUUUCCCACUAAGUGGGGUCGGCUAUAUGAAUCCUAGAACGCCAUUGCGCUCGGUUUUGUGUCAUGUCCUCCAUUAGAUCCAAGUACUCAAGUCUUUUCUUAGGGUCUCUUCUAAAGUUUUCCUAGGUCUUCCUCUACCCCUUCGGCCUUGAACCUCUGUCCCGUAGUCACAUUUUCGAACCGGAGCGUCAGAAGGCCUUCUUUGCACAUGUCCAAACCACCGGAACCGAUUUUCUCUCAUAUUUCCUUCAAUUUUGGCUACUCCUACUUUACCUCGGAUAACCUCAUUCCCAAUCUUAUCCUUUCUCGUGUGCCCAUACAUCCCACGAAGCAUCCUCAUCUCCGUUACACCCAUUUUGUGUACGUUGAUGCUUCACUGCCCAACAUUCUGUGCCAUACAACAUCGCUGGCCUUAUUGCCGUCCUAUAAAAUUUUCCCUUGAGCUUCAGUGGCCUACGACGGUCACACAACACGCCGGAUGCACUCUUACACUUCAUCCAUCCAGCUUGUAUUCUAUGUUUGAGAUCUCCAUCUAAUUCUCCGUUCUCUUGCAAGAUAGAUCCUAGGUAGCGAAAACGGUCACUUUUUGUGAUCUUCGCUAGAUUGCUCCGGUCAUUAGUGUGGAUAAGUAUAUAAAUGGAUAGAGAUAGGAAAGCAAACACAAGAUGUACGUGGUUCACCCAGAUUGGCUACGUCCACGGAAUAGAGGAGUUCUCAUUAAUUGUGAAGGGUUUACACAACAAAGCAAACACAAGAUGUACGUGGUUCACCCAGAUUGGCUACGUCCACGGAAUAGAGGAGUUCUCAUUAAUUGUGAAGGGUUUACACAAGUACAUAGGUUCAAGCUCUCCUUUAGUGAGUACAAGUGAAUGAUUUAGUACAAAUGACAUUAGGAAAUAUUGUGGGAGAAUGAUCUCGUAGCCACGAAACUUCUAAGUACCGGAGUGUGGUAUCGUCUUGACUUGCCUUAUCUGUCUCAUAGGUAGAUGUGGCAUCUUCUCUGGAAGUACUCUUCCUCCAUCCAGGGGUGGUAUCUGUAACUGGUGGAGAUGCACAAGGUAAUGUAUCAAUUUCACUUGAAGCUUACUUGUAGUUUCAUGCUUGGUCAAGCGCGAUACAAACCAUGUAGUAGGAGUCCCCCAAGUCGCCGAGCUAGGGGAUCUGCUGAAAGAGGUGACAGACAAGGUAAGCAAUCAGAGCUCCGGCUGAUUGUUCACAUUCUCCCUAUCUUGCAGGCAGCAUGAAGGAUAAAGAGAAGAAAAGUGAGGAGAGAUGAUAUGGGAUACUUUUGCUUUUGAAGAAGUAACUUUCCACAGGCUUAUUCUUGAACUGGGCUGGAGGGUUUUCUGGUUUCCUCCAGAGUAUAAGGCCGACUGAAGAAUUUGAGGGUCAAAACAAGUCCAUCAAAUCUAGAGUACGUUCGACCCUGCUGAUAUGGGAUACUUUUGCUUUUGACAGAGUAGUGGAUGUAUCGGCACGUGUACUGUUACGCUUGUCUCCACAUGCUUCCUUGUAUCCUUCUCACUUGCCCUAUUUGUUCCUCAGGCAGAUGCGGUAUCUUCCCUGGAAGCAUAAGAUGUUGAAGAUGAGUAUUCGAGAGCAAUGCCAGGUAAGUAAUCAGGUAAGGGGUUCCAGGCAGUCAGUUCCUGGCUGGAAGCUUGAUUCCAAGUGCUGACUGAUUGCUCUCUUUCUCCUUGUCUUGCAGGUAAGAACAAUGCCAAAGGAAAAGACAGGGAAAAAGCCUGAUAUGGGAUACUCUUGCUUUUAACCCUGAUGAUAUGAGAUAUUCUUGCCCUAGUAUAGCUUGUUUACAGAGGUAUUAUCGGGGGGAAAGAAAGCUGAAUAUUUCGAAAGGCUUCGUUGGGAGUGCCCUUUCAGAUAAGAGAAAGGGUUGAGCAUUUUUGCAGGUCUGCCUGUCCGUUAGAGAUGGAGGUCGACAUAUAUAGGAGUCUCCCUAACAUCAAGUAAUAAUGCUAUUCCUUUACCCUGCUUGGUUAUAGCACGGUAGUGGGAGCUGCCAGCUUCACAUGUUUUAACUCCGUCAGAGCACUUUGAAAAAGUGGUCUGUGGUAUCUGGAAAGCUGAUGUUGCGUGUGAAGAUUACAGACAAGCUUUAUCCAAGGAGAUCCAGCUCUUGAAAUUGGGAAAGUGGUGCCUCUUCGAUUUUCGAACAAGCAAUCCUGUCGGGGAUCUGGCUCUCGAGAUUCGGAGAACGAUGCCUCUUCGAUUUUUGAGAAAGCAAUCCUGCUGGGGGUCUGGAUCUCGAGAUUCGGAGAGCGGUGUCUCUUCGAUUUUUGAUAAAGUAAUCAUGUUGGGAGUCUGGCUCUCGAGAUUCGGAGGGCAGUGCCUCUUCGAUUUUGGAGCAAGCAAUUUUGUUGGGAGUGUUUUCUCGAAUGUGAGUAAAGGUUGGACGUGUUUGCUAGUCUAACUUGCCACGAAGCACAGAGGUUGACACACAGGGACUUUUCAAUUAUCCAGCAGUGGUACUGUUCCUUUACCCUCUCUUCGAUUUUUGAGAAAGUAAUCAUGUUGGGAGUCUGGCUCUCGAGAUUCGGAGGGCGGUGCCUCUUCGAUUUUGGAGCAAGCAAUCUUGUUGGGAGUGUUUUCUCGAAUGUGAGUAAAGGUUGGGCAUGUUUGCUAGUCUACCUUGCCACGAAGCACAAAGGUUGACACACAGGGACUUUCCAAUUAUCCAGCAGUGGUACUGUUCCUUUACCCUCUCUUCGAUUUUUGAGAAAGUAAUCAUGUUGGGAGUCUGGCUCUCGAGAUUCGGAGGGCGGUGCCUCUUCGAUUUUGGAGCAAGCAAUCUUGUUGGGAGUGUUUUCUCGAAUGUGAGUACAGGUUGGGCAUGUUUGCUAGUCUACCUUGCCACGAAGCACAGAGGUUGACACACCGGGACUUUCCAAUUAUCCAGCAGUGGUACUGUUCCUUUACCCUUGUGGGUAAUAAUAUGGUAGCUAGACCUUCAAAAAUUUAUGUGUUUAAACUUUGUUAGUAUUGUUUCUUUGCAAUUCUUUUACCCUUCUUGGUCAGAGCGAUGUAGUGGGAGCUGCAAGCUUCACGUGUCUCAACUUUGUCAGAGAACUUUGGCAAAGUUAUCUGUGGUACCCAUGAGCUACUGUUGCGUGUGGGAAGUGGGUGAUUGAACAGUACGAUUCAUGUGCUUUCUACUACGUCAGAAAUCUUCGACAGAAUGCCCAUAAUUUCCGCAAAGCUGAGUGUGCGUGUGACAGGUGCUGACAAGGCUGGAAAAGUAGGUGCCUCUUCGAUUUCUGAGAUCGGCCCUCGUGGUCUCUGAGCAUCCCAGCUUUUGAGAAAGCAAGCCUCUUCGAUUUCUGAGAUCGGCCUUCGUGGUCUUUGAGCAGCCCAGCUUUUGAGAAAGCAAACGCCUCUUCGAUUUCUGAGAUCGAUCCUCGUGGUCUCUGAGCAGCCCAGCUUUUGAGAAAGCAAACGCCUCUUCGAUUUCUGAGCAGGCGCCUCUUCGAUUUCUGAAGCUUCGUCGAGUGCAGAUUUUUAUAGGGGCUGACAUUAAGUUCCAAAGCACACUUAAAUAUCCACCAGUAGAAGCUCCAUUCUUGCACUUCUAAGAUCUUGAUUUGUCCGACCUCUUCUCUCUUCAACACCUUUGAAAAUGUCUGGCCCCUCCGACCGUCGUUUUGACUUGAACCUUGUUGAAGAGGCAGCCCCGCCUUCUCCAGACAACAUAUGGCGCCCAUCCUUCGUCUCCCCUACUGGUCCUCUUACCGUUGGGGAUUCCGUGAUGAAGAAUGAUAUGACCGCUGCGGUAGUGGCCAGGAACCUUCUCACUCCCAAAGAUAACAGACUACUUUCCAAACGGUCUGAUGAGUUGGCUGUUAAGGAUUCUCUGGCUCUCAGUGUUCAGUGUGCAGGUUCUGUGUCUAAUAUGGCCCAACGCCUAUUUGCUCGAACCCGCCAAGUUGAAUCAUUGGCGGCUGAAGUGAUGAGUCUCAAACAGGAGAUUAGAGGGCUCAAGCAUGAGAAUAAACAGUUGCACCGGCUCGCACAUGACUAUGCUACAAACAUAAAGAGGAAGCUUGACUAGAUGAAGGAAUCUGAUGGUCAGGUUUUACUUGAUCAUCAGAGAUUUGUGGGUUUGUUCCAAAGGCAUUUAUUGCCUUCGUCUUCUGGGGCUGUACCGCGUAAUGAAGCUCCAAAUGAUCAACCUCUGAUGCCUCCUCCUUCUAGGGUUUUGUCCAGUACUGAGGCUCCGAAUGAUCCUCCUCCGGUGCCUUCUCUUUCUGGGGCUCUACCGACUGCUGAGACUUCUCCUAAGCAACCUUUGUGAAGGCUCCCUCUUGUUUGUUUAUUUUGACUCAAGUAUAUGUACAUAUUUGUAACUUAUCGGGGAUAUCAAUAAAUAAGCUUUCCUUCAUUUCAACGUAUUGUGUUAAAUACACCAAAGCCUUCUUCGCUAAGUUCUUUGAAUUUUCUUCUGUUGAAGCUUGUAUGUUGAAGCUUUGUGAGUGGAGCAUUUAGGUUGAGGUAGUGUUCCCUUAAUUUCCCGAGUGAGGAAAACUUCUUGGUUGGAGACUUGGAAAAUCCAAGUCACUGAGUGGGAUCGGCUAUAUGAAUCUUAGAACGCCAUUGUGUUCUGUCUUGUGUCAUGUCCUCCGUUAGAUCCAAGUACUCUAAGUCUUUUCUUAGGGUCUCUUCCAAAGUUUUCCUAGGUCUUCCUCUGCCCCUUCGGCCCUGAACCUUUGUCCCAUAGUCGCAUCUUCUAAUCGGAGCGUCAGUAGGCCUUCUUUGCACAUGUCCAAACCACCGUAACCGAUUUUCUCUCAUCUUUCCUUCAAUUUCGGCUACUCCUACUUUACCCCGGAUAUCCUCAUUCCUAAUCUUAUCCUUUCUCGUGUGCCCACACAUCCAACGAAGCAUCCUCAUCUCUGCUACACCCAUUUUGUGUACGUGUUGAUGCUUCACUGCCCAACAUUCUGUGCCAUACAGCAUUGCCGGCCUUAUUGCCGUCCUAUAAAAUUUUCCCUUGAGCUUCAGUGGCAUACGGCGGUCACACAACACGCUUGAUGCACUCUUCCACUUCAUCCAUCCAGCUUGUAUUCUAUGGUUGAGAUCUCCAUCUAAUUCUCCGUUCUUUUGCAAGAUAGAUCCUAGGUAACGAAAACGGUCGCUCUUUGGUAUUUCUUGAUCUCCGAUCCUCACCCCUAACUCGUUUUGGCCUCCAUUUGCACUGAACUUGCACUCCAUAUAUUCUGUCUUUGAUCGGCUUGGGCGAAGACCUUUAGAUUCCAACACUUCUCUCCAAAGGUUAAGCUUUGCAUUUACCCCUUCCUGAGUUUCAUCUAUCAACACUAUAUCGUCUGCGAAAAGCAUACACCAAGGAAUAUCAUUUUGAAUAUGUCCUGUUAACUCAUCCAUUACUAACGCAAAAGGGUAAGAACUUAAGGAUGAGCCUUGAUGUAAUCCUACAGUUAUGGGAAAGCUUUCGGUUUGUCCUUCAUGAGUUCUUACGGCAGUUUUUGCUUCUUCAUACAUAUCCUUUAUAGCUUGGAUAUAUGUUACUCGUACUCCUUUCUUCUCUAAAAUCCUCCAAAGAAUGUCUCUUGGGACCUAUCAUACGCUUUUUCUAAAUCUAUAAAGACCAUGUGUAAAUCCUUUUUCCCAUCUCUAUAUCUUUCCAUCAAUCUUCGUAAGAGAUAGAUUGCCUCCAUGGUUGAGCUCCCUGGCAUGAACUCGAAUUGGUUGUCCGAAACCCCGUGUCUCUUGCUUCAAUCUAUGCUCAAUGACUCUCCUAGAGCUUCAUUGUAUGACUCAUUAGCUUAAUACACCUAUAGUUCAUGCAAUUUUGUACGUCGCCCUUAUUCUUGUAGAUAGGCACCAAAGUGCUCGUUCGCCACUCAUUUGGCAUCUUCUUCGUUUUCAAAAUCCUAUUGAAAAGGUCAGUGAGCCAUGUUAUACCUGUCUCUCCCAAAACUUUCCACACUUCGAUUGGUAUAUCGUCUGGGCCUACUGCUUUUCUAUGCUUCAUCUUCUUCAAAGCUACAACCACUUUUUCCUUCCGGAUUCGACGAUAAAAAGAGUAGUUUCUACUCCUCUGAGUUACUCAACUCCCCUAAAGAAGCAUUCAUUUCAUGCCCUUCAUUGAAAAUAUUAUGAAAAUAACCUCUCAAUCUGUCUUUAACCGCGUUCUCUGUAGCAAGAACCUUUCCAUCAUCAUCCUUGAUGCACCUCACUUGGUUUAGGUCCCUUGUGUUCUUUUCCCUUGGUCUAGCUAGUUUAUAAAUAUCCAACUCUCUUUCUUUGGUAUCUAGUCGCUUAUACAUAUCGUCAUAAGCCGCUAACUUAGCUUCUCUCACAGCUUUCUUCGCCUCUUGCUUCGCUUUUCUAUACCUUUCACCAUUUUCAUUGGUCCUAUCCUUGUAUAAGGCUUUACAACAUUCCUUCUUAGCCUUCACCUUUGUUUGUACCUCCUCAGUCCACCACCAAGAUUCCUUUUGGUGUGGGGCAAAGCCCUUGGACUCUCCUAAUACCUCUUUUGCUACUUUUCGGAUACAACUAGCCAUGGAAUCCCACAUUUGGCUAGCUUCCCCCUCUCUAUCCCAUACACACUGGGUGAUUACUUUUUCUUUGAAAAUGGCUUGUUUUUCUUCUUUUAGAUUCCACCAUCUAGUCCUUGGGCACUUCCAAGUCUUGUUCUUUUUUCUCACUCUUUUGAUAUGUACAUCCAUCACCAACAAGCGAUGUUGAUUAGCCACGCUCUCUCCUGGUAUAACUUUGCAAUCCUUAUAAGUUAUACGAUCCCCUUUCCUCAUUAGAAGAAAAUCUAUUUGUGUUUUUGACGACCCACUCUUGUAGGUGAUCACAUGUUCUUCUCUCUUCUUAAAGAAGGUGUUGGCUAAGAAGAGAUCAUAUGCCUUUGCAAAAUCCAAGAUAGUUUCCCCAUCCUCGUUUCUCUCCCCAAAACCAUGGCCACCAUGAAAACCUCCAUAGUUGCCUGUCUCCCUGCCCACGUGUCCAUUUAAAUCUCCUCCUAUAAAUAACUUCUCCGUCUGAGCAAUUCCUUGCACCAAGUCUCCAAGGUCUUCCCAAAAUUUCUCCUUCGAACUCAUAUCCAACCCUACUUGAGGUGCGUACGCACUAAUCACAUUGAUAAGUUCUUGUCCUAUUACAAUCUUGAUUGCCAUGAUUCUAUCUCCUACCAAUCUUGACAUCUACAACAUCUUGUGUCAGGGGCUUGUCUAAAACAUCUUGAUGUCAACAUCGUUUCUUGUUCUAUUUGUGCCCGAAUACCAUAGUUUAAACCCUGAGUUUUCUAGAUCCUUUGCCUUACGACCAACCCACUUAGUUUCUUGUAGGCACAUAAUAUUUAUCUUUCUCCUCACCAUAACUUCCAUUACUUCCAUAGAUUUUCCCGUUAAGGUUCCUAUAUUCCACGUUCCUAAACGUAUUUUGCUCUUUUGAACUCUACCCUUAUGUUCUAGCUUCUUCACCCUCCCCCGUCUAAUAGGAUCAAAGUACUUCUUUUGUGUGUCCCGUGUAAAGUUGAUAGGAGCAUAUGCUCCCAAACAACUUUGAGUGGAGUCGUUCGAAAAGAAGUUUCUAUGGCCCCCUUGCUCAUUUAACACUGCAUCCGGGUGCCGAUGGAGAUACAGCGACCCUUGCUCACUUAUCACUGUGCUCGGGCCACACAGCGCGCCACUUAUGGGUGACGCCCUAGCUUUAGCGCGAUUUCGUUCUGGAUUCAUUUUCAUAAGGAUUCGACGUAAUCAUGGAGUGUCGGCUGUCGACUACCUGACGCCCUCCCCCUCCUCCUUUAUCCGGGCUUGGGACCGGCACUGUAAGAUAAACUUACACAGGCGGAGUUAGCCGAAGAGAUUGCACUGUUUGAAUAAAAUUGUGUUGAGGAGCUUUGGUAGGCAAUUAAAGCAUUCCUUUGUAUGCACCAUAAUGGUGAUGAAAUAAAGAUCCAAAUUUGGUUGAAUGGGGAACUGGGGGAUGGGAAUAUUUUAUCAUGUGUGUAAAUUAAGGCCACAUUCUUACAGGAUAAUUUUAUCUAGCUACUCGCAUAUGGAAAUGAUGUUUUUAACUGUCAGUUUUUGAAUACCGAUUCUGCAUAAUUGUGAAUGCUGGUGCUUUAUUUUAAGUCUCACAUAUAUAGGGUGUGGUGUUGAAACUAUGAUGUAUACCUUGUUAUAUUUGCUUUAAUAUAUUUUCUUAAUGGUAUAAGGUUGUGUACAAGAGCAGAUGUGACAAUCGCCUCAAUGAGAUCACAGAAAGGUCAUCCAUUUCAGUUAUUGUAAAAUAGUUAGUUAUAUCUAAAUGUGAUUAGCUGUGCUAAUGAUUGUAAUUAGUUAGGGUUGUUAUAAGAUUAGGCAGUUAAGGGGUAUUGUUGUAAAUAGCCAAAGGCUAUAUAUAUAUCCUCACAGUGUACAAUUGUUCAGUUAAGUCAAUACAAUUAGAAAACUUACAGAGGAAGUUUUCUGUUUAUAUAUGGUAUCACGCCAUUUUGCUUAAAAGCAUCGAUUCCUUCUUCCGCUCAAAUUGAUCGAUCGAUUCUUGCUCGAUUCUUGAUUGAUUCCUCCUUCUCAGAUUCUUCAAUUCUUCUUCUUCAAUCUUUCUUACCUUGUGAUUUCUGCAAGAUAUGGCGGCUCAAUCCUCUUCGACACCGCCUGAAUCGUCUUCUCCGUCGAUCCAAAACCGUAAUUUCUUUGGUAAUCCAAGUCUUCUGAGUUCCUACACCUCUCUUACAAUUCACAACAUCGGCAGCAUGGUGCCGAUUAAGCUGAAAAGAUCAAACUACCUGCCAUGGCGUGCAUUGUUUGGCCAAUCCUAAGGCAAUACAAGCUUCUUGGAAUCAUUGAUGGAACUGAAGCAUGUCCAUCGCCAUUCCUGCCUGAUCGCCGCAUCAAUCCUGCAUUUGAGGAAUGGUAUGAAAAAAUCAAAAUCUCUUGAUCUGGUUUAAUUCCACACUUUCUGAGGAAAUCAUUCCUUUCACAGUUGGGGUUUCCUCUUCUCGUGACCUCUGGGUGAAGCUUGAACAGAGAUUUGGUGGAAUUUCAGAGGCUCACAUUCAUCAAUUGCGGUCGCGUCUUUAAUUGGUUCAGAAAGGAUGUCACUCUAUCUCUGAGUUUUUUGUCGUACCCAGUGCACAAGGCUCCCGCUUUACGCAGGGUCUGGGAGAGGUGAAUGUCGGCUAGCCUUACCCCAAUUUAUGGAGAGGCUGCUCCCAAGUCUCGAACCCGAGACCUACCGCUUAUGGGCGAAGACACUUGCCAUCGCACCAAGUGCGACCUCCACUCUAUCUCUGAGUAUCUUCAAGAAAUUAAGGAGAUCUCCGAUUCCUUGCAAGUUGCUGGUGCCUCUGUCUUUGAUCGAUAUCUCAUUGCAGCCACUCUUCAUGGCUUGCCUGAUGAAUUUGAGUCAUUCAUAGACUCAAUCAUGCUUCGAUUGUCCUCUACCUCUCUUGAUGAGCUCCAUGGUCUUCUUUUCACUAACGAAUUGUCUAUGGCUCGACGCAAAACUGUUAGUUCAUCUUCUGCAACUGAGCCUUUUCAAGCUUUCUUGGUGCAAUCUCAACCCCCUCUAUUACCCACUCCAUCCGUGUUUGCUGCUCAGCACCAACUUCAAUCAUGGCACCAACCAAAAUCUCACAAUUGUGGCAAGAAUAAUCGGGGCAAUUCCUUCUCUCAUAGAGGUAAUCGUAACUUCCAUAACAACCGUGGUCAUUACUCCAACAAUCGUGGCAAUCGCAGUUAUCAAAGUCCUCGUCAAGCUCAAGGUUCUUCCACUUUCAAAGUUCCUUGUCAAAUCUGUGGAUCUACCAGUCAUGAGGCUAUUGACUGCUUUGAUCGCAUGAAUCCAGACAUUUGUGGUCGGAUUCCUCCAGCCAAACUCGCUGCUAUGUAUGUCAAUCACUCUGCCAAACCAUCUUCAUCUUGGUUGAUUGACUCGGGUGCCACCUCUCACAUUACCAAUGAUGUUGCCAAUAUUUCUUCUCCUACUCCCUAUACUGGCGAGGACAAAGUGUAUAUUGGUGAUGGUAAAGGACUUUCUAUUCAUCAUAUUGGUUCAUCAUUCUUACAUACUCCUCAUAAUUCUUUUCAGCUCUGCAAUGUUUUACAUGUUCCAUACAUGAAACAUAAUCUCUUGUCUGCCUAUCAGUUUCUUAAGGAUAAUAAUUGUUCAUUAACCCUUGACCCUUAUGAAUCCACUAUCAAGGAUCGUAUUUCGGGGAAGAUGCUUUUGCGGGGACCGGUUAGAGAUGGAUUCUAUCCUCUUCAAGCCUCAAGUACUUCUUCAAUUUCUUCACCUACAACUUUGCUCAGUAUUAAAGCUCCUGUUAAAGUUUGGCACCGGCGCUUGGGUCAUCCUUCCUCCUCUAUUCUCCGGAGGGUAAUUUCUAAUCAUCCACUGGCAUUACAAGGCAAGUCCACUGUUGAUUUCUUCUGCUCAGAUUGUGCACUUGCAAAGAAUCAUAAGCUUCCCUUUGGAGUAGCUUCUUCAAAAACAACUCAAAGUCUUCAACUUUUGCACUGUGAUCUGUGGGGUCCAGCAUCCGUUAUUUCAAAUAGUGGUUUCAAGUACUAUUUGCUUCUUGUUGAUGAUUUUAGCAAAUAUAGCUGGUUCUUUCCUUUGAAGUCCAAGUCCGAUGUAUUUUCUACAUUUGUUGUCUUCAAAUCUUAUGUAGAAAAUUUACUUGGCAAUAAAAUCAAAGUUCUGCGUUCAGAUUCAGGGGGUGAGUUUAUUAGCACAUCUUUUGCAUCAUUUCUCAGACAACAUGGCAUUUUUCAUCAAUUUAGUUGUCCCCAUACUCCUGAACAAAACGGUUGUGCUUAGCAAUGUUUUAAAGAACUCGCCUCAAGGCGCGCCUAGGGCGCCCUUGAGGCUGGGCGGUGAGGCAAACGCCUCAGUUUUGCUGGAGUAGGCGAAAUGCUUCGCCGGAGACGCCGAGGCGGCGGCGGCGCGCCUCAAGGCGUCCAGGCGCCGUGUCUGACCCUGUUUUUUUUUUUUUUUUUUUUUUUUUUUUUUUUUUUUUUUUUUUAAAAAAAUCAUCCAAACCCAAAACGAUGCUGUUUGGGUAAGGAUUUUCAGCUUUAAACAUCCUCUUCAUUCCAUACCUUCGAUCGCCUGCCUUCUUGCUUCUUCUCCCGCGCGCCAGAAGCCCAGAACAGAGAACACAGCCGCCACACCACGCCGCUUGGAGCAGCACCGUCGCCACCAUCACCUCGCCGCCGUCAGCCCAGCGCCGUCAGCAAGAUCCCAAAGGUUAGGGUUUCAGAAAAACUUAGGGAUUUAGUUUUCUGGGGAAGGUUUUCUUGGGGGAAGAGCUCUGCCUCUGCGUGGUGCCUUGUUUCUGGGGAGUGGGGAAGGAUUUAAUUGAAUUUUGAAUACUUUGACACGAUAAAUAAUGUUAAUUAAUUAAUGGAGAAUACAAUUAUCUGCAGCAUUGCACUCUUUAUUUAAACAAAUAAAGUAAACUCAGUAAGCUAUUGGCAUGCCGUUGAAAGAAGUGCGAUCUUGAUUGAAAAUAAAAAAAUAAUACACAAACUUUUGAAAGUUUUUGAGAAGCCAUUUGAUAAAGUUGGCAAAACAAAGUAGUUUAGUUUGUAAUUAGUGAAAAGGGUUUUAGAGCUAUAAUGUUUUGAUGUAUAACCCGUUUAUUAUUAUUAAUUAAUUAAUGACAUACCUUACAAGUUCAUCUAGAGUUGGCAAUGAAGACGAUGAUGCCUUUUAUUUAGAUGAAGAGGAUUUGGAUGAUUGAUUGAUAUCUUUGUUUGUAUUUUGAUUUCUAUGAAGAGGAUUUGGAUGAAUGAUGAAUUUGGAUGAUAUUACCUUUGAAUGAUGAAUUUAGAUGAUAUUAUCUUUUGAAUGACUAUGGAUUUGAAUGAAAAAUUGAGAAUGGAUGUUUAUUUUACAUAGUAUUAUUUUUAUACAAUUAUAUGUAUAAUAUAUAAAACAUAUAUAUAAAAAAAAAUUAAAUCUCGUAAGGCUUCGCCUCACGCCUCACGCCUAGGCCGGGCUUCACCUCGGACGCCUCGCCCACGCCUCACACUUUUAAUACAUUGGUGCUAAGAGAAAGCACAGGCACCUUGUUGAGACAGCUCGUACUUUGCUAGUUGCUUCUCAUGUUCCUCCUGUUUUCUGGGUUGAAGCUUUCUCCACUGCAAUGUAUCUCAUUAAUCGGCUUCCUAUCUCUGGUGUUUCCAAGUCACCAUGGGAACUAUUAUUUCACCAACCCCUAGAUUCUCCAAACUCAAAGUGUUUGGUUGCCAAUGCUUCCGUUGGCUCAAACCCUAUGUUCACAGCAAAUUGGAUGCCAAGAGUAAAUGUUGCACAUUUCUAGGAUAUAGCCUACAACAUAAAGGCUAUCGGUGUCUUGAUCCCCAUACAAAUAGAAUUUACAUCUCCAGACAUGUUCUCUUUGAUGAAACUACCUAUCCAUUUCAAUCACUUCAACCUCCUGAUUAAUCAAGAUGCAGCAUCUCCAGCAGGCUCUUCAUGUCUGGAUCUUUAUUUUGAUAACUAUAUUCCCAAUAUUUCUGCCCGUCUCCCAUCCUCCAAGUUCAGCUUCUCCUAGUACCUCAGUACGUAUCUCUUCUAGUUCUGUUUCUGUUUCAGAACCCUCACCUUUACCACACAGUUUGCCAAGUCAUCCUCCUAUUCCCAUUAAUUCUCAUCCCAUGAUUACAAGAUCCAAGGCUGGCAUAUGUAAACCUAAGUCUCAGGUUUAUGCAGCAACCAAACAUCCUCUUCCUGUUGAUCUUGAUUAUGUUCCCAGUACUUACUUGCAAGUUUCUAAGCAUGCUCACUGGCGAGCAGCCAUGCAAGAUGAAUACAAUGCCUUGAUCUCUACUGGUACUUGGUCACUAGUCCCCUCUAAUCCUUCUCAAAAUUUAGUUGGCUGUAAGUGGGUGUUUCAAGUUAAGAAAAAGGCUGAUGGUACUAUUGAUAGGUACAAAGCUCGCCUUGUAGCAAAGGGUUUUCAUCAACAAGAGGGUAUUGAUUUUCAAGAGACCCUUAGUCCGGUUGCAAAGCCGGUUACAAUUUGCAUUCUCCUCACUCUUGCUGUCCAAUAUAAUUGGUUCCUUAAUCAAUUGGAUAUAAGCAAUGCUUUUCUUCAUGGAGACUUAAAGGAGGAUGUAUACAUGCAACAACCUCCCGGAUUUGUUGAUCCUACUUCUCCUAGUCAUGUUUGCAAGUUGAGAAAAUCAUUAUAUGGACUAAAACAAGCCCCCCGAGCCUGGUUUGACAAACUCUAUCAAGCCCUUCAUUCUCUUGGAUUCAAACAAUCAUCCUCUGAUGCAUCCUUGUUUGUUCUCAAUGGUCCUCAUUUGUUAUUGUCCUAGUAUAUGUUGAUGACAUUCUUGUGACUGGUCCAAACUCUCACCUCUGUCAACAGUUUAUUAACCAACUAAGUUCUCAGUUUCCAGUAAAGGAUCUUGGUCCUUUACACUACUUCUUGGGCUUAGAAGUACACCGAUCUUCAUAGGGCAUUUUUCUACAUCAAACCAAAUACUUACUUGAUCUUCUCAAGAAAACAAACAUGGAGGGUGCAAAACCAUGCUGCACACCUCUUAGUUCCAUGAAACUUGAUCACAGUGGGCCUCUCUUGUCCAAUCCCAUUGAAUAUCGUUCUAUUGUAGGUGGUUUACAAUAUCUAACUUGGACUAGACCGGAUCUUGCCUUUGCUGUGAACCAGAUAUGCCAAUUCAUGCAUGCUCCUAGGGAACAACAUCUUCAAGCAGCUAAAAGAGUUCUCAGGUUUCUUAAAGGUUCUAUUUCCCAUGGUAUGUGGUUCACAAAGGGUCCUAUCCAUCUUUCAACCUAUACUGAUGCUGAUUGGGCCGGCUGUACAUUUGAUAGACGUUCUACAAGUGGUUACUGUGUGUUCUUAGGCUCCAAUCUCAUUAGUUGGAGUGCCAAGAAACAAAGUACAGUGGCUCGGUCCUCUACAGAAGUUGAAUAUCGCUCCUUAGCUCACACAGCUGCAGAAAUCACUUGGGUUUGCAAAAUUCUUAGAGAUCUUCACUUCUCUCUACCUACACUGCCUACUCUUUGGUGUGACAACAUCUCCGCAAUCUCCCUAGCCUGUAAUCCUGUCUUUCAUGCUCGCACUAAGCAUGUUGAGAUCGACUACCACUAUAUUCAAGAAUUGGUUAUGGCUAAUCUUCUUAAAGUACAGUUCAUGUGCAGUGAAGAUCAAUUGGCUGAUCUCCACACCAAGUCCCUAUCUAAAAGUCAAUUCCACUAUCUGUGCUCCAAGCUUCCAAUUGGAAUCUGUUCUGAUUCCCAUUCUAGCUUAAAGGGGUGUAUUAGGGAGAAUGACAAGUCAUCCAUUUCAGUUACUGUAAAAUAGUUAGUUAUAUCUAAAUGUGAUUAGCUGUGCUAAUGAUUGUAAUUAGUUAGGGUUGAUAUAAGGUUAGGCAGUUAAGGGGUAUUGUUGUAAAUAGCCAAAGGCUAUAUAUAUAUCCUCACAGUGUACAAUUGUUCAGUUAAGUCAAUACAAUUAGAAAACUUACAGAGGAAGUUUUCUGUUUCUAUACUAAGCACAUAUUUGCAUUAAUCUUUACCUACCGUCUUGGCUUAAUGAAUACUACAUGAAUUUAGGCUGAGUCCCUGGCUAAGAUGAAGAGAAAUACAAACAAGCUGGAGAUGUAGCUUCCAAGUUGACUAUUGAAGAAGCCACGUUUCGUGAUUUACAGGUACCUUUCACCACAUAUAAAUUUGUGGACAAUUAGUGACCCCAUGUUGUGUAUUUGCUUUUGCUCAUUCGAAGAUCAAGGUGCCAAAUGCUUGCUGUUUGUUUGGUUAGAUCUGAGUCAUAAUUGCCUGUACAUGUGAUGUGAGAUGGUGUGCUUUUAUUUUUUAUGAGAUAAGUGCCAAUCAAAAUUCAGAAACAAGUAUGAGUAGGACGUUUUACUUUUUGGAGAAACAAAGAGAAUUAUUUUAUAGUUUUUAGGCCUGUUGGGAUAGAUAGCUGUUGAGAUAAGUGCCAAUCAGUUGAAUGGUCAUACUCCUAGCGGUGUAUUCUUUUUAUUAUCACUGGGCUGAUUAUCUUAUGUGAUUUAUAUGCAGGAGAAGAAAAUGGAGCUAUACAGGGCAAUUGUCAAGAUGGAGCAAGGUGAUGGUGAUGGCACGCUUCAGGUACCUUUGCACAACCUUGCUGUUUAAAAAAUAUCUUUGCUCAACUUGUCUAAGAUCAUUUCCAACUGAAAUUUUCCGGAUCGUGUUGAUCGCUUCCAAUUAGAUCUUGAUGGGCUUGUGAAAACUCUCAAUGAGCGCUGCAAGAAGUACAGAUUACGUGGAAAGCCUACAACAUUAACUGAGCUUCCCUUUGGUAAGUUGAACUCUUAGCUAAUUUCUUGGGAAUCUAAGAAUAUUAUAUAUAAUGAUAAGGGUACUUACAUUAGCUUAUUCUUUAUCUAUCUGAUGGAUUGUACAUAGAACACAUUGUUUUUGGAUAUACUUUUGCUUUGGGUAGUCAAAUUAUUUCAAUUUAUUCAGAGCAUUUCUAUUGUUAAGUUAUCAAUAUCCUACACAGAAACCCUUAUUUUCACUAUUAUAAUCUUUUCUUAAUCACUGUGGUUUGUUGGAUUAUCAGUAUUCGUAUUCUAUGUAGCUUUCACAUUUUCUUUUGUGUUAUUGUUCACUGCUGCAGUAUUUGUACUAUGUUGCAUUUUGUAAUCUGAAAUUUUAUUUUAUUUUCAUAUAGGCUGGCAACCUGGCAUCCAAGAAGGAGCUGCUGACUGGGAUGAGGAUUGGGAUAAAUUUGAAGAUGAAGGUAUGCCAAAAAUGAGCUAUUAUGGUCCAGUAUUGUCUUUGAGAUAAUAAAUUUCUUGUAGCACUUAGAAUCCUUUAACCUUUUCACCUUGUGGUAAAUGGAUCAUAUUGCCUGCCUUUUGUAGUUUUUGUUGUCUGGUUGUGGUUUGCCAACCUGUUUAGGAGUUUUAACUAUUUGAGGUGACUGAUUCAGAAGUUUAAUUGUCAGGAUUCACUUUUGUCGAGGAGCUCACUCUUGAUGUGUCAAAUGUCUUGGCACCUCCAAAACAGAAAUCAUCAUCAGUUCAGAAAGAAAAAGCUCCCCCACUUGAGAGUCCAAAGUACAGAUGCCAAGGUUGAAAAUGGAGCAGCAUAUUAUAAAAAUGAGGACGAGUCAGCAAAAAGUGCUCCGAACUGUCCAUUUGCCAGCAGUACUGUUGGAAGCCCAUCUAGAGAAUUUUCAGAUUCUAACUAUGGAAAGACAACAGACGCAGAUGCCUCAUCCCGUAAUAAGGAAUCUCAAAGGUAUUGUUCUAGAUCUGUAGUUUUCUACAUAUUUAAGGUCACCCUGAUACGUGCAAAAUUGUUGAUAUUCUAAACUUUCAUGUGCAGUGAUGAUCAUGCGGGUGCUGGGUCUAUGUUUUCUGGUGACAAAGGUUCCGAUGAACCAGCAUGGGGGACGUUUGACACUAAUGAUGAUGUUGACUCGGUGUGGGGUUUCAAUGCAGUUAGUACCACCAAGGUAUGCCAAUAUUGUACAUUCAGUAAUUUUUAGUUUUUAUUUAUUUUUUAUUUUUUAUUUUUGUAUUUUAGAGUGCAUUCAGUAUUUAUUUAUUAGAACUCAAUUCUUUGACCUUGUGUUUAUGCUGACUGGAUCUUGCUCCAUGAUUGCUGUUAAUACCCACCUAGUUGUUUGAGGUGGUGACCACUUAUCCUUGUUUUAAGAGAUUGCCUCAAGUGUCCUAAUGCUUGCUGAGUUGUUUAGUUAUUAAAGAUGGUUCUGGGAAUUUUAACAUUAUUUGAAUAGUUUCUAUCUUCACCACUCUGAUGGUUUCAUCAUGCACAUCAGUUAGUAGUAGGGGUCUUUCAACCAAGUAUGGUGAAACCGAGUUUCCUGAUUUUAGUUUUGGUUCACUGUAGAUAUAAAAAGAAGGGGUUGCGGGAUUGUUCUUGGUGCAAUUAAUUGCACAUUGAAGGGGACUCUGAUUUAAGCCUUAGGUCUUGGUUAGUCUUAGUCAAGAUCUUUUUUGUGUUGACAACUUGACAUUGACAAGAGAUGGUGCCAUAUUGCGCACACUUGUCGAAUAUUGACGGUUUCCGGUUAACAAUGUAUUAAUCAUGGUUAAAAAUAGUGACUGGAAAAAGGAAAGUUAAAUUUCAAGUUAAAAAACUAGCAUUCAUUGUCAUGUUAGAAAUACUUCUUGCUAACAUUUUGUAGCCGAUGGAAAGUUUCCAUUAUUUUGCACCUUCCAAGUAGGCAUGGAUUCUAGGUUCCGGUGAAUCCACUUUCUUUUCUAAUAACAUGUCGGUUACGUAGCACUGUCAAGCUUUUUGUUUUUGUGGUUUUAUAUUUGUUGUUAUUGCUGGCAUGCUGGAUUGUGCUGUAACUGCUCUUAAUCGUGUCUGAUGUAGGAUAAGGAUCAGGAGAGUUAUAAGGAUCACUACUUUUCUGGCCCUGGGGAGUUCGGCCUCAACCCUAUCAGGACUGGGUCAUCACAAGGAGGUGGCUUUUCCCAGAAGAGCCGCCCUUUUACUUUCGACGAUUCUGUUCCUAGCACACCACUCUCAGCCUUAAGUUCAGGGUAUUCACCGCCAAGGUACAAGGAUAGCUCAGAACCUUCAUUUGACACCUUCUCUAGGUUUGAUUCGUUCAGAAGCAUACAAGAUACUGGAUUUUUUCCUCAACCAGAAGCACUCAGAAGAUUUGAUUCUAUGCACAGCAGUAGAGAUUUUGAUCAGGGUAAUGGUUUUCCAACAUUUGAUGACAUCCCAGACCCUUUUGGCUCUUCGGCGCCAUUUAGGUCAUCGCUGGACAGUCAAACUCCAAGAAGAGACUCAGACCCCUUCGGAUCUUCAGGUCCAUUUCGGACGUCACUGGACAGUCAAACUCCAAGAAGUGAAUCAGAUUUUUUCGGGUCUUCAGCGGCGCUGUUUAGGAAAUCAUUUGACAGUCAAACUUCAAGAGGAGACUCGGACGCAUUUGGGUCCUCUCCAUUUAGGACAUCAUUCGACGGUCAAACUCCAAGAAGAGACUUGGACCCAUUUGGGUCUUCAGGGCCUUUCCGGACGUCUCUCCGGACGUCAUUGGAGACUCCGAGAAAAGACUCUGAUCAUUGGAGUGCAUUUUAGUCAGGUAGUUGCUCGGCUUCGUUUUUGUGUCUGCCAUUCGCCGUUCCAAGCCUUUCUAUCGUGAGUGUUACGGGCCGAUGCCAUGUUUUAUGCUUGAAAUCACUGUGCUUGUAAUGUGUCUUUUGUAUUUCAUUUCUUUGUGUAUGCAACUCGCUUUGUCUUCAUUCUUUUUUCCUUUAGCUUAUGAUUUUUCUCCGUAAUUUUGGAAUGUUCCUAGUCCUAUUGAAGCGAAGACCCCUAUAGAUUUAUCGUUGUUACAAAUUUGAUGAUUGUAUUAUUAAACUGGGGCUGUGCCUUUCUUUUUUCGACCUUACUUGGCUGUAACAUUUUACCCCAUUAAUAAAAUUUGUUCUGCUGAUCUUUUUUUUGUUCAAACAAGAACACUGUUUUGCCGGUGUUAGUCCAAUUGGGUCAUUCAUAUUUUUCGCUCAUUGCAUCUCAGCCAUCGAACCAUCCUGAAUUUUUGUAGCAUUGAAUGUUCAAACUAUCGCUCUUGGUCGUGAGAUAUUUACUUUGCCCUGAGCUUUGCGUAUUAAUUAAUGUGAAAGUUUAUGCUAUAAAGACGAAUUGCAAGAUGCCGCUGGACUUGAUAAAAGAUAACAAACAUGAUAUUAAACACACUUGUCUAUAACAUUGCGCUUUAUAAUGUAUAAACAAUACUAAAAUAAUAAGAGCCUUGCCUGUUUGUCAGUCUUAUUUCUUGAACUUGCCACUCUCUUCAGCGCCGUGCAGCCUUCAGCGCCGUGCAGCCUUCAGCUUCGACAUUACAUUGCAGUGGGAGUUCUGGCAAAGAUUGAAGCCACUUGCAGUUGACUAUGUUGAGUUUAGACAACCGAGAAGCUUGUUUGAUGCUUGCAGGUAUGCUCCUAAUCUUGGUUCCAGACAGAUCCAAAAAUUCCAAUGAGGUUGAGCAAACGAGACCUUCAGGGAUUUCAACCAAACUUUCACAGCCAGAGAGAUUUAUGUUCACAAUUUUUAGACUCGCAUAGAGAUUUGGAACUUCAGUUAGAUUUGUUGAGUCAUGCAGAUCGAUCACUUGUAAGUUCACAAGUCU
This 169232-nucleotide long non-coding RNA is filed under the name Malus domestica (apple). Its description in RNAcentral is "long non-coding RNA (MDOM_LNC004902)". Lineage: Eukaryota; Viridiplantae; Streptophyta; Magnoliopsida; Rosales; Rosaceae. The record is from RNAcentral.